GUAGACGAAUUAAGGGAGAGAUUCUGAGUCUGUCCCACUAAGUUGUCAUAAGAUGAACCAGAUCCACUGCCUGGAACGCCUUGUUUCUCAAAAAACUGUUGUCUCUGGUUAUACCUGGAAGGCGGAGGUGGAAGGCUGACAGGAGAUUGACCAUUGCCAGGAGACUGAGGAUUCCCCAGAGACUGAGUAUCCCAAGGAGCAGGAGGUAGCCCAUCUAUAGAUUUGCUUCUAGGAGCCGGUUCAUCAUAUACAGGCUUUCCAGUGAAUAUAGGUGAUGGAGUUGUGUUUUGGGAAGAAGGGUGUGAAGGUGAUAGUGGAGUCAAUCGUGAGGUGGAGCUGGAAUGAACUGGAGCGGCAAAAGAUGUGGAUUCUGAUGUUGCAGAGGAUCCUUCAGAUUUGUAGGCUUCUCCACUGAGAUAAUCAAUCACACCAGGACCUAGAGUGAUUGGCCUUUGCGAAGACGGUGGAAGAGGAAGAAGUGGGCUGACUUGCACAGGUUCAGCCUUGGCAUUGGCUGAUCUCUGGCCCUGUCCUUGUGAAUUAUCUCUUGAUGACCUGCAAUGCAUCUUACCGAAUUUUACUAAGAGGAUAAGAAUAUUAAAAGUAAAAAACUAACAGAACUUGCAAUAUUCAUAUUCUGAAGCGCACACAUACAAGUAAAAUUGGUAGAAACAAAAACAAGUGAGAAUGAAAUGACAAUGCAAAUAAAACUUAGAAGUGUUCCUCUAACAAUCACCUGUGCGCUAGUUGGGAAAAUUCAUCCUCAGACACAUCAUCCUCAUGGUUCACAUUCACAAGUGGCACAACUGAAGAUUCUGCUCCUCUUACUGUAGUUGUAGUUCCUUUCACAAUAUCGUCAUGCCGAGAAAUUACACGCUGCAGAUCAUCGUUCAGUGCCAAUCCCUGACAUAGAAGCUCCUCAUCUCUGAGAGGAGAGCAACCACAACUGUCACUAUUGCAUCAAAUGUAUGAGUAAAACUCAAAUCCAUAUCAAAUCACUUACGCAGUCUCAUUCACAAGAAGCCUGACACGCUUUUGGUAUGAACGGCACUGAUCAACAAGGUCAACAAUCACUUCUUCCUUCAAACCCUGCCAUAGUAUUUCAUUUUGACCAUUUAUGACCAUUAAAUUUGCACACAUUAAAAGCCCGGAUGGUAAUAUUACGAUUUUGGUUCAUUUUUUAUUUUUAGUAAAAGCCGAAGAGGAAUUGUAUGGAGAAAAUAGGGAGAAAGAAAGGGCUCAGAUGGAUGAGCAUUAAAAUGAAUAUGGAACGGUAUUUAAACCACAAAUUAAAUCAAUCUCAACUAUUCUAUUUUCUCCUUCAAGUUUUUAUUUCACCCAUUCCCCUUCAAUCAUCCAUACCUCCUCCCUUCUACAAGCACAAGAAAAGUGCAGCCCUUAAAGGUACUAAUUUGCGAGUAAUUAACCACCUAAUUCCAACUCUGCUAAAAGUCCCAACUUCAAAAAAUUUUACAAUCACAGUAAUUGACACCUCUGGAUAGCUAGCCUUAUAAAUAAAGUUUUGUUAUCAAUAUAUCUCCUCAAAUAAUUUACAUACAGUGCAUAAGUAAGGAAAAGUAUGGACCAUAAAUAUUCUCCACAAUUGACCAUAUACAACUUUCAGAAUUUUCUACUGUGGGCACAUAUGAAACUUUCACCGCUAGAGAACUCCACACACAAAAACAAAAAAAUAGAAUCAUUGGCCUCUCAACAAAAAAAAAAUUCUAGAAAAACAUAAAUAAGAAAUUAUCCUUUAAUAAUACCUUUUUGGAAAGAAAUUAAUCAGAAGUAAAAAAAUAAGGUAGAAAAUAUAUUACCUCAGGAUUCUUAGCAUCCAAGGCAUUAAGCAUUUCCAUCAACACAUCUGCAAUUCCACGAGCAUACUGAAUCUCUGGCAAGCUGAUUAAAGACAGUUCCAAUCAGGAUGGAUCUAUCAUAGCUUCAAUAAUAAUUCAGACAAUUUUUACCAAAAAUAAAAAAGCAUCCCAAAGCAUAAAAAACAGAUAGCAUCUGUUACAAUAUCAUUAUGUUGGAAUUGUCUGUAUAGGUAAUUAUGGGGGAUUCGGGAAAGAUGGAAUAACUAUACAACAACAACAAAGCCUUUUCCCACUAAGUGGGGUCGGCUAUAUGAAUCCUAGAACGCCAUUGCGCUUGGUUUUGUGUCAUGUCCUCCGUUAGAUCCAAGUACUCUAAGUCUUUUCUUAGGGUCUCUUCCAAAGUUUUCUUAGGUCUUCCUCUACCCCUUCGGCCCUGAACCUCUGUCCCGUGGUCACAUCUUCGAACCGGAGCGUCAGUAGGCCUUCUUUGCACAUGUCCAAACCACCGUAACCGAUUUUCUCUCCUCUUUCCUUCAAUUUCGGCUACUCCUACUUUACCUCGGAUAUCCUCAUUCCUAAUCUUAUCCUUUCUCGUGUGCCCACACAUCCAACGAAGCAUCCUCAUCUCCACUACACCUACGUGUUGAUGCCUCACCGCCCAACAUUCUAUGCCAUACAGCAUUGCCGGCCUUAUUGCCGUCCUAUAAAAUUUUCCCUUGAGCUUCAGUGGCCUACGACGGUCACACAACACGCCGGAUGCACUCUUCCACUUCAUCCAUCCAGCUUGUAUUCUAUGGGUGAGAUCUCCAUCAAAUUCUCCAUCUUUUGCAAGAUAGAUCCUAGGUAGCGAAAACGGUCGCUCUUUGGUAUUUCCUGAUCUCCGAUCCUCACCCCUAACUCAUUUUGGCCUCCGUUUGCACUGAACUUGCACUCCAUAUAUUCUGUCUUUGAUCGGCUUAGGCAAGGACCUUUAGAUUCCAACACUUCUCUCCAAAGGUUAAGCUUCGCAUUUACCCCUUCCUACGUUUCAUCUAUCAACACUAUAUCGUUUGCGAAAAGCAUACACCAAAGAAUAUCAUCUUAAAUAUUAAGUUUGUGAUCUUCGCUAGAUUGCUCCGGUCAUUAGUGUGGAUAAGUAUGUAAAUGGAUAGAGACAGGAAGCAAACACAAGAUGUACGUGGUUCACCCAGAUUGGCUACGUCCACGGAGUAAAGGAGUUUUCAUUAAUUGUGAAGGGUUUACAUAGUAUAUAGGUUCAAGCUCUCCUUUAGUGAGUACAAGUGAAUGAUUUAGUACGGAUGACAUUAGGAAAUAUUGUGGAAGAAUGAUCUCGUAAUCACGAAACUUUUAAGUACCGAAGUGUGGUAUCGUCUUCACUUGCCUUAUCUGUGUCAUAGGUAGAUGUGGCAUCUUCUUUGGAAGUACUCUUCCUCCCUCCAGGGGUGGUAUCUUUAACUGGUGGAGAUGCACAAGGUAAUGUAUCAAUUUCACUUGACGCUUACUUGUAGUUUCAGGCUUGGUCAAGCGCGAUACAAACCAUGUAGUAGGAGUCCCCCAAGUCGCCGAGCUAGGGGAUCUGCUGAAAGAGGUGACAAACAAGGUAAGCAAUCAGAGAUCCAAGCAAUCAGUCCCAUAUCAGAAGUUUGAUUUCGAGUUCCGGCUGAUUGUUAUCAUUCUCCUUAUCUUGCAGGUAGCAUGAAGGAUAAAGAGAAGAAAAUGAGAAAAGGUGAUAUGAGAUAUUUUUGCUUUUGAAGAAGUAACUUUCCAUAGGCUUAUUCUUGAACUGAGCUGGAGGGUUUUCUUGUUUCCGCCAGAGUAUAAGGCCGACUGAAGAAUUUGAGGGUCAAAACAAGUCCAUCAAAUCUAGAGUACGUUCGACCCUGCUGAUAUGGGAUACUUUUGCCGUUGGCAAAGUAGUGGAUGUAUCGACACGUGUUCUGUUGCGCUUGUCUCCACAUGCUUCCUUGUAUCCUUCUCACUUGCCCUAUUUGUUCCUCAGGCAGAUGUGGUAUCUUCUCGGGAAGCAUAAGAUGUUGAAGAUGAGUACUCGAGAGCAAUGGGGUUCCAGGCAGUCAGUUCCGGACUAGAAGCUUGAUUCCAAGUGUUGACUGAUUGCUAUCUUUCUCCUUGUCUUGCAGGUAUAACAAGGCCAAAGGAAAAGACGGGGAAAAAGCAUGAUAUGGGAUACUCUUGCUUUUAACCCUGAUGAUAUGAGAUAUUCUUGCUCUAGUGUAGCUUGUUUGUAGAGGUAUUCUCGGGGGGAAAGAAAGCUGAGUAUUCCGAGAGGCUUCGUUGGGAGUGCCCUCUCAGAUAUGAGGAAGGGUUGAGCAUUUUUGCAGGUCUGCCUGUCCGUUGAGGAUGAAGGUCGACAUAUAUAGGAGUCUCCCUAACAAGGAGUAAUACUAUUCUUUUACCCUGCUUGGUCAUAGCACGGUAGUGGGAGCUGCCAACUUCACGUGUUUUAACUCUGUCAGAGCACUUUGAAAAAAUGGUCUGUGGUAUCUGGAAAGCUGAUGUUACGUGUGAAGAUUACAGACAAGCUUUAUCCAAGGAGAUCUAGCUCUCGAAGUUGAGAAAGCGAUGUGAGGAUUACAGACAAGCUUUAUCUAAGGGGCUCUCGAAGUUGAGAAAGCAGUGGCUCUUCGGUUUUCUAACAAGCAAUCCUGUCGGGGAUCUGUCUCUCGAGAUUCGGAGAACGGUGCCUCUUCGAUUUUUGAGAAAGCAAUCUUGCUAGGAGUCUGGCUCUCGAGAUUCAGAGAGCGGUGUCUCGUCGCUUUUUGAGAAAGUAAUCAUGUUGGGAGUCUGGCUCUCGAGAUUCGGAGGACGGUGUCUCUUCGAUCUUGAAGCAAGCAAUCUUGUUGGAGUGUUUUCUCGAAUGUGAGUAAAGGUUAGGCCUGUUUGCUAGUCUACCUUGCCACGGAGCACAGAGGUUGACCCACAAGGACUUUCCAAUUAUCCAGCAAUGGUCCUGUUCUUUUACCCUUGUGGGUAAUAAUAUGGUAGCUAGACCUUCAAAAUUUAUGUGUCUAAACUUUGUUAGUGCUGUUUCUUUGCUAUUCUUUUACCCUUCUUGGUCAUAGCGAUGUAAUGGGAGCUGCAAGCUUCACGUGUCUAAACUUUGUCAGAGAUUUUUGGCAAAGUUAUCUGUGGUACUCGUGAGCUGAUGUUGCGUGUGGAAAGUGAAUGAUUGAACAGUAACAUUCACGUGCUUUCUACUUCACUAGAAAUCUUUGACAGAAUGCCCGUAAUUUCUGCAAAGUUGAGUGUGCAUGUGACAGGUGCUGACAAGGCUGAAAAAGCAGGUGCCUCUUCGAUUUCUGAGAUCGACCCUCGUGGUCUCUGAGCAGCCCAGCUUUUGAGAAAGCAAGCGCAUCUUCGAUUUCUGCGAUCGACCUUCAUGGUCUUUGAGCAGCCCAGCUUUUGAGAAAGCAAACGCCUCUUCGAUUCCUGAGAUCGGCCCUCGUGGUCUCUGACCAGCCCAACUUUUGAGAAAGCAAACGCCUUUUCGAUUUCUGAGCAGACGCCUCUUCGAUUUCUGAAGCUCCAUCGAGUGCGGAUUUUUAUAAAGGCUGGUAUUAAGUUCCAAAGCACACUUGAAUCUUCACCAGUAGAAGCUCCCUUCUUGCAUUUCUAAGAUCUUGAUUUGUCCGACCUCUUUUCUCUUCAACACCUUUGAAAAUGUCUGGCCCCUCCAACCGUCGUUUUGACUUGAACCUUGUUGAAGAGGCAGCCAUGCCUUCUCUAGACAACAUAUGGCGCCCAUCCUUCUUAUCUCCUACUGGUCCUCUUACCAUUGGGGAUUCCGUGAUGAAGAAUGAUAUGACCGCUGCGGUGGUGGCCAGGAACCUUCUCACUCCCAAAGAUAACAGACUACUUUCUAAACGGUCUGAUGAGUUGGCUGUUAAGGAUUCUCUGGCUCUCAGUGUUCAGUGUGCAGGUUCUGUGUCUAAUAUGGCCCAACGCCUAUUUGCUCGAACCCGCCAAGUUGAAUCAUUGGCGGCUGAAGUGAUGAGUCUCAAACAGGAGAUUAGAGGGCUCAAGCAUGAGAAUAAACAGUUGCACCGACUCGCUCAUGACUAUGCUACAAACAUGAAGAAGAAGCUUGACCAGAUGAAGGAAUCUGAUGGUCAGAUUUUACAUGAUCAUCAGAGGUUUGUGGGUUUGUUCCAAAGGCAUUUAUUGCCUUUGUCUUCUGGGGCUGUACCGCGUAAUGAAGCUCCAAAUGAUCAACCUCCGAUGCCUCCUCCUUCUAGGGUGCUGUCCAGUACUGAGGCUUCGAAUGAUCCCCCUCCGGUGCCUUCUCUUUCUGGGGCUCUGCCGACUGCUUAGACUUCUCCUAAGCAACUUUUGUGAAGGCUCCCUCUUGUUUGUUUAUUUUGAUUCGUGUAUAUGUACAAAGAAGAUAAAUGAUUUGAAGUCUAUUGUUCAAUUUCUUAUUAGCACAAAAUUCAAUCAAGCAAGGAUGAAUUCUUUCAUAAAUUACAGUUACGGAUCAUGACAUUCAACAAGCAGUAGCUGAAAUAAUUGUACAAGCAUAAAAAAUAUAUGCCGAUUGACAUCUCUUACUAAAGAUUAAGACCCUAGGACUGACGGGACUUAUAAUAGUAAGGAUGUAAGAGACAUCCUCAUGUCAAGGGGAGAAUUGAUGAAUACUUGACAAGGUUAAGGCCUUUCAGAUAUAUAGUCAAAUUUUUCUGCAGUAUUAAAGCAUGCACAACACAUUCAAAUUUGAUAAUGAGAAAGGUAUAAAAUUUUUUUUUUUUUGAAGAAGUUGAAGAAAUAAAAAAUGAAAGAGAAACAAUCGAAUCGCCAAUUUAUGCAGUACAACAUAUGUAGAACAUGUCAUACUGAGGGUUUUAAUCCUGGGACAUUUUCCAAUUGCCUACAAAUAUUUUUAACCUCUCUCAUGCAAUCAACACGCAAGUUUAUAGUUGUGACAAACAUGCAUGUGAAGGAAACAAUAAUUGUUUGAACAGGGAAUAAAUACCAUACUCAAAAGGCCCAAAAAUGUAUGUUUCCAAGAAAACCAUAUUCUCAGCUAGUACCUAAGGCCCGAUGCAUCCGACUGGAGAGAAGCCUGAAUGGCAGCAUCAUCAUAUGAUGUAACAGGAGAAACUACUGGCUGGGUCUGGGGCGGAGUAAAUAUUGGUACACUGUUCUCUUCUCUUGGUGGAAAUUCAACUCCUGCAGACUGUCGGUUAUUCAUUAAGAGAGUUAGGGUGGAAGAAGAAACAGAAUAAAGAGAAAAUAAUUAAAAUCCACAGUUAUACUAAAUAUUGAAUAGCAAGCUUUCCCAUAACUGUAGGAUUACAUCAAGGCUCAUCCUUAAGUCCUUACCUUUUUGCGUUGGUAAUGGAUGAGUUAACAGGACAUAUUCAAGAUGAUAUUCCUUGGUGUAUGCUUUUCGCAGACGAUAUAGUGUUGAUAGACGAAACUCAGGAAGGGGUAAAUGCAAAGCUUAACCUUUGGAAAGAAGUGUUGGAAUAUAAAGGUCUUCGCCUAAGCCGAUCAAAGACAGAAUAUAUGGAGUGCAAGUUCAGUGCAAAUGGAGGCCAAAACGAGUUAGGGGUGAGGAUCGGAGAUCAAGAAAUACCAAAGAGCGACCGUUUUCGUUACCUAGGAUCUAUCUUGCAAAAGAACGGAGAUUAGAUGGAGAUCUCAACCAUAGAAUACAAGCUGGAUGGAUGAAGUGGAAGAGUGCAUCCGGCGUGUUGUGUGACCGCCGUAUGCCACUGAAGCUCAAGGGAAAAUUUUAUAGGACGGCAAUAAGGUCGGCGAUGCUGUAUGGCACAGAAUGUUGGGCGGUGAAACAUCAACACGUACACAAAAUGGGUGUAGCGGAGAUGAGGAUGCUUCGUUGGAUGUGUGGGCACACGAGAAAGGAUAAGAUUAGGAAUGAGGAUAUCCGGGGUAAAGUAGGAGUAGCCGAAAUUGAAGGAAAGAUGAGAGAAAAUCGGUUACGGUGGUUUGGACAUGUGCAAAGAAGGCCUACUGACGCUCCGAUUAGAAGAUGCGACUAUGGGACAGAGGUUCAGGGCCGAAGGGGUAGAGGAAGACCUAGGAAAACUUUGGAAGAGACUCUAAGAAAAGACUUAGAGUACUUGGAUCUAACGAAGGACAUGACACAGGAUCGAGCACAAUGGCGUUCUAAGAUUCAUAUAGCCGAUCCCACUCAGUGACUUGGAUUUUCCAAGUCUCCAACCGAGAAGUUUUCCUCACUCGGAAAAUUAAGGGAACACUACCCCAACCUACCUACAUGCUCCACUCAGAAAGCUUCAACAUACAAGCUUCAACAAAAGAAAAUUCAAAGAACUUAGCGAAGAAGGCUUUGGUGUAUUUAACACAAUACGUUGAAAUGAAGGAAAACUUAUUUAUUGAUAUCCCCGAUAAGCUACAAAUAUGUACAUAUACAUGAGUCAAAAUAAACACACAAGAGGGAGCCUUCACAAAGGUUGCUUAGGAGAAGUCUCAGCAGUCGGUAGAGCCCCAGAAAGAGAAGGCACCGGAGGGGGAUCAUUUGGAGCCUCAGUACUGGACAGAACCCUAGAAGGAGGAGGCAUCAGAGGUUGAUCAUUUGGAGCUUCAUUACGCGGUACAGCCCCAGAAGACGAAGGCAAUAAAUGCCUUUGGAACAAACCCACAAAUCUCUGAUGAUCAAGUAAAACCUGACCAUCAGUUUCCUUCAUCUGGUCAAGCUUCCUCUUCAUGUUUGUAGCAUAGUCAUGUGCGAGCCGGUGCAACUGUUUAUUCUCAUGCUUGAGCCCUCUAAUCUCCUGUUUGAGACUCAUCACUUCAGCCGCCAAUGAUUCAACUUGGCGGGUUCGAGCAAAUAGGCGUUGGGCCAUAUUAGACACAGAACCUGCACACUGAACACUGAGAGCCAGCGAAUCCUUAACAGCUAACUCAUCAGACCGUUUGGAAAGUAGUCUGUUAUCUUUGGGAGUGAGAAGGUUCCUGGCCACCACCGCAGCGGUCAUAUCAUUCUUCAUCACGGAAUCCCCAACGGUAAGAGGACCAGUAGGGGAGACGAAGGAUGGGCGCCAUAUGUUGUCUGGAGAAGGCGGGGCUGCCUCUUCAACAAGGUUCAAGUCAAAACGACGGUCGGAGGGGCCAGACAUUUUCAAAGGUGUUGAAGAGAGAAGAGGUCGGACAAAUCAAGAUCUUAGAAGUGCAAGAAUGAAGCUUCUACUGGUGGAGAUUCAAGUGUGCUUUGGAACUUAAUGCCAGCCCCUAUAAAAAUCUGCACUCGACGGAGCUUCAGAAAUCGAAGAGGCGCCUGCUCAGAAAUCGAAGAGGCGUUUGCUUUCUCAAAAGCUGGGCUGCUUAGAGAUCACGAGGGUUGAUCUCAGAAAUCGAAGAGGCGUUUGCUUUCUCAAAAGUUGGGCUGCUCAAAGACCACGAAGGCCGAUCUCAGAAAUCGAAGAGGCGCUCGCUUUCUCAAAAGCUGGGCUCCCCAGAGACCACGAGGGCCGAUCUCAGAAAUCGAAGAGGCACCUACUUUUCCAGCCUUGUCAGCACCUGUCACACGCACACUCAGCUUUGCGGAAAUUAUGGGCAUUCUGUCGAAGACUUCUGAGGGAAGUAGAAAACACACAUGAAUCUUACUGUUCAAUCAUCCCACUUCCCACACGCAACAAUAGCUCAUGGGUACCACAGAAAAACUUUGCCAAAGUUCUCUGCCAAAGUUGAGCACGUGAAGCUUGCAGCUCCCACUACAUCGCUCUGACCAAGAAAGGGUAAAAGAAUAGCAAAGAAACAGCACUAACAAAGUUUAGACCCAUAAAUUUUGAAGGUCUAGCUACCAUAUUAUUACCCACAAGGGUAAAGGAACAGUACCACUGCUGGAUAAUUGGAAAGUCCCUGUGUGUCAACCUCUGUGCUUCGUGGCAAGGUAGACUAGCAAACAUGCCCAACCUUUACUCACAUUCGAGAAAACACUCCCAAUAAGAUUGCUUGCUCCAAAAUCGAAGAGGCACCGUCCUCCGAAUCUCGAGAGCCAGACUCCCAACAUGAAUACUUUCAAAAAAAUCGAAGAGAGGGUAAAGGAACAGUACCAUUGCUGGAUAAUUGGAAAGUCCCUGUGUGUCAACCUCUGUGCUUCGUGGCAAGGUAGACUAGCAAACAUGCCCAACCUUUACUCACAUUCGAGAAAACACUCCCAACAAAGAUUGCUUGCUCCAAAAUCGAAGAGGCACCGCCCUCCGAAUCUCGAGAGCCAGACUCCCAACAUGAUUACUUUCUCAAAAAUCGAAGAGACACUGCUCCCCGAAUCUUCGAGAGCCAGACCCCCAGCAUGAUUGCUUUCUCAAAAAUCGAUGAGGCAUCGUUCUCCGAAUCAAUCGAAGAGGCGCUCGCUUUCUCAAAAGCUGGGCUGCUCAGAGACCACGAGGGCCGAUCUCAGAGAAAUCGAAGAGGCACCUACUUUUCUAGCCUUGUCAGCACCUGUCACACACGCACACUCAGCUUUGCAGAAAUUAUGGGCAUUCUGUCGAAGACUUCUGGUGAAGUAGAAAGCACAUGAAUCUUACUGUUCAAUCACCCACUUCCCACACGCAACAAUAGCUCAUGGGUACCACAGAUAACUUUGCCAAAGUUCUCUGCCAAAGUUGAGCACGUGAAGCUUGCAGCUCCCACUACAUCGCUCUGACCAAGAAAGGUAAAAGAAUAGCAAAGAAACAGCACUAACAAAGUUUAGACACAUAAAUUUUGAAGGUCUAGCUACCAUAUUAUUAUUACCCACAAGGGUAAAGGAACAGUACCACUGCUGGAUAAUUGGAAAGUCCCCUGUGUGUCAACCUCUGUGCUUCGUGGCAAGGUAGACUAGCAAACAUGCCCAACCUUUACUCACAUUCGAGAAAACACUCCCAACAAGAUUGCUUGCUCCAAAAUCGAAGAGGCACCGUCCUCCGAAUCUCGAGAGCCAGACUCCCAACAUGACUACUUUCUCAAAAUCGAAGAGAGGGUAAAGGAACAGUACCAUUGCUGGAUAAUUGGAAAGUCCCUGUGUGUCAACCUUUGUGCUUCGUGGCAAGGUAGACUAGCAAACAUGCCCAACCUUUACUCACAUUCGAGACAACACUCCCAACAAGAUUGCUUGCUCCAAAAUCGAAGAGGCACCGCCCUCCGAAUCUCGAGAGCCAGACUCCCAACAUGAUUACUUCCUCAAAAAUCGAAGAGACACUGCUCUCCGAAUCUCGAGAGCCAGACCCCCAGCAUGAUUGCUUUCUCAAAAAUCGAAGAGGCAUCGUUCUCCGAAUCUCGAGAGCCAGAUACCACAGACCACUUUUUCAAAGUGCUCUGACAGAGUUAAAACAUGUGAAACUGGCAGCUCCCACUACCGUGCUAUGACCAAGCAGGGUAAAGGAAUAGCAUUACUACUUGUUGUUAGGGAGACUCCUAUAUAUGUCGACCUCCAUCCCCAACGGACAGGCAGACCUGCAAAAAUGCUCAACCCUUCAUCAUAUCUGAGAGGGCACUCCCAACGAAGCCUUUCGAAAUAUUCAGCUUUCUUUCCCCCCGAUAAUACCUCUGCAAACAAGCUAUACUAGAGCAAGAAUAUCUCAUAUCAUCAGGGUUAAAAGCAAGAGUAUCCCAUAUCAUGCUUUUUCCCUGUCUUUUCCUUUUGGCCUUGUUUUUACCUGCAAGACAAGGAGAAAGAGAGCAAUCAGUCAGCACUUGGAAUCAAGCUUCCAGCCAGGAACUGACUGCCUGGAACCCCUUACCUGAUUACUUACCUGGCAUUGCUCUCGAGUACUCAUCUUCAACAUCUUAUGUUUCCAGGGAAGAUUCCGCAUCUGCUUGAGGAACAGAUAGGGCAAGUGCGAAGGAUACAAGGAAGCAUGUGGAGACAAGCGUAACAGCACACGUGCCGAUACAUCCAUUACUCUGUCAAAAGCAAAAGUAUCCCAUAUCAGCAGGGUGGAACGUACUCUAGAUUUGAUGGACUUGUUUUGACCCUCAAAUUCUUCAGUCGGCCUUAUACUCUGGAGGAAACCAGAAAACCCUCCAGCUCAGUUCAAGAAUAAGCCUGUGGAAAGUUACUUCUUCAAAAGCAAAAGUAUCUCAUAUCAUCUCUUCUCAUUUUUUCUUCUCUUUUAUCCUUCAUGCUGUUGCAAGAUGGGGAGAAGGUGAACAAUCAGUCGGAGCUCUGAUUGCUUACCUUGUCUGUCACCUCUUUCAGCAGACCCCCUAGCUCGGCGACUUGGGGGACUCCUACUACAUGGUUUGUAUCGCGCUUGACCAAGCCUGAAACUACAAGUAAGCUUCAAGUGAAAUUGAUACAUUACCUUGUGCAUCUCCACCAGUUAAAGAUACCACCCCUGGAUGGAGGAAGAGUACUUCCAGAGAAUAUGCCACAUCUACCUAUGAGACAGAUAAGGCAAGUCAAGACGACACCACACUCCGAUACUUAGAAGUUUCGUGAUUACGAGAUCAUUCUCCCACAAUAUUUCCUAAUGUCAUUUGUACUAAAUCAUUCACUUGUACUCACUAAAGGAGAGCUUAAACCUAUGUACUUGUGUAAACCCUUCACAAUUAAUGAGAACUCAUCUAUUCCGUGGACGUAGCCAAUCUGGGUGAACCAUGUACAUCUUGUGUUUGCUUUCCUAUCUCUAUCCAUUUAUAUACUUAUCCACACUAAUUACCGGAGCAAUCUAGCGAAGAUCACAAAAAGCGACCGUUUUCGCUACCUAGGAUCUAUCUUGCAAGAGAAUGGAGAAUUAGAUGGAGAUCUCAACCAUAGAAUACGAGCUGGAUGGAUGAAGUGUAAGAAUGCAUCCGGCGUGUUGUGUGACCGUCGUAGGCCACUGAAGCUCAAGGGAAAAUUUUAUAGGACGGCAAUAAGGCCAGCGAUGUUGUAUGACACAGAAUGUUGGGCGGUGAAGCAUCAACACGUACACAAAAUGGGUGUAGCGGAGAUGAGGAUGCUUCGUGGGAUGUGUGGGCACACGAGAAAUGAUAAGAUUGGGAAUGAGGAUAUCCGAGGUAAAGUAGGAGUAGCCGAAAUUGUAGGAAAGAUGAGAGAAAAUCGGCUCCGGUGAUUUGGACAUGUGCAAAGAAGGCCGAAUGACGCUCUGGUUCGAAGAUGUGACUACGGGACAGAGGUUCAGGGCCGAAGGGGUAGAGGAAGACCUAGGAAAACUUUGGAAGAGACUAUAAGAAAAGACUUAAGAGUACUUGGAUCUAACGGAGGACAUGACACAAAACCGAGCGCAAUGGCGUUCUAGGAUUCAUAUAGCCGACCCCACUUAGUGGGAAAAGGCUUUGUUGUUGUUGUUGUUGUAAGCUUAUAAGUAUUGCUGGCCAAAAUGAUGGAAAUGUUAUUUUGGACCUAUUAAACAUCAUCAAAAGGUAGAAAGGUAAAUGCGUUGAAAUCUAAUUGUGUGAAAGCUGAGGCGUAGUUGCCUCUUUUGUCAGACAAGGCAAGGCAUAAGCCUCUCGGACAUGAAAUCUUAUAGGAAGCAAAUAAAUAAUGCAAUACUAAUAAGUUGAAGUGCUAGUGAGUAACUGAAGUAUAAUAAGAAAUCCCAAUAUGACCACAUAUAAGUUAUAACAGUCAUUCAAGCAUAACAACCAAUCACAAAAAUAAAAUACUCAAUUGGUCAUACAAAUAUUCAAAACCCCAAAAGAUAAACUCAGUUCACCACAAUACUUGUGAUGAAUAGAAACUAACAUCACUAUCAUACUGGUCCAACAGACUGAUGUGAUAAGGGACGCAUAGCAGUGACUUGCACUAGAGGAGAGUUUGCAAGAUCACUAUUACUUCCAUUGUUCACAACAUUUACUAUCAUCUGUCAAAGCUGAAGGCACUUGGGCUGAACAUGUUUACCCAUUAAUCUUAACUUAACUAGGUCAUAUAAUUAAACAGAAAUGUUUAAAAACAUGGCCUAUUAAGCAACUCAAAAGAAAGAUGACAGCAAAGAAUGUCACUGAUUGGACCGGGUCAGACUGGUGAUAUCAUAAAUAUAUAACAACAUGAUUCUAUUCUCUAUAUACUAUAUCCAUUCUUCGACAAAUGAAAGAAAUAUCCUAUAAGGCAGUUUUAAAAGGAAAUACUUUUUAGAAGACGGUCUACUUUGAUUAGUAAAUUGAAAAUUAGUAAGAUAGUUCCAUGGGAACACAGCACAAGUACAAAUGCAGUGUACAUAGUACAGAUUACAAACAAAAGCUUAACAUGAGUAUAACAAAGAUGUGAUAAAACAAUUACCCUCAAUUCAUUAUAUGCUGCAUAAUACUGGGGAAAUCUUCCCCUUGGUCCCCCAAAAGCUUCUUGCCAUGUAUCUAUCAAAAUAGUAUCUUUUCCCUAACAUUCAAGUCUGGCUGCAUAAUGGAAUUAGAAUAACAAAGCAGAAAGAAAGUUAGUAUCCUAUUCAUGCACAAACUGGAAAGAAAAAAGGAAGCAACAAGUUAGUGAAAACAGAAAACAAAAGGUUGGGAGAGAAAUGCAGCACCUUCUUCUUUACUAUUUUGACCAUUUCAUGCAAGAUAUCACGCUCAACGAUCUGCUGAAAAACAUUCUCACCACAGUUCUUGCUCACAGUCUCCAAUGCCUGCAUCGAAUAAUAAAUUAGGAGAAGGAAAAAGACACCAUUGCUCAGAAAUGGCUUGUUUUGUGCUGAUGAUAGGCUAAUGCAAGGCAAUCAUUGAACCACAACAGGUCCAUCAUAAAUCACAAAUUUAUUGACAUUUUCACAUGUAUACAUAUUUUGGGAUGGGAAGGGUACCACAAGCUUUACAUCAUGAAUUUAAAAUUUUAAAAGAAAGAUGCAAAAACAUGACAAGAAAUAACACAAAAAAUACUGAAAGUCUCACAAAGAAAAGGAAUAGUACUAACAAAAAGAGCCAGGAGUUGUAUUUUUGGAUUUUUGCUGCCCAGGCGCUUCGUAUCUUCAAGGCCUCUUUUGCUUGCCUGAAAGUUCAAACCAGUUCAUUGGCAAAACAAAGCAUUCCGAAUAUUUAAAUUAGGAAAGAGAUUCUAUGGGAAAAAUAAUCCACAACAAUAGAAAAUAAAGAGGAUAGUCUUCUGCAGAGUUUAAGAGCUAAGAAAUGUCCAACAUAUAAAAGAAAGCCCGAUACACCAAGAUGCUCAUGGAAUCUAUUUGAAAAAUAAAUUACUCCUUCUACGAAGUUUCCAGUUCAUCCCAAAUCAAUGUAGCGAAAGCAUUCUACUACCCUGUCAAUUUUUUAAAGUGUUACUUUUCAGGAGGACAUGAUUUCCUUAUGAGAUGAGCCACAUCUCCCUUUCAGGAGGAGAUCUCCUCUUCUACCAGGAGCCAAGUAUUAAACUUCGUGUGUAUGUGCGUGCACAUGUAUAUAUGAAUACAUAAUAAGCUCUGAGCACUUUAAAGUUUCAACCAACGACUACGAUAUCAAUAUUUCAGAAAAGAUUCAACGUACUCAACAAUUUAAGAAAUGCGAACUCUAAACGGGUGGAUAUACCUAUAUAUAAUAUUCAAUCUAAAAAAUGAAAUUGAGGGAAAACAAAGUAAUCAUACCCAGGGUCAAUAUUGAUAAUAUCACAUAAUUUGCCCAGUCUGGGCCAAUCAACAUAUCACUUGUUGCCCUCUCUGCACAGGCCGCACCAUUACCAGCCAUGUCGUAAUCCCCUUCACGCAAGUCUUUUUCCUUAAAACUUCCUAAAUCAGAAGCCAAAAACAAGUUCAACUACGCGCAAUUCAACAUUUGUGAUGUAAAAGAACUUAAUAAAUGCUAGAAACGGAAGAUCAUAAGACACCUGUAUCACUAAUUAGCUCGAUGUCAGUAAUCUUGUUCAAUUCCAAAAGUUCCACAAAUUAUUUCUUACCCACCAAGACAAAACCUAUGAAAAUCCCAAUUUAAUUACGAUAAUUGAAAACAGCGGAACUAUACAAAAUUGAUCCAGAAAAUAUUAAAAACCCGAAAUCGCAAACAAAUAGGGUCUAUAAACAAAUUCAACUAUCUGCUCAUCCCCAUCACAAAUACGUAUCCCAAAUCAAAAUAACAAACAAUCAGAUCGUCAACAAUGUACGCUUAACACCAAUACAAGUCCCACAUCAAGAAACCCACAAAAAUUUGUGCCCAUAAAACACAGACAAGCAAACCCAAUUGGAUAUUAGUACUAAAAUUGAAAAUCAAAAUUCGAAUUAGCAAGAUAAUGGUCCUGUGCUUAAAGUUAAACCCAGUUGACAAAACGAUCAGAGAAUAAGGGAAAGGAAUGAGAGAUUUAUGCGACCAAACCAUUGCUGAAUGUUUACUUGCUUGAUGCUGCGUGGUUAGGCUUAGUCGACCUCACUCCAUCUUCAUUGCUUUGCUACUUGAAAUGAGGGAUUCCAAACAUAUUGGCGAAGCCGGCCAAUGUACCCUUCAAUCUGUUGGAAAUUCAAAUUAAAAGUCAUGUGAUGUCUAACUAUCUGUCCAUGUGAUGCUAGCUUUUCUUUCCAUGUUGUAUCCCGCAAAUAUAAACAUCAUUACUCCUCCAUCUGUUAACCGAAAGCUGAUUUAAAGACAGCAUAGAUGUGGGCUGCUGUGUGCUAGCCGAAAGGUUGUGUUUGCAAGCUGGAAGGAUGCAAUGCAUGUGUGUGCCAACUAUCCAAAGUUGCUGCAUGUGUUUGAAAGGGUGGAAGGAUGGUAAACACCAUCAUUCAUUACAUGUUGUUGUAUUGUUUAUCAAUUUCUGUUUUGUAUAAAUAGGCCUUCUUGCUAGGCUUUAGAACAUCAAUUCCAUUCCAAUUCCUUUCUCAUUUUCAGCUUGUAAGCUAUUGGUUUUGUAAACUCUCUUUUCAUAUAUCAAAGUCCAAGUGUUUUGCCGAAGCUUGUCCCUCCUUUCUCUAUUUCUUUGUCCAAUUUUAUUGAGAGUGCAAAGUGAGAGGUGUGAUAGAGUUUGUAAACUUAUCAUCCACAUAUUUUGGUAUUGAGUUAGUAAACUUUUCAAUACCAACAAUUGGUAUCAGAGCCAGAAUACCAUUCUGGCAAGUGCAGCAGUUAUGGCAUCCAACUUAGUGCAGCUCCAAGUUCCCACAUUGAAGAAAGAAAAUUAUGAAAGAUGGUGCAUCCAAUUCAAAGCAUUGUUUGGAUCACAAGAGCUAUGGGAAGUUGUCAGUAGUGGGUAUGUUGUACCCACUACCGAGCAAGAAGCCACAUAUACUGCAGAUCAAAGGAACACUCUCAAGGAUUUACGAAAGAAGGACCAGAAGGCGUUGUAUCUUCUCUAUCAAGGAUUAGAAGAUUCAACGUUCGAGAAGGUUGCAGAAGUAACAACGAGCAAGCAAGUAUGGGACACACUCAAUACAAUCUACAAAGGAGUAGAUCGAGUCAAGAAAGUGAGGUUACAGUCACUUCGAGUAGAUUUUGAAACUGCUCACACGAAUGAAGGGGAGAGCAUCUCCGACUAUCACUCAAGGCUCAUUGUGAUGGUAAAUCAGAUGAGGAGAAAUGGCGAGAGACUCGAUGAAGUACGAGUUGUGGAGAAGAUACUCCGGUCACUUACAUCUAAGUUUGAGCAAGUGGUGACUGCCAUUGAGGAAUCUAAGGAUUUGGAGGCGAUGAGCGCAGAUGAGCUACUAGGAUCCCUCCUAGUUCACGAGCAACGCAUUCAGAAGAAUGCAAGCCCCACAACACUAGAGCAAGCUUUGGAGUCAAAAUUGAAAAUUGACAAACCAAAUAAAGGUCGUGGGCAGUGGAACUCACGUCGUGGGAGUUCAUCCAACCGUAGCCGAGGACGAGCCCGAGGAAGAGGUCGAGGCUAUGAACAAAACCGAGGUCAAUCUCAAGAGUGGAGAUAUACCCAAGGAAAGGCGUAUAUCCAAUGUCACACUUGCAAGCAAUAUGGACAUUAUGCAAAUGAAUGUUCAUAUAAAAAUGGUGAGCAUGUCAACAUGGCAGAAUCAAAUGGAAAUGCUGGUGAGGAAUUUACAGUCUUACUAGCACACCAUGAUAUCAGUAGCCAACAAGAUGUUUGGUAUUUAGACUCUGGUGCAAGCAACCACAUGUGUGGAAAGAAAGAGUUUUUUGCAGAACUCAAAGAUGGGCCUUAUGGAUCUGUGAGUCUUGGUGACUCUUCAAGGUUACCAGUUGAAGGCAAAGGAAAGAUCAAAAUCAUCCAGAAGGAUGGUAAAGAAGAAUACAUCUUCGAUACCUACUACAUACCAGGUAUGAAGAGUAACAUUCUGAGCAUUGGUCAACUGCUCCAGAAAAGGGUAUGUUAUACAUAUGGAGGAUAUGUUUCUCACUCUCAGGAAUGCAAGGAGAAAGCUUAUUACAUGUGUUCAAAUGUAAAAAAACCGAAUGUUCCCGUUGAAGUUGAACACAAAGAUUGGGAGUUGCAACAUCGAUGUAAUGGAAGAUGAGUCAUGGAAAUGGCAUCUUCGAUUUGGCCAUCUUCAUUUCAAUGGCCUAAAGUUGUUGUCAAGUGGAGGAAUGGUUCGUGGUCUACCCCAGAUUGAAGCCACAUACAAAGUAUGUGAAGGUUGUGUGCUUGGCAAGCAAGCACGACUAUCAUUCCCUGUUGGUGAUACAUGGAGAGCAAAGGCACCACUGCAGAUGGUACACACGGAUAUAUGUGGUCCAUUGGAUCCUAUGUCUUAUGGAGGUAAUAGGUAUUUUAUUACUUUCAUUGAUGAUUUUAAUAGGAAGACUUGGGUUUAUUUUCUCAAGGAGAAAUCGGCUGCCCUAAGAAUCUUCAAGGAGUUCAAGGCACUCACAGAGGCUGAAAGCAACCACAAGCUUGUGGCUGUGAGAUCAGAUAGAGGUGGAGAGUACACCUCUAAUGCUUUCCAAGCAUACUGCAAGGAGCAAGGAAUUAGGCAUCAACUGACUGAUGCCUAUACCCCACAGCAAAAUGGGAUAGCCGAAAGAAAGAAUCGAACCAUCCUUGACAUGACAAGGUCCAUGCUUAAGGAGAAGAAUUUACCAAAAGAAUUGUGGGCAGAAGUUGUAGCUUGUUCGAUUUAUUUGUUGAAUCGAUGUCCAACAAAGAGUGUCAAAAGGAUGACACCACAAGAGGCUUGGAGUGGAUACAAGCCGAGUGUUGCACACCUAAGAGUUUUUGGUGUGUUGCAUAUGCUCAAGUUCCAGAAGCCAAGAGGAGAAAGCUCGAUGAUCGAGGUGAGAAGUGUGUGUUUGUGGGCUAUAGUGAAGAGUCCAAUGCAUACAAGCUCUACAAGCCACUAACUGGCAAACUAGUGGUUAGUAGAGAUGUCAUCUUCAGUGAGGAAGAGGCAUGGAAGUGGAACAACAAAGAAGUCAGUAAAGAGAAGAUCGUCUCCACUGAUUUUGAAGAACCAGAAGUUGUACCACCUGUUGAGCAAUAGCUUGCUUAAACAAUCACAACAACUCCAGUGCACAGAAUUGCAAGGAGUGGUCCUACAUCUAGUGAAGAAAGCAGCUCCUCAACUCCAGUGAGGCUAAGAAGUCUUACCGAGAUAUAUGGACAAGAAGAAGAAGAAGAAACCAACCUUUUCUGCUUGUAUGCAGACCACGAGCCUCUCUUAUUCAAUGAAGCUGUGGAAGAAGAUCGUUGGAGAAUAGCCAUGGAGGAAGAAAUCCAUGCCAUCGAGAAGAAUGACACUUGGGAGUUGACAAAGCUCCCACCAAAUCAGAAGGCUAUUGGUAUCAAGUGGGUGUACAAGAUCAAACGCACUGCAGAUGGGAGUGUGGAUCGAUACAAAUCAAGGCUUGUAGCAAAAGGCUACAAAAAAAAGUACGGAGUGGACUAUGAUGAAGUCUAUGCUCCAGUUGCAAGACUUGACAAGGUAAGAUUGCUAAUCUCUCUUGCCGCUCAUCAUAAAUGGAAAAUUUAUCAACUAGAUGUCAAGUCAGCCUUCCUUAAUAGAGUUCUUGAGGAAGAAGUGUACGUGGAACAACCAGAAGGCUUUCAAGUACAAGGAAAAGAAGAUAAGGUGUAUCGUUUGAAGAAGGCGUUGUAUGGCCUCAAGCAAGCACCACGAGCUUGGAACUCAAGGAUUGACAACUACCUUCACCAAAAUGGAUUUCAGAAAUGUCCAUACGAGCAUUCAGUUUACAUGAAGAAUGGUGCAAAAGGGGAGUUCUUAAUUAUUUGUCUCUAUGUAGAUGACUUGUUGUUUACAGGAAACAAUGAAGCAAUAUUUUGUGAGUUCAAGCAAUCCAUAUUCAGUGAAUUCGAGAUGACUGACAAUGGAUUAAUGUCAUACUUUCUUGGCAUAGAGGUGAAGCAAGAAAGUGACGGUAUCUACAUCUCUCAACAAAAGUACAUGAGAGAUAUAUUGGAGAAAUUCAAUAUGGAUAAGUGCAAUAUUGUCAACACUCCAGUUGCAACUGGAUUGAAGCUGUCUAAGGAAGGAGAAUGUGAGUUUGUAAACUCAACCGUGUACAAAAGCUUGGUUGGAAGCCUAAGGUACCUUACAAUCACAAGACCUGAUAUAGUUUAUGGUGUUGGACUCGUGAGUCGAUACAUGGAAACACCAAGGGAGUCUCAUUGGCUGGCUGCCAAGAGAAUUUUGAGGUACAUAAGAGGUACUCUAAACUAUGGUUUAUUUUAUAAUUUUGGUGAAGAUGCAAAAUUAUUUGGUUAUUCAGAUAGUGAUUGGGGAAGUGACAAAGAUGAAAGGAAAAGCACAACUGGCUAUGUGUUUUUUCUAGGAUCAACAACUUUCUCAUGGACUUCAAAGAAGCAAUCAAUUGUUGCUUUGUCAUCAUGUGAAGCUGAGUAUGUUGAUGUAGCCUCAACAGUGUGUGAGGCAAUUUGGUUAAGAAAUCUAUUGAAGUCAGUGUGUCAUCCACAAGUGGAAUCGACUGUGAUUCAUGUGGAUAACAUGUCUGCAAUCAAGCUUGCAAAGAAUCCUGUUCAACAUGGAAGGAGCAAACACAUUGAUACCAGGUUCCAUUUUCUAAGGGACCAUGUGAAGCAAAAGACAAUUGAGCUUGUCUAUUGUCACACGAAGGAACAAGUGGCAGACAUCUUCACUAAGCCACUACCAGUUGAAUCAUUCCGACUACUACGUGAAAUGCUAGGCAUGAAGGCGUUUUAAUUUGAGGGGGCAUGUUGGAAAUUCAAAUUAAAAGCCAUGUGAUGUCUAAUAACUGUCCAUGUGAUGCUAGCUUUUCUUUCCAUGUUGUAUCCAACAAAUAUAAACAUCAUUGCUCCUCCAUCUGUUAACCGAAAGCUGAUUUAAAGACACCAGAGAUGUGGGCUGCUGUGUGCUAGCCGAAAGGUUGUGUUUGCAAGCUAGAAGGAUGCAAUGCAUGUGUGUGCCAACUAUCCAAAGUUGCUGCAUGUGUUUGAAAGGGUGGAAAGAUGGUAAACACCAUCAUUCAUUACAUGUUGUUGUAUUGUUUAUCAAUUUCUGUUUUGUAUAAAUAGGCCUUCUUGCUAGGCUUUAGAACAUCAAUUCCAUUCCAAUUCCCUUCUCAUUUUCAGCUUGUAAGCUAUUGGUUUUGUAAACUCUCUUUUCAUAUAUCAAAGUCCAAGUGUUUUGCCGAAGCCUGUCCCUCCUUUCUCUAUUUCUUUGUCCAAUUUUAUUGAGAGUGCAAAGUGAGAGGUGUGAUAGAGUUUGUAAACUUAUCACCUACAUGUUUUGGUAUUGAGUUAGUAAACUUUUCAAUACCAACACAAUCUACCACAUCGCUAAUGGAUUGGGUCGCUAUUUUAUCCAACUCUUCCACAUCGCCCUCGUACACCAAACGAGUGCCGCAACUCUUCACCAAGCAGGGGCCUGAGCUUUUGAAAUGAAAAAUUAACUGACUGAAACUGUUUUGCCACUCUGUACCAAAGCUUAUACCACGAGACACAUAGAUCAGCCAAAUAUGAUCUGACACGGGCUGGACAUCCAAAGAUAGGAGAGGCGCAGGGUACUCUUCCUUUCCAUUGACUUCCAAAACACCAGAGAGCUCCCAUCCGCUCCCAUAAACUUCAAAUACAGCGCACAGAGCAUAUCCCAUCCACUUGUUAUCACGCCAUUGCCGAGUUAGGUCAACGCUUACUUCUGAUCCCAUACUUUGACGAGUGAACCACCUAGGAAUUUCCUUUCCAGGCAUGACAAUUUCACAUCUAUCUCCUGCAUAAGGGACUCCCUGUACAGGUGAAACAGUGAUGUUAAGCAAUGAGAGAGAGAGAGAGAGAGAGAGAGAGAGAGAGAGAGAGAGAGAGAGCGAGAGAGCACCUUAAGAUAUCUUUGGAGCAUAGUAAAUGUAAUAUGAUUGUAGCUUUCUUUCUCAAGCAUUCCAAAGCAAUUGAUGAGAUUGAAGCAUGACGAAUUCAAUCUGUCCAAAUUUGAGGGACAUUCCAGCAUUUCCAGUUUAGUACAAUCAUCUGCAGUUACUUGUAGUAAACCUACAUCUGAUGAAAGAACUGGAAGGUGUUGAAGCUUCCUGCAACGACUCAAGCAUAAAUUCUCAAGUUUAGAGAGUUGGCUAAUGCUUGUAGGAAGAUUAACAAAAUUGUUUCCACUUAAGUUCAAUGAUACCAAAGAUGAUAAGCAGCCAAUAUCAUUGGGGAUUGCUCCUUCACAAAGAUUGUGACCACUUAAGUCUAAUUCCAUUAAAGAACAAAGGCCUGAUAGAGGAGGCAAGAACAAACUGAUGGGAUGAUGACGGCUCCCUGGCAUUAAUCUUAAAAGGAGCGAGAUAAGCCAUGGUCGUUGUGAUGGCCCUUCCAUUCCAUGAAAAAUCAAUGCUUUAAGGUUUUUCAGAAGGGCAAUGGAAGAUGGACAUUCCUUUAUAGCAGUUCCACUUAAAUUAAUCUUCUCCACAAACUCUAAUUUCCCGAGGCUUUCUGGCAAUUUGGCAAGAUUUGAGCAUCCAGAAUCAUCAAGAAUUUUAAUAGCCCUCAAAUUUCCAAUGGCACUAGGAAGACAUUUCAGAUUUUUGCAAUCUCUCAAGUCCAACAAAGAAAGGCUGGUUAGAUGUUCAAGUGGUGAAGGUAUACAUUCAAUACCAGUCCCAUCUAAAGAAAGCUUCCGUAAAUGCUCCAUAGGUUCCACAAAAUUUGGAAUCUUUUUAACGCUUGAGCAGCCAGAAAGAACAAGAACUUCUAGGUGCUCCAUCUCAAUCUCAUCCGGAAGAAGCUUGAGACUUUUGCAAUAUUUAAGAGUCAAGAAAGUAAGCUUUUUGAGAGUUCCUAUGGAAGAGUGAAUCUCAUCUAAACUUUCGCAUCCUUCAAAGUCUAAUCUCUCAAGAUUCUGAAUCCCUUCAAAAUCAGGGGUUCUAGUCAAACUUUUGGAAUGACUAACUUUAAUGAUUUUCAACUUGUCAAAAUUCUGUAAUGUUUACAAGAAAUGUAGAAUAAUUAGAUCCAGAAAACUCAAAUAAGGUAAUGAAAUAUAUACUUUAACAAAUAAGGUAAAUAAUAUUGUAGAUGUAAGUGCUUACCUUUUUUCCGUUCCAGAGCUGUUCAAUUCUACUAUGACACAUGAUCAGUUCAACAAGCUCAUCCGGGUCGAAUCCUGAUGGGAGAUAUUGUAGAGGAUAACCUCUCCAUUCAAGAAAUCUCAAGGAAUUAGGGAGACGGUUGAGGCCUUCAGGAAGGCGCAUGUUGUGGACUUUGAGCAAUCUAAGAUUAACCAUCUGAGAAAAAGCUUCAGGAGGGCAUUCCACCUCUUUUGUUUCCAGCAAGUCUAGGACAAUGCCUUCAACUGUUGGUGUCCCCUGAUAACCAAGAAUAAAAAAACAAGUGAAUUGCAGUAUAAUAUGCACAUUAUAAAAGUAAAGGAAGAUGAGUAAAACAAACUGUUUUUUUUUUUUUUACGUGCCUCUUAAUCGUUAGAUUAAUUUACAUUUGACGUAUUAGGUAAGCUCUUACCGUUUUUUCCUUCAAAACAUGAAAGAUGUCCUUACAAUUGUUUGACCCUUUUUUUGUAACAAAUCAUGCAUCCGCACCCUGUUAUCUGAAAUUGUUGUCAGAGACUUCUCCAUAAGGACAUCUAUGUCAAUACCUGGAUUAAAACCACAACUAUCAAGUAUUUCAAAUACUCGAUCUUUGUCCUCCCCUUUAAAGAAACAUGCGAUGUCAAGGAAAAUCUCUCUCCCUUGCGGAUCUAAUCCCUCGUAACCUGUUAUAAGAAUCUUCAUAAUUUUUUCAUCCAAUGUGAAAUCACCCUCUAGUUUACGCAAUUGACUGCUCCGUGCAUCUAGAUCUCUUCCAUACAAAAAAGACCCCAAGACUUCAAGAGCUAAUGGAAGGCCACUGGCAUAGUCCACAAAACUGUACGACAGAGCCUUAUAACUUUCAGGUGGAUUCUCUCUAGGGAAGGCUCUCAAGUUAAAAAGUUUAAGAGCAUCAACUUUACCCAGCUCCGGCACCUUAAAUUGUUUUUCUACACCAUGUGAAAUUAGCAAGCGUUCAUCUCUAGUCGUAAUAAUGAUUCUACUCCCCUGACCAAACCAAGCUGGUUUUUCACAUAGCUCUCUUAACUGGAUACUAUCGUCCACGUCAUCAAGAAUGAUGAGAACCUUUUCUGAAGUAAGAAACUUCUCCAUCUGGCAGCUUCACCGGCAGCCCAGUCUUGUAUAUUUCUUUUCAUAAGGCUAUUGGAAAGCUUCCUCUGUACACAGGCCAUACCGUGUGCCUUAGAAUCCUCUCUAACUCCGUCAUGAAAGCUUUCGGCUUGAAAUUUAUGACGAAUCCUCUCAUAACAUGCUUUGGCAAGGGUUGUCUUACCUAUCCCACCCAUCCCCCAUAUUCCUAUAAAGAGAACAUCAUUUGACUCUAGUUCUAAAAGCACAUCAAGUUCCUUCAGUUUCGAUUCAAUGUCAACUAGCUUUUCUGCAGGUUCCAAUGAUAAAGGUCCUACUUUAUUCCGUACAUUUUCAAUAAUUUGUUCGAUGACAUCUGGUUCUCUACAAGAAAAAUAGACAAUGUCAAGAUAUGACCUAAUACACAAGGAAAUAAAAGAGCCACAGACUAUUUUUGUUUUCGUCCACCUGAAGUCAUAGUACCAAGUGGUCUCUGCGUCCAUCUAUAAGAGGGUGGUUUGGUAUUGGACAAAAUUAGAGACGGUUUAGGAAAAGGGGAGGACAAAAAAGCGUAGCAGUAUUGGAUUUCAAACAUAUGACUUCUUAACUGGAUCAAUUUUUUCCCCUUAGACUCUCAAAUGGACCAAAUAAUGGUAAAAAGAAAGGCUCUCUAGGAUGGAACUGUAGGCAUAAACACAGUCUACAAAGCCUCAAUGUUUAGUCAUUAAGUUGUAUUGGGAUUAAGCGGUUAUGAAGCACCUUCAUUACUGUGCAAAAAGUAAAUGAUAUGAAUUCUUCGAUUUUCCUAUAAGUUAUUGUAUCAGGCUUUAGAAGAAUUGAAUUAUAAAAAAAAUAGCAAGAAUGAAGGGUCAAGUGCUGAUUGCUAAAGCUUUUGAAUUGAGUGAAAGAGAAAAACAAGUAAUGCCAACCUAUUCUUUGAAGUAGACCCUUUGAUUUUUGCCACUUUUUGUAAGGCAUCUUUCCAUUGUUCCAAAAUCACUUCGGCAUUCUCACUCUUUGUCAUUCUUACACUUUUGUUCGAGUUCAGUGAAGCCUUUCCCAAAACUCCCAGACCUAUCUCCAACAUCGCAGGGUUCCACCUGGUAGAAAACUGGUAUAAUUGCCCCUCUCUCUUCCAUGCAUUCAAGAAUCUUUACGAGUUCGUUCAGGCACCAUUUUGAAGAAGCGUAGUUUGGAGAGAUGACCAUGAUGGCAAGCCUCGACUUUUCAAUUGCCGGGAAGAUUUCAGAAACUUUUCUUCCUAUUUCAAGAUCAUUGUCAUCAAAGAAAGUUCUUGUAAUUCCUUGUUCUUCCAAUUCCUUAAGUAGAUGGGCGGUAAAACCUAAGCGCGUGUCGUCGCCCCUAAAACUCAAAAAGACAUCAUACUGCCAUUCAAGAGCUGAAGGAAGAGAUGAAGCGGCUCGUUGGGUGCUCGAUGCCAUUGAAUACAAGCUAACUGGAAUGGUGGUAUUAGUUUUCCAAGCAAAAACAUGACCAGAAAAAUAAUUCAGCAUUCAAAAUAUUGUAUUAGCCAAUAACAUGAACAGAAAUAACCAUGAAUCAGAAAGAUGAGCAAUAACCUGUGUGUAUGUAAGAAAAUGAAGUCACAGAUCAAGUCAGAUCAAGUCAGAGGGGGCAUGAGAGGGGCUACAAGUCUGUCUGUAUGUCGUCAAGUCCAAUCAAUGCUUAGGUACACCAAGUUGCCUAGUGGCCGUCGUCGUCUAACGAAACUUCACCGCGGAGGCUUGAUGGACGUGAUUCAACUGCUGCUUCUAUCCGACGGUCAAACCGCGUAAGCUCUAUUUUCCCACUUUUUAUUUUAUUCGUUUGGUGAUUCAACUGCUCCAUUAUUUUAUUUUUGUGUAGCUCCAUUAUUAUUUUUUAUACUAAUGCAGAGCACACCACAGUUGAAUGUUUCUAACAAACACAAAAUUUAAUUGCAUGCACUUCUUUUCUUCCAGAAACACAAAAUUUAAUUUUCUUUAAGUUGACCCAGUGCGUUUACUUAGACAAUCACCUGUGCACUAGUUGGGAAAAUUCAUCCUCGGACUCAUCGUCCUCAUGGUUCACAUUCACAAGUGGCACAUAAAAAUCAGGUGUUGAAAUUAGAGAUAAAAUGUAGAAGAUACUGUCGGCAAAAGCAAAUAAUUUUUGUUUUGUUUUUUUUUAUUUUUUUGUUUUUGUUUUGUUUUUAAUAUAACCUAAGAAAUAAACUGCAGCUAGAAAUUGAAAGUAAUGAAAUAAAAAUGAAAGAAAGUAAAGAAAAAGUUACUUUAAGUCUGUAGCUAGACGUCGCAGAAGCCCGGUGGCUAGAUCACUGGUUCCUUCAGAGUCAAAGACUCGCUUGUACCAAACUUCUUUGGGAAUGACUUUAGUAGAGACUUCUUGACCUUGAGCACACAACCCCUGCCCUCUAGUUCAAUGUCCACAUUACUGUUUUGAAAAACUUGCUUAACCAUAUAAGGUCCCUUCCACCGAGACUCUUGUCUCCCUGGAAUUAACUUGAAACUGGAAUUUAACAACCACAUCUUUCUACCAGGCUGUAUUUUUGCAACUUUUUAUUCUUUCCCUUGAUAUUUGGAUGUUUUUGGUCAAUCUGGUGGCCUAGAUAGUUGUCAAACAAAGUUGGUUCUGCUUUUGAUUUUUACACUUCAACCGCCCGAACUUUUUGCUGUUGCACUUUACUAUCACACUCACGAAUCACAUCUUGAGUCUUUAUGAGCAGAUGGUUAGUUAAUGAUCUGGUCAUAAAUUUGGCCUUAGGUAAACCAUCUAAUGCAUCAACACGCAUGCAUUCUUUCUUGUCACUUGGAUGUGUGAUGACUUCAAACAAAUUGAAAACAACUGUUUGAUCUUCAACCCGUAGUGUUAAUGUUCCUGCUUCAACAUCAAUAAGAGUUCGGGCUGUUGCCAUGAAGGGUCGUCUCAAAAUGAUGGGUGUUGUCAAAUCUUCAUCCAUGUCCAACACCAUAAAAUCAGCUGAUAAAUAUAAAUUGUCAACCUUAACAAUAACAUCUUCGAUGAUUCCUCUAGGAUAGGUAAUUGAACGGUCAGCCAAUUGAAUAAUGUUGGAGGUUGGCUUCAGCUUGCUUUCACCUAAACGUUUAAAAACAGAAUAAGGCAUUAAGUUUACACUAGCACCUAAAUCAAUUAACGCACUUUAAAAAUCAAAAUUGCCAAUAGUACAGGGAAUAGUAAAACUCCCUGGAUCUUUCUUCUUUGGAGGCAAUUUGUGUAGUAGAACUGCACUGCAUUGUUCUGUGAGCACAAUUUUCUCUGUUUCCACGAGCUUUUUCUUCUUAGUGCAAACAUCUUUCAAAUAUUUAGCAUAAGAAGGAAUCUUGUUAAUCGCUUCCCACAAUGGUAAAUUAUUUGAACUUUAGCCAAUGUCUGUAUGAAGUCUUUUAACUGCUGAUCCUUAGCCUUUGGUAUUAACCGUUCUGGAUAUGGUACUGGAGGAUUAUAAACACGCUCAGAAACCUGUUUUGGGACAGUUUCUGCACUGGUCAGAUUCUGUUUUGAUGCAGAAUUGGCAGGUUCUACCCUUGUUUUUGCAGAUUCUGUAGAAAUUUUCACUGCUGGCAGAUUCUGUUCAGUGCCAUUUUCACGGUUGUCAUAACUUUUACCACACCUUAAAGUCCGUAUUGCACAACAAUCCUCUGUACCUCUUGGAUUAUACAUCAUUUGACUAGGAAACCUUCCUUUUUCUCUGUCUGAAAUCUGUGCAGCUAGCUGCCCAAAUUGUAACUCUAAACUUUUAAUUGAUGCCUCAAUAUUCUGAAAUCUUUGAUUGCUGCCUUCCAUGAAUGUUUGUGUUGUUGCUGCCAGUUUAGUCAUUUGAUCCUCCAAUGAUGGUUUGGAUGGUACAAAAGGUUUUUGUGCUUGUUGGAAUGGUCUUGCAUUAUUUUGAUUGUCACCCCAUUUGAAAUUAUGAUGAUCAUUCCAUCCUGGAUUGUAAUGAGUUGCAUAUGCAUCAUUCCUAGGCCUUUGAUAACUGUUCAUCAUAUUAACAUGUUGCUCGACAAGCUCUGGGUAAGAUUCUUUAUGUGGACAGCCCAAUAUGUCGUGUGUAGCCAUGCUGCAGAUAGUGUAGAUUGUUGAUGUAGGUUGCUGCUGCUGUGUAGAAUUUGCUAUCUGUUGUAAAAUAAUGUCAAACUUUGCAUCAAUUUUUUUCUCCAUUUUUUCCAUUUGUGCAGACAUAUUAGAGGAACCUGCUGAUAACUCAAAAAUGCCCCUUUUUUGUGAAUGUUCUGCUGCCCACUCUUGAGAUUCUGUAGCCAUUGUAUCAAAUAAUUCAAAUGCUUCUCUUGCAGAUUUAUUUGACAAUGAACCCCCAUCUGAUGCAUUAACAUGACUUUUAGAUGUAGGAUUAAGCCCAUCAAAGAAAAUAUUCAUUUGUUUAUCUGAAUCAAUAUUAGCAUGUGGACACUUUAUAUACAUUUCUGUAUAUCUCUCCCACGCUUCAUGAAAUUCUUCGUUUGGCUUUUGAGUGAAUGUCAUAAUCUCCCGCUUGUAAUUUAAUGUCUUGGAUGCCGGAUAAUAUUUGUUCAGGAAUUUUGUAUGCAAUUGUUGCCAAGUAGUAAUGCUAUUAGCUGGUAAAGUGAACAACCAAGUUUCUGCCUUAUCCUUCAAAGUAAAAGGAAAAAGACGUAACUUAAUAGCCUCGACAGAAAAACCCCUGAUCAAAAUAUUUUUGCAACCCACGAUGAAUUUUGCAACAUGUAAAUUCGCAUACUCGUUAGGCAGCCCACAAAAAGUAGGUAAAAUUUCAAGCAUAUGGUGCUUGAUCUCAAAUGAAUCACCAUCUUCAUGGGCAGGAUACACAAUACAAUUAGGAACAUCAUUGACUCAGGCAGCCAAUGACUCUCUGAGUGGCCUGCCUGCAGCAGGCAAUUGCAACGCCAUUGUGAUUUUACUGCCUACAAAACCAGCAAACAAUUCCUGCAGGAAUGUGCCUUGCACUGCACAGUCCCAAACCAAAUUAUUUUCUCUCCCCUGUCUAUGCAGUGUGCGUUCGGGUUCUGGACCAAACUGUGCAAUCUGGGCAGUUCCUGAUCUAGUUUGGACCAUGCAAUUUACAGAAUCUACAAUCACACAAAAGCGUUAAAAUAAUUUGAAUUUUUUGUUGUCUUUUUUUGACGAAAAAUAAUAUAAAAAAAAAUAAUCAGAAAAAGUUUAAACAAAAAUUAUCUAAAAUAGUCCCCGGCAACGGCGCAAAUUUCUUGAUAGGAUUUUUAACGUCUAUGCAAAUAGGGUCAAAAUCACAUGAAAUACUUGCAAGAAUACAAGGAUGUUGUAGUAUAGAUGCUCAUGCACGGUCGUUUUCCUCAAUGAUUAUUUGGAUAAUUUAUGUAGAAACAAUUCCUAAUUAAAUAUUUAGAGUUAAAACUUGAGAAAAGAGAGUUUGAGAGUGGGUAAUAUUAAAAGCGAAUUUUAAGCAAAAACUAAUAUAAUCAAAGAAAAGAGUUUUAAAUACCAAUUUAUAAAGGCACCAGGGUUCCACCAUCACCUAGCAAUUUUAUGUAUUUUUACCAAUUACUUAUAAUUUAGACAUGCCACUUCGAAGGUUAGGUUUUCCUAAUACAUAUUCUCCUCGUGAUAGUCAAGCAAGAACAUAUAUCUAACAUGCAAUCCGUAUGUGAUAUUCAGAUCAAAUAUGAAUAUGCAAGACUCAUUAAGUUUUAUGAAAACCUUUUGAAGAACCAUGCAACCCCUAAGAACGUGAUAUUCGCCUUAGAUGAAAUUACAAUUAUCAAUCACAAGAAGCAAUACUCAAUCCUCCGGUGAUAUUCCGACCGAAUUGCAUCCAAUUACUUGUCUAAACAUCCUAAUAGUGGCCAGUCAUCAAGAUAAUUAGAUAGUUUAAAACAGUGAUCAAUAAUUCAAAGUGUGCAUGCAAUCAAUCAUAAGCAAUUAAAUAAAAAUUACAUAUUCAUGCUAAGGCUCAAGGUUUCGCCCUAGCAAAAGGAAUUAGUUAUGCAUAUUCAUAAUUGAAAUCAUAGAGCUUAUUAUUAAAAAUAAAAGGAAUGAAAGCACCUUAAAGUAGAAAAUCUCCAAGAACCCUAGCCAAGUUCUUUGUCUCUAAAGUUGAAUAAUAAUAAGCGUAGAAAAAAACUAUAGACGGCCAAAGCAAUAUAUUUGCUCAGCCCUUACAAACCCUAAGACAUAGGUUUCUUAUUCCAACUAGGAAACUAAAAAUAAAAUAAAAUAUCUUAGAAAAUAAAACCCUAAUUAAACUAGGAAUCUGCCAAGUACUUGUCCAGCCACGUUUUAGCCUCAGAUCUCCUCCAAAUCCAGCCCAAGAUAGCUUGUUUUAAAUAAGAACGUUCCGAACAGAUCUCCAGAAGGCCACGAAACCAUUCGAGGUCAUCUUGGGCUCCAAAAACGCAAUUUAAGCCCAGAAACGUCAUUUUUCAGCACCGCGCAUCGCUCCUUUAUUUUAUCGCCAAAAAAUAACCGCUUGAUGGAAAAAUCCCAAUUUUUGAUACGAUCAAGCUAAGUGACUCACGAACGUCUUCCAACUGGAAUUACUCCAAAAUUCGUCCAUUUGACCACGUUUUGCUUCAGAGGAAGUCGAAAGUCCUAUAUUGAAAAUACAAUUCAAAGUAUCAAAAUUCUUCUAAAAUAUGAACCAAAAUAUACCAAGAAUAGGGUUAAAUAUAUAAUAUAAAAUUCACUUAUCAAAGCUCCUCAUCUCUGAGAGGAGAGCAACCACAACUGUCACUAUUGCAUCAAAUCUAUGAGUAGAACUCAAAUCCAUAUCAAAUCACUUAUGCAGUCUCAUUCACAAGAAGCCUGACACGCUUUUGGUAUGAACGGCACUGAUCAACAAUCACUUCUUCCUUCAAACCCUGCCAUAGUAUUUCAUUUUGACCAUUUAUGACCGUUAAAUUUGCACAUAUUAAGAGCCCGGAUGGUAAUAUUAUGAUUUUGGUUCAUUUAUUAUAUUUUAGUAAAAGCCAAAGAGGAAUUGUAUGGGAGAAAAGAGGGAGAACAAAAGGGCUCAGAUGGGUGGGCAUGAAAAUGAAUAUGGAACGGUAUUUAAACCAAAAAGCAAAAUCAGUCUCAACUGUUCUAUAUUUCUCCUUAAAGUUUUUACUUCGCCCAUUUCCCUUCAAUCGUCCAUACCUCCUCCCUUCUACAAACACAAGAAAAGUGCAGCCCUUAAAGGUACUAAGUUUCGAGUAAUUAACCACCUAAUUCCGACCCUGCUAAAAGUCCCAACUUAAACUUUUUUUACAAUCACAGUAAUUGACACCCAAUUACUAGCCUCCUCCACCUCUGGAUAACUAGCCUUAUAAAUAAAGUUUUGUUAUCAAUAUUUCUCAUCAAAUAAUUUACAUACAGUGCAUAGUAAAGAAAAGUAUGGACCAUAAAUAUUCUCCACAAUUGACCAUAUACAAGUUUCAGAACUUUCAACUGUGGUAAGAGUCCCAUAUGAAACUUUCACCGCUAGAGAACUCCACACACACAAAAAAAAAACAUAGAAUCAUUGGCCUCUCAACAAAAAUAUUUCUAGAAAAACAUAAAUGAGAAAUUAUCCUUUAAUAAUACCUUUUCGGAAAGAAAUUAAUCAGAAAUCUAAAAUAAGGUAGAAAAUAAUAUUACCUCAGGAUUCUUAGGAUCCAAGGCAUUAAGCAUUUCCAUCAACACAUCUGCAAUUCCACGAGCAUUCUGAAUCUCUAGCAAGCUGAUUAAAGACAGUUCCAAUCAGGAUGGAUCUAUCAUAGUUUCAAUUAAAAGGAUGAUUUUUGCAGCAGAAGAACAACAUUGACACCAUUCAAAUACAAACAUAUAAGACAAUAACAUAUGUUUCAACUCUUCUUCCAGCCUUGAAAUAGAUUUGGAUGACUAAGAACUCCUACUCUCAAGCCUUUGGUGACACGCCCCGAUCCCGAUAUUCCCAAAAUACCAGGAUAAGCACAUGCUGGUUGACACCUGACGAAAGCCAUUUAUUGAAUGCAAAUGUUGAGAAUAAGGAAUAAAUAAGACUUAGAAAUAUAAAAGAAUAAUGAAUAUGCAUUUAAGGAACGCGUUCAGAGAAUACAACUAACUAGAACACUAAAAGAAAUAAUAUAAAAUUCAAAGAAUAAAAGAAUGGGUCCUACACCGAGAGGACUCGAAGAUGCCGAUGCGGAAGUGCCUUGACGUCAGGAUUGUAUGUCUCGAUUCUAAGUCCUGAAGGGGGCGCAAAACAAACAUGAGUGGACCAAGUUGCUAUAUAUAUAUAUAUAAUAAAACAGUUAUCAACAUACUAACCCCCAGGUUUUAUGAAAACACAUAUAUAUCAUGAUAAACAUAUGUUUUCCGAAACCUAGCAUGUCGUGCAAUGUCUCAAAUCAUAACUUGUAUAUAUAAUAAUCACUAGUGAAUUGUCCGAUAACCCCCAGGCCCCAUGCCGACUCCCCGUCUCUGAGCAGACAGUCAAAGGAAAAUACACUUCAAGUCCCAUGCUGGCUCCCCGUCCCUGUGCUAAAUAGGCAGAGGAAACACACUCCAGGCCCUAUGCCAACACCAAACCGUCACCAGGGACGGACCAGAAUCUAUCCCUACGUCCCGUAGCGGAAAUGACCACUAGGUAAGUACAAAAUCAUUGAACAUAUAUAUAUUGAAAAACAACUUCAUAGUAUAAAGUCAUCCAUCAUCUAUACUAUAAAGAGGUGUUCGAAACAUGUUCUAAAUAUUAUAUCGUCAUCCAUCGGAUAUUUAUAAGAACACGGGUUAUAGGAAAAAUAGGAAUAAUUCAACUAGCCUCAAUAAGCAUAUUAUCUCAUAAAACGUUUCAUAAAACGUAGUCAUCAAAUCAUGUUUUUCAUGUAUGCAUUUCUACUAUCAAAACAUGCAUUUUUAGAAGGGGUCCACUCACAGAUACUUAGCCGCCAAAGAGCCACGCAAACUAGCAAACACGGAAACGCCACAAUAAUUGCUCCUAAGCACGUAAAUGGUCCAAUUAAUAAAACUAUACUCAAACGAUUUAAUUUGGGAAAACAGACGUCGAAAACGGAUUCAGAACAUCAAAUUAUCUUAAGAAGGGUCCCGGAUAAAUUUCGUAAACGUCAAUAGAAUAUUCCAAAGAAUAUUCCUUGACGGAAUAUUUUCUGAUGGAAUAUUCCACAAAAAGGUUUGAGCCGGUUAGGGUUUAGGGUUGGAAGGGUUAAAGGGUUUAGGCUUAGACUUUUAGGUGGGUUGGGUUUAGGUUUUUAAACUGAAAGGGUUGCUUUAACAUAUAAGGGCCAAUGGCCUUUAAAACCAAAACAAAUAAAAUAGAAAAUAAAAAGGGCUGGAGGGUUCUAGGCCCAAAGGCCUAAACUAAAAAAGGGUUUGGGGUUUAAAGUGUAUGGGCCCUAAGCCCUCACAGCAAUGGCCCAAAGGCCUUUAAUUAAACAAAAUAAAAUUAAAACAAAAUAAAAAGAGAAAUGGGUUUGGGUUGGGCUCGGCAGGAAAGGCCCGAAGGGCCUAUGUUUGAUGGGUCGCUAGACCCAAGGAAGAAGAAGGCUGGAAUUCGGCCGAAAGGUUCUCUAACUUUAAACGUUCAUAACUUUGUCAAUACUCAACGAAAUCAAGUGAUUCAAAAACAGAAAUCGUAGCCCUCGAAGAGACGAAGAGAAUGGUACCUUGCACGACGUCUAACUCAUCAUGGUUUGGCCGAAAAUUUCCUCGAAAGGGAUGAGUCCCUAGUCGGAAAAUCUAGGGAAAGCUCCCCAAGUUGUUUUCACGUCUAAACCUUCACCAAAUACCAUAUUUUAACAACCUCUAAGCCUUCUAGACUACUAUGAAGGAAGAUCGAAGGGUGUUUUUGACUUACCUUGUCAGAAAUCACGUGCACCGUGACUGUGCACAGUGCCUAGACGAGAGAGAGAUCGCAGGGUGGUGAGGAAGAGAACGAUGAAGGUCAGAUGAUGAAGAUGAUGGUGAAGUUCUCCUGUUGGCUGUGUGUAUGUAUGUAUGGGUGUGUGUGUGAUGAUACUCGGGGAAGGAAGGAGAGAGUGCAGAGAGAGUUGAGAGAAGAAAGAGGGAAAAAGAGAGAAAGAAGAGGAUCACGGGGAGGGAACACAAAUAAAGGGGUUGGGCUCACCAAUUAAGAACUAAAAUUCAUUUUUAAAUAAAAUGGGGGUGGGGUGUAACAUUUGGUACUACUAAAGAACCGUAUAUUUAUUCGUAGAUGAUCAAUUGAAACACCCCACGGAUCAAUUAAUUCAAAUCAUAAUUAAAUACUAAUAGUGGCUUUAAAGAAUGUGUUACAUAUACAGAUGAAAAAGAAGAUUCAACAUCGUUACCAUUCAAAUACAAACAUACAAGACAAUAACAUGUUUUAACUCUUUUUGCAGCCUUGUAAUAGAUUUGGAUGACUAAGAACUCCUACGCUCAAGCCUUUGGUACUACCAAAGAACUGUAGUUUUCUUCCUAGAUGAUCAAUUGAAACACCCCAGAGAUCAAUUAAUUCAAAUCGUAAUUAAAUUCUAAUAGUGGCUUUAAAGAGUAUAGGCGUGUUAUAUAUAUAGAUGAAAAAACAGAAUCAACCUAUCAUAUAUACAGGAUGGCAACUUGUUUGGUGAUAGAUUCAGAACAACAGAGAGAAUUUUUUUUUAAAGAUAAGAUACCUUAAUGGUGUUUGAGUAAUAACACAUACAGACAUUAAAGGUGAAACCUUUUCCAAGCAGAUGCAGACAUACAAAAAGAUAUUAAGCUUAAAGACCUUAAUAUCCAGCUUUGGGUAUUGGCAAGUAUCUGCUAACCUUCCCUUAUACGUAAAAAAUUCUGAUAACCACAAUCAAGGCAACAACAACAAAAACAAAAGCAAAAAUUCCAUGCCUUAAGUAGAAAAAGUUCACUUAUGUUGUAAAACCCAUUCAUAAAGAUUUAGUCAACCAUUAACAAUCAUUCACUGUUGUAUCAACAAAAAAAAAUAGAAGGAAACAAGUUCUUAUGAUUGAAAGAGAUGAUUGUGAAAGGGUUAGGAUAUACCUGCUGCUAUGAAUUAUAGAUUCCAGUGGAUGAGGCUCUCUGUUUUUGAAAAACGUGCGUAUGGUUGAACGGCAACGAUACAUGACAUAGCAAAAAAUUAGAGGGAAAAGGAGUUUGUAUUCAAACACAGUAAAGAGAUUUGUAUUAGAAAUUAGUUUGUAUAAAAGUUAACAAAACAUAACAAAAUUUAAAAAUGGAUAGACAAAUACCUCAGUGUUUGAAUGAAUGGUUGCUGUGUGAAUGAAUGGUUUGAUCUGUAUGCUUGUGUUGGAUCUACAUGCAUAUGAAAAAUUAAAUUAAAAAGUGCAUCACAGAGAAAUGGAAAAACAACCUAGCAACAUAGAGAUAUUCGAAUGAUGUGAAGUGGAAAAGGAACCUGAAGGUGAUUUGGUGAGAAGCAAAUAGUAGGAAAGCAUGAAGAAACACACAAAUGAGCACAGUGCAACCCCUUUAUUUAUAAAGACAGAAAUCUCACACUAACAAUGAACUAAACGGCCUAAACCCACUAAUUAAAAAAUAAUAAACUUAAAAAGGAGUCUAAAUUUUGUUUACUCAUAAACAAAGGAAAAAAAAUUCUGAAAAACACAAAUAUCAAGACAGUGUAGUCCCCUAAUUUACAAAGACUAAGAGCAAACUCUAAUAGUUAACUAAACAAUUUAAAAAUAUCUAUGACAACUUUAAUGAAGGGAAAAUUAGCCAUGACAAUUUAACAGUGUAGCCCCCUAAUUUACAAAGACUAAGAGCAAACUGUAAUACUUAACUAAACAAUUUUAAAAUAUGUAUAGCAGUUUUAAUGAAGGAAAAAUGAGCUAUGACAAUUUAAUGAAGGGAAUGGCAAAUCAAACAAUGAACAGCAAAUUGAAAACAAUAAAUUGUAUAAAUUUACAUAUGUUUUACUCAAUUUUUUUUUUCCAUUAAGCUUUCAUGUUGCUGUAAAUUUAGGCGUUUUCUCUCUGUGUUGGUGUAUCUGCCUAAACUUGUAAAAUGUUGGUUCAUCUUAUGCAAUUUUUGAUAUACUUAACAACCUACUGCCUAUGUGCAAUGGAGCACCACAAAUUUAUCUACAUUAUGGUUGUUAGGACAAUGGAUUAGGUUGUAGGAUAAAUUCGGACAUACAGCUAACCCUAGAGGUGAUCUAAACAAUCUACAAAAGACUAAGAGCAAACCCUAAUAGUUAAGUAAACAAUAUAAAAUAUAUAUGAUAGCAUUAAUGAUAGAAAAAAUAUCUAUGACAAUUUUAAUAAAUGGAAUGGCUAAUCAAACAGUAAACAACAAUUAAAAACAAUAAACUGAAAAAGAGUUAACCCUAAGGUGAGCUAAACAAUCUACAAAGAUAUAUGACAAAUUUAAUGAAGGAACAAAAUAUCUCUAACAAUUCUAAAACAAAAAAAAGGAUCAAUCACACAAAAAUUAAUCAAGAAACAAACAAAUUAAAUCAGUGGAAGACCCUAAUUGAAAAAAAUAGAGACAUAAUCCUAGCACCCAAUUGAACAAUUUAUAAACAUCCAUGACAAUUUGAAUGAAAGAACAAAAUAUAAAUGAAAAUUUUAACAAAGCAAAUGGCAAUUGGAUACUAAACAAUGAAAAAAAAAACAGUGCAUUACCUUUUGAAUCAAGGGAGAAAGUUGAAAACCCAGACCCUGCCAUUCGUCCCUCAGCCAUCCCCUCUUCACCGACUCUGUGCGUAACCCGUUAACCCUAAAGAAUACACACACCCAUGCUUUCCGCUCUGUAUCUAUCUCCCUGUCCAUCUCUCUCUCUAAAAUGGGAGAAAAUCCCAUAGAUCCUAGCAGAGGACCUAGCUAAAUCUAUCUCUCACUCAGUCCAAACCCAUAGCUCCCAUCUCUCUCCAAUCUGUCAGGCCUUGUGUCUCCCUCCUCUCUAGUCGCUCCGUCCCCCUUUCUCCGCUCGCCACAGCCACAACCACACCCAGCUGUCUCCGAGUAAAAAAUAGGAACGAUCGUCUCUCUCCAAUUUGUCAGCCGUGAUGUCCCCCUCCCCUUUCUCUCCCCGAGUCAAAGCUGAAAUGCAGCCAACGGCUGAUAAUCGGUUUUUAAGCCUGAGUGGCAUUUUUGUAAUAAAGCGAAAGUUGGUUAAAAGCACCCUGAGUGGCAAUCUUGUAAAUAAACUGAAAUGUCUUCCAAAACACUGCUCAAUUGUACAAUGCAAUUUCCCCUCCUUCAUUAGACUAAAGUAAUAAUAAUUCAGACAAUUUAUACCAAAAAUAAAAAAACAUCCCAAAGCAUAAAAAAAGAUAGCAUCUGUUACAAUAUCAUUAUGUUUGAAUUGUGUAUAUAGGUAAUUAUGGGGGAUUCGGGAAAGAUGGAAUAACUAUACAAAGAAGAGAAAUGAUUUGAAGUCUAUUGUUCGCUUUUCUUAUUAGCACAAAAUUCAAUCAAGCAAGGAUGAAUUCUUUCAUAAAUUACAGUUACGGAUCAUGACAUUCAACAAGCAGCAGCUGAAAUAGUUGUACAAACAUAAAAAAUCGAUGCUGACUGACAUCUUUAAUUAAAGAUUAAGGCCCUAGGACUGACAGGAUUUAUAAUAGUAAGGGUGUAAGAGACAUCCUCAUGUCAAUGGGAGAAUUGAUGAAUACUUGACAAGGUUAAGGCCUUUCAAAUAUGUAGUCAAAUUUUUCUGCAGUCUUAAAGCAUGCACAACACAUUCAAAUUUGAUGAAGUAUAUAUGAAACAACCAACAUGUCUUCGUUGAUUCUCAAUUUCCAACACAUGUUUGCAAAUUGAAACAUUCUCUCUAUGGUCUUAAACAAGCCUCAAGGGCGUGGUUUCAAUGUUUUUUCCAACCACCUAGAACAUCUCGAUUUUGUGUCUUCUUAAGCAGAUUCGUCUCUAUUUGUUUACUGUCAUGGUUUAGUUCGCAUUUAUUUACUAAUCUAUGUUGAUGACAUCCUUAUCACAGAAAAACAUGAACAUAAAUAACCAUGAAUCAGAAAGAUGAUCAAUAACCUGGGAGUAUAUAGAAAACGAAGUCACAGUGUUCGGGCGAAGAUUUCUCCGGAUAGGGCUCCUCGGCUCUCAGCACAGCUCUCCAAGGGAUUGGCCUUUUGGAUGUGUAGUUAAGCUCUUGCUUGUUGAUGUGUUGCAAGAAGAGGAUAGAGUUAGUUUUGAAAGGUGCCUUUGUAGGGCCUUAAGUGUAGGCCUUGAGACUCGCAAUCAAAACUAACUGAAUGCUAGGCGUGCCACUGCUAUCUCAGUAUAGCAGAUGUAGAACAAAUGUGUUUUAGUCGAUUACUUACCCCCCAAGUUACUCAGACUUCUUGUUAUCAAAAGAUUGUCGUGGAUGGGUUAAGUCCACAUUAAGUUCUUUUUCUUGCCUUAUGACCAAGGACUUUCAGUUCAUAGUCUUGUAUGUUCAAGUGAGGGAAGUCCAAAUCUCCUUAAGUCAUCUACUCGGUUCUUGAUUGGUUUUUAAUGAAGGCAUAUUCAUUUAGGUAACCAGAUGCGAGCACAAACGAGACUCUUAAAAUAGGAAAACAGAUGGAUAUGACUUGAAUACAUGAUGGAGAAUACAUUAAGUAGUAGAUUUAUUAACUUAUAAAACAAACAAAGAGCUUUGAGCAAGAUUUCACCUUGUCGGGCAAGGUUGAACUUCUUGCAAUCACUUCUCUUUUGAGUUUACAAGGUUUAUUUGCUAAGAAGGGAUGAAUGGUAAACAAGUUUACACAAGAGAAUCGAUACUACGCCACUAGGGGUGAUAACAGAGCUUCUAAACUAGACAAAAGAUGGCUUUUGUGGGGAAUGAUCAUGAAAAGAUGGCUAACUACAGCUUUUAGAUGCAAAUCCGGCUUGAGAUAAGAGUUUGUAUGAUUGGUUGAGUGUCAUUGUCUUUGGGGCCUCUUCUUCCUUUUAUACACAGAUUAGCCCGACUAUUGUAGCUUUGCUCUUGCCCAAAAGUAAUUGAAGGGUAGUGAGUCAUCAACUUUUUACUUGUAUUGCCAUUAAAAAGUGCUUUUUGGCUAAUUAUGGGUUAGUCCCCAUCACUUGACACUUAAAUCAUAGGCACAUGACCAAUGCAUUAAUGAGAAGGCGCCAAUUUAUCUCUGGGCUUGAUGCUGGGCUUUGGGCAAGUCUUCCUUUAAUUGGUGUUUUUGCUUCUACACACUUGCAGCCUAAAGUUCAAAUAUUAACCCAAACAAAACUUCUAACCCACGAUCAUAGUGGUCACUCCUCACACCCCAAGCCAGAUCCCUCGAUUGGAUGCAGCUAAUGAAUCUCUCUCUACAAAAGGGACUAGCAUCUUCCCUAAAAGCGUCAUGGAAGACCGAAGUUGUAGAGGGCAGAGAUGUCUCCGAGUUGCUUGGAGAUUUUGAGGACGAAGCCGAGCUUGUAGUUGAGUGUUGGCCUACAUGUCGGACUCCGGCAAUGGUGGUAGAAACUUCAGAGUCUGAGCCCGAAGCGUGGCUGGCUCCAACAAAGAAAAAGAUGCGGGCACAAACUUCCACAGCUUCAAAGUCUUCUACACCAGUGGCUGAGGUGGGUAGGGAGAAACGGAAAGCUUUUAGUAAGUAAUCAUUGCUUCAUUUUAUUCACAACUUCAUGAUGAGAGUUGACAACUCUCUUUUCUUUGAUUCCAAGGCCCCAAGUGACUAAAAAGCCUACCAUCGCUUCAAGGGAUGACCCAUUGCGGGCUGAGAUGUCUCAAAAAGCAAAAAAUCUGCAAGAUUUCACCCUGGAGGAACUUGAGGUACAUCUUGCAUAUUAAAUUUUAUUCCAUUGGGUUCUUCCCUUUUCCUUCUUACUCUCCUCCAUACUAUCUGCCUAUUUUCUGAUUUAGGCCAUAAGGGAAGGAAAGAUCUCUCCGCCCGAGGCCUCCUCACCUCCAGCCCGAAUGGUACAAACUUCUCCCCCUCAGGCUAAGUCUUCAAAGGUAUAUCUUUUCUCUUCUUUUAGACUUGUAUCUUUAACAAUCCCAGAGUUCUAACACUCGAUUUGUACUUUCGUAGGCCAAGGUUGGAGAGGUUGCUUCCUCACUGGGCAUAGUUUUACCUUCAUUCUUCCAGCCUCUCUUCCACUGGUGGUGGCUCCUACUUCCUAGUUUGAUCCAAGCACUGCAAAGUUGUUACACUUUGUAGAAGAUAAUAGUCGCCCAGUAAGUACUUCCAUUAUCCUUUUUAUGUUCAGAGUUCCUUUUUUUCUUCCUUACUUAUCAUCUGUUGCCAUUUGUAGCCUUCCUUAUCACAGACAUCUCACCAACCAGCCGUGUUUGCUUUUGGAGAACCCGUAGUCCCUGAGAUCCCUGUGGUUUCAGAGGUGACUAGCCUGAGGGCUUCUCGGGCAGAGUCUCUUGAUGUAGUUGUUUCUGAAUUACCUAUUUCUCAACUUCAAGUAUAUCAUUAUCUUAAACUUUCGCUUCUUGUUUUCUGCAAAUUGUCUUUUUGACACUUGUUCUCUUUGAUGUCUAAAGGCCUCAGGUAAAGGCCCAGGCAUUAUUCCUUCCUCCUUAACAACCAAAAAUGGUCCCUCUCCACAACUAAAGGAAACAACUCUUCCUCCAUCUCAUUCCUUGGCUCCGAGCUCAACCCAGGUAUAUUGUCCUUACUUGUCUCGCCUUCCGCCAUUCUGAAUCAUAAAUUAUUUCCUUAAUUUUUCUCCAUUGGUUGCAACAGGGCUUUGGGGAAGGCUCAGGCAAGUCUUCACCACGCUUGGUGCACAAAAUAGAACUCCCUCGACCUUCUUUAGCUUCUAGGGUCAUAGGGAUUCCUAUCCCAAGGCCGAAAAAGAAGACUAAGACCAUAACUGCUUCUAUCUCUCAGGUUCCUCCCUCGGUUGAAACUUCCUCCAUUGCUGCACCCUCUGAAGUAGCUGGAGUACGACCUUCUUCUCCUGUACCGGUUCCUUCAACAGUAUCUCUACCCGAGCUUUUUAAAGAAUUCGGGCAACUCAAGACAAAGUUAAGAUCUCCCAAGCAUCCAGGCAAUUCAAAACAAAGCUAAGAUCUCCCAAGCAUCCAUCUGAAUCUUCAGGCCUCCAAGAUCAACGCCGAGUCUUCCGAGAAUGGUUUAGAAGGGAUUUCUCAGCAUCCUUUAGCCUCAAGGCCCUCCAUGAUGUAGAGAAAGUAGUGACCGACAUUUUCAAGGCCGAUCAAUUAUCAAAAGUUCAGUAUGAGUCAUUUAUCUCAUAUUUUGAAAACUUGAAGGCUCUUAGAAAUCAGCAUAGUCGGGCUGAGAGGCAAACCAAUUGAGUAAGGUGCUUCAAGGAGAAACAAUCUAGUACUUUAACUCAAAUUUAGCAGCUAAUAAAUAAAGGCUCAGCCACGGAGGAGAAGAUCAAGAUGGUCUCUUCCAAUAUCCAGAAGUUAGAGGAGCAACUUGCUGUGUUGAAGGCUGAACAUGCGACUCUCAUUGGCAAGCUUCAGCAGCAAAUUGAAGGAGUAAAAAAGGCCAACAUGGAACUUGAAGACGCCGAAUCUCAACUUAUCAAUAGCAGCAUUGUUUUGACGGAGCCUACCAAAAUUUUCGCGCUCAUGUAGACUUAUUACUCCAGAAUAAUUACUCUGGGUGAAGAUGUACAUCUGUUAGGCUAUGAUCAAAUAUAAUCUUUUCUAAAAUAUACUUCUUUUCAUCUUGACUUGUAUCACUUUAAAUUGAAAUUCUUAUUGCCUUUUUUACUUCACCUCUUUUUUGAAAUCAUUAACUUUGUUUAAUAUAACGAUUUCUAACCCUCAAACAGUUGGAUGUCACCUCUUUAAACACUUAAUACUAACUGGAUGUCUUUGUAAGUUUUCUCUAAAUUGGUCGAUUAAUAUUUCCCUUUAUCUUGUGUUUUUCUCUCUUCCACACACCAAUAGUCUUUUGAUUAAGUACCUGACUGCAACUACCUGGUCAUUUCUUCUUUGUUCUGACAUUACUGGUGUUGGGAAAAUAUGGGGUCGGUCCCAUUCUUCCCUUGUAAGGAACAACCUUUGUUCCAAAAGCUUUUGGGCCGUCACCUUAGUCGGGCGGUCGUUCUCAUCAGCUCCUAAACACUGGAGAAUCUCAAUGCUAGGAUUAUAAAAAUUGACUUUUGCAACAUUGGUAGUGGGAAGGAAUGGCCGUGACUCGGCCUCUACCAUCUCCCAAAAUCCAGGUCCCAUAGCGCAUUCUUCGUGAUAAACUGCUACUUGUUGAUGUAGGGUGGAUGGCACCGAGAGACUUUGAUGAAUCCAAUCUCGGCCUAGUAAAGCUCCAUAUGUGGAAGUACUAUCCACAACGAAGAAAUCUAACAUGAUUUGCUUGAAACCCAAGUUAACCUCAAAGGGUCAUAUCCCAUGGGUUUUAAUGAUGGCUUCAGAGUAAGUGGAAACUGUUAAGUCCGUGGGGAUGAGGUCCUCCUCAUUUCUACAUACCCGCUUCAUCUGCUAAAGGGCAACACAUUGACCGCGGCUCAUCCAUCAAUCAAAACCCUCUUGAAGGGCACUCCCUCCAGAUGAGCAGUUACAUAAAUGGGCUUGAGAUGGUUGGCUAGGGUCAAACUCGGAUGACUGAAGACAAUCAUGUAUGUGUACACUCUCUCAGGCUUUCUCUUUGUGGGCUCGGGCACAUCUACUCUGCCCGAUUCCUCUUUUCCCACCUCUUCAACACUAACAUGUGCCAUCAUCGGUUCCGUUGCUAAGUAGUCAUCCUCCAUUAUGGCAGGUUGAUCAUGUUUCAGCACAAAACAUGGCGGAUAAAACAUAUUUUAUGUUUACGUGGAAGUUGCUAGGUUAAGAUAAGUUCUCAUUUUUGCCCCCAAUGCGGCUCAUGAACUCAUCUAACCAGGCCUGCGCUUCUUCUGGCAGCAUCAGCUCAGGCACCCUUUCUUCCCAGGUUAUGCUAAAGUUUGGGAUUUGUUGUGGAGCAUCGCAAAGAGUAUCAACCAACAAUGGUGCGGGCAACCCUCUCUCAGGUGAGAUAGUUCCAAAGCAUAUUGGUUCUAGGCUCCACCUUGGGGUUGGCAUCAUUACUAUAUCCUGUUGAGCUCUCUUAAAGAUUUUGUGUUUCCCAGGAUGGGGGUUCUAUGGCACAUGGUCUUCUUCCCUUUCGAUCUUGCUAUUAGACUUUUUCACCUCCUUCUUGGUUCUCCAAUGGAGUUGAUUUCUUCCAUCAACGAGUACUUUCUCAAACUUUACAUUCUCUGAGGUUUAUAAGGCAGUUGGGACUUUCAAUGAGUUCAUGUGGGCUUUAUGUUGCCUCUGGACUCUCCUAAUCAUGGAGGCUCUCAUUUCUUUAACGGGUCUCCCAUCAUUUCCGACCACAUACCAUUUCCUCCCGAGUCGGGCAUGAUUCUUCUUCGUGACUGGAUUCACAAUUCUACCCUUAACUCUGACAUCUCCACCAGCAUAGCUUGGUUGGGGUGGCCUCACAUCCACCCAUCUUGGCACCUUGGCCUCUUUGUCGUCCACCUCUUCAGAAGCUUCGUAAUUUCUGAAUACUUAUGACAAACCCUUUGGUUGGGAAUCUCCUUCCAACCUUUGGAAAACAUUCCUAGAGGUCUCUCAUUCAGCUGCCCACAUAACAUUUUUGCGUGCUUCCUGCUCUUAUUUCUUUCUUAUCUUGAUCAGCUCUUGAUCAAUAAUGGCUCCUAGUGCUGGGACUUCCAGCUCGUACUCACAUUGGCAUCUACUGCACAAUAUCACUCCCUUGAUUAUGGCCGCCUUGGGUUUCUCGGGCAACUUGAUGGCUCCAUUGGUUGGCCUAUCAACUUGCCUCCGUUAUGCUUUCACCUCACAUGUAGCUUUUCCUUUUCCCUUCUUAGCCCACGUCAAGUUGAUCAUGUUUAUUGGUACUUCUGGGAAGGGGUCAGAGUCAAUCAUCAUGUUGGCCUACGUUUCUCCAGCAACAACUUUCCUUUUAAUAUAAGGUCUUGUAUCCAAUCCCUGAUCUGGACAGAGUUGGUUAUAGAGUGAUUGAAAGUGUAAUGCAGCUUGCAAUAUUUUUUCCUUCUCAGUUCUCCGGCCUUGGGCAGUUUUUUGGCAUUGUCAGACACGAUGACUCUUGCUUGAACCAGCUCCUCAUAAAUCUCCGCUGCCUUGGUUAAAUUAAAGGAAUAACUCUGGUACUUGGGGGGUUUCAUGAGGAGCAAUCCACCAUCAUUCGUGACCACUUUCUAGUCUUUAAUUGGCUGUACUAACCCCUUUACAGUCAAAGGAUUAAAUGGGGUAGUCAUCUCUGCUGCGCAUACGUCCAUUCUCUCUCCUUCAUGACAUUAUUCUCUUCUGGCUUUCCUUCAAACUCCACUUGGUGAAUGGCAGCUUUGCUCUUAUAGAAAAGAGGCACCUUAGAUGAGUGCUUUACUUACUAUUCCUCCAGCAACAGCCUCUCAUACUUGUUGGUCGCAAUCACUAACUCAUUCAGCUCAUUGAAUUGUACAUCAUAAAACUUCUUCAUCAAAGACAAUCUUAACGCCCUCUGAGCAAUGGAUAUGAGAUGUGCAUGAUUUAUGGGGAACCGUCACCUCAUCCUCGUCUUCCUAAACCUCAUCAUGAAGUCUUCUGUAGACUCAUGCUCGUACUGCUUCGCCUUCACAAGGUCAUUGAUAACCAUCUCAGGUUUAACCCUGUAAAACUGCUCAUGGAAUGCCAUCUCCAUUUGCCCCCCAAUUGGCAAUAGAAUUAGAGGGCAACAAAGAAUACCACUGAGAUGCUAAGCCCACCAAGGAGUUCCCAAACAAUCUCAACUUGUAGUUGGGAUUGUCUUCAAAUGCCACACAGUGAUUAAAGAACUUGAAAAUAUGAUCUCUAGAAGACACAUUGCCAUCUUCUCCGCUGAAUGUUGGGAAUGCGGGCAUCUUGAAGUUGACUAGAAAAAGGUUUUGCUCGUCAACGUACUCAGGAUAAGGCUUCUGAUAAGUGCUCCUAAACAGCGGGCGAGCUUGUGGCUGAUCAUUCCGGGCCACCAUCCUCCUCAACUCGGCUAACUCAUCCCUGAGCUGUUAGUGAGUUGUAUUAUCAGGAAGAGUAUGAAGAGGUUCCUAUUUCGGGCUACGAUCAUUGCCCGAGAACGUCUUUUUUCUUGGCUCAGGCUUUCUCCACCUAGCAUCCCCUCCCUUACUGGCUAAUGACGAGGGCCUAUAAGGAAGAGGCUUGUCUGGCUUGGUAGGCUUGCCUUUUCCACUGGAUUUCCCAAUCAACUGGGGCCUCCCAUACUUCGUUCUUUCUUGCUCGCUCUACCCCUACUAUUAAGUGGAAAUAGUGAAGGGUCGGGCAACUCCACUUCUAGGAUUUCCUCCAAAACUGGCCCACUAGUGCCAGAUUCAUCAUUGUUUUUAUGUUUACCAUUCUUCCCCCUGACUUCUCAGAUGAGGUUGGGCUUCUCAAAACAGUUGGUCCUUGUAAAGAGGGAACGUUCUCUAGGCGGUCUGCCAUGUUUGAUUUUGGUAGUUAUUGGGGUAGCUUGUACUCUGUGUUCCACCUGAAGGUUUUCUCCUUCCUUCUUCUUCUUGACAUACAAGACUAAUGUGAUCUCACCGGGCAUGCCAAAACUAUGUUUGGGCGAAGAUUUCUUCGGAGAUGGCUCAUUGGCUCUCAGCACAGCUCCCCAAGGGAUUGGCACUUUGGAUAUGUAGUCGGGCUCUUGCUUGUAAGAAGAGGAUAGAGUUAGUUUUGAAAGGUGCCUUUGUAGGGCCUUACGUGUAAAACUUAAGGCUCGCAAUCAAAACUAACUAAAUGCUAGACGUGCCACUGUUAUCUCAAUAUAGCAGAUGUAGAACAAAUGUGUUUUAGUCGAUUACUUGCGCCCCAAGUUACUCGGACUUCUUGUUAUUAAAGGAUUGUCGUGGAUGGGUUAAAUCCACAUUAAGUUCUUUUUCUUGCCUUGUGACCAAGCACUUUCAGUUCAGUUUUGUAUAUUCAAGUAAGGGAAGUCCAAAUCUCCUUAAGUCAUCUACUCGGUUCUUGAUUGGUUUUUAAUGAAGGCAUAUUCAUUUAGGUAACCAGAUCCGGCACAAAUGAGACUCUUAAAGUAGGAAAACAGAUUGAUAUGACUUGAAUACAUGCUGGAGAAUACAUUAAGCAACAUAUCUAUUAACUUAUAAAACAAAGAAAGAGUUUUGAGCAAGAUUUCACCUUGUCGGGCAAGGUUGAACUUCUUGCAAUCACUUCUCUUUUGAGUUUACAAGGUUUAUAUGCUAAGAAGGGUUGGAUGGUAAACAAGUUUACAUGAGAGAAUCGAUACUACGCCACUAGGGGUGAUAGGGCUGAUUACAGCUUUUAGAUGCAAAUCUGGCUUGAGAGAAGAGUUUGUAUGUUUGUUUGUUUGAUUGGUUGAGUGUCAUUGUCUCUAAGGCAUCUUCCUCAUUUUAUAGGCAGAUUAGCCCGACUGUUGUAGCUUUGCUCUUGCCCGAAAGUAAUUGAAGGGUAGUGAGUCAUCAACUUUUUACUUGUAUUGCCACUGAAAAGUGCAUUUUGGCUGAUUAUGGGUUAGUCCCCAUCACUUGACACUUAAAUCAUAGGCACAUGGCCUAUGCAUUAAUGAGAAGGCGCCAAUUUGUCUCUGGGAUUGAUGCUAGGCUUCGGGCAACUCUUCCUUUAAUUGGUGUUUUUGAGCUUCCACACACUUGCAGCCCAAAGUUCAAAUAUUAACCCAAACACACUGUCUCACAGAUCAAGUCAGAUUGGGCAUGAGAAGGGCUGAAGGUCCAUCAGGAAAAAAAAAAAACCCCUUCAUCUCUGUGUGUUUGCUACAAGUCUGUCUGUAUGUCGUCAAGUCCAAUAAAAUGUUCAUCUUUUCCUGUAAAGAAACAGUGAAGAUGCCAAGCUUGAUGAGGGUUUUAACUUUGGGAAAAAUAAUCAUUAUUAUAAUAUUAUGACAUGGACACACUAGAUCUAUAGACUCUAGCAAACCACCAAUUAAAACACGACAUCUAAUUUGAGGUGCUAUUUCGGUUUCGGUGCGAUUUUCAAAAGCCAAAACCAAAACCAAAACCAAACUGUUUCCUACACUGCGGUUCGGUUUCCAAACCACAACCGUUUCAAAACUGCAAAACCGAACCAUUUGGUGCGGUCCGAUUUGGUUCAUGUUUGGGUUUUGGUUUUCGGUUUCAAGUGCCCACCCCUAGUACUAAGUGGCUUAUCACAUAAGUUUUAUGUAAAGUGAUUAAACAAUUUAGCAUGUGUCAGUUUACUAGAGAUUCUUUCGAAGGACUAUGAGAGAUACAACUCACGAUCCAGGAAGGAAGUCGAAUCUAAGACAGUGAAGAGGAAUAUUACUAGACCAUAUUAAGUGGCAUCAUAUCUUCUGAAUUUUUUAAAAUCGACUUUACUAGAAACAACAAACUCACUCAUAGUUUUGGCCUAUCAAUUACAUUCUUCAAUGUACAACCCCUCACUCCAACUUUCUCAGAAACCUGUUUGUAGCCUAACAGGGGUUCCUUCAGAAAAUCUGAAUUCAAAGGAAGGACAUUGCACCACUGCCCCGUCAACGUUUUUGAUGAUUCAAAUAUCCCUUAAAUUUUAGGGGUCCAUAUUUUUUUAUGGUCAACGUUAGGCGUCCAGAUGAUGGGCAAUUUAUCAAUUUGGAUAUCAUUGAGGACUGAAUUCGGAUGCAUAAGGUCUAAGCAAGAAGUACAGACAAAUCAUUCCAAUGCAAUUUACACUCAUUAAACAAAUACAGUUGAAUCUGAUUCUCACGGAUGCAUGGUUAAUUACCUUAACGCCUUUCAAGCAUUUCACUCAGAAAAAAGAAACAACUAUCAAAAUUGUGCAUGACGUCGAUUAAGAUAAGAUACAUGAGUUAAGAAAAGACACGUCCUAUUUGCAUAGUUCAUUUACCAGGUAAAGAAAGUACCUCAUCUCAUAACCGGUUUCCAGCUUCCUUGGAUAAACGGAUGUUCUUUGAGACUGCAUCGCACUCACUGGAGUUGCUUGUUUUUGCUUGUUUCCUCUAGAUGAAAGGAUAGUCAAAUUCAUGAUUGCACACAAGCGAUGUUUGGUCAAUAAGGUUGCUUUAAUCCAACCAAAUCUCUCUCGUAGAUGAGACGCACCCCACACCUCUUCACCUCCAAACCAGGGCCUAAGGUUUUAAAUGUAAACUCAAGGUGAUGACAACUGUCUUGCCAUGUUGUACCAAAGUAUUCACCAGAUACAACGGAUAGCCAAAUGUGCUCUUUCUCAAUUUGCCCUAAUUCUUCGCUGCAGGCGAAGGAAGGACACCAGCCACCUACACCCAAAUUCCCAGGCUUAACUUCGCAACGAAGACCAUGUGCAGUGGUAUGGGUUCCGUAGUUCCAUUUGCCAAGCAGAUUAGGUGGGAGUCGUCGACGGAGAGUGAAACAGCACACAAUGCAUAUCCCAUCCACUCGUUCUUGUACCAGUGUUGAGGGAGCUCCACGCUUACCACAGGCCUCUCACUUCGAUAACUAAACCACUCAGAAAUUUCACUGCCAGGAUAUAUAGCUUCAAAUUUAUUCCCUACGUAAGGGAUUCCCUAUAUAAUACAAAAUUACAAAUAGUGAAGUCAAACAAUUGAUACGACCGUCUUAUAAAUAAGUACAAAAUGCUUUUAGUUUAUUUUAUUUUUUCUGUGUGUGUGAGAGAGAGAGAGAGAGAGAACCUCAAGAAUAAAUCGCAAUAGGAGAACAAUAACUCUGUAGAAUACAAAACCCAACUAUUAGGUAGUAAAUCACCCCUGUUAGUAGCAGUAAGCAAAGAAAGACAUAAUGAAUUCCAAUAACUAGAAGGAAUAGAAUUAAAAGUAACCAUAGGUUCAUAAAUGCAAACCAAUCCGAAUGAUGGGAAAGGCAAACAUUGGAAAGCUCCAUAUGCGUAUCUGUUUGGGCCCAAAAUAAUAGUUUGGGCUGAGGGUAGGAUCACUCUCGGCCCAGGAGGCCGUGCGGCGAAAGGGCCAUGGAUCGUUCAGCUCAUGGGCUUCCAAGCCUAGGUCGGUUAAAUCAGAACGCAAGCCGAGUCCUAGUACAAUAGGGACUCUCGACAGGAUCAGUAAUCCAGAAAGCGAAUCCGGCUCAGUUAAGGACUAGAUUCGUAGUCCUAGUGGAGAUAGGAUUGGUCGAGGUGAUGUUGAUCCAGGGAGGGAAACCUAGUCCGAAUAGGAUUGUAACUCGGGCUCGAGGACCAGCACUAUAAAUAGAGGAAGCUGUGCAUUAAGGAAGGACCCCUGCAAAUCAAUACAAAAUUGCCCUGCGCAAAUUCUCACAACUUGUGAUUUUUCUUUUUCCUUUUUCGCUGACACAUCUUCCGUUGGCAUCAACAGCACUGUGGAAGCAACCGGUGAUAUCUUAAGUCGGCAUAGAUAGCUCUGUCACCGUAGAAUCAAUCGGUCUCGCAGUAUCUACCGUUGGCAUCAACAGCACUGCGGCGAGAACGGUUGAUUACCUAUCCAAGUCUCGGUCGAGAAGGGUUUCUGAACCCUUAUUGGUCGAGGUCAUCUCAUCAGCCUUCUCGGCGAAGUGAGGUGUUACACGUUAUUACAUUCAGCAUAUUGAAAGCCGAAUUUGAUAUUGAACUUCGUAAGAAUAGUAACCUUGUCUUCAGGUUCGAGAGCCCAAGAGGCCGAGACGUGUUCCUUUCUCGGCCGCAAUCGCAAGACGUAGAAGUCAGCCGCGCACCCAACGCAACAUCAACAAAUUUACUCCUCGGCCGAGCUCGGCUGACGAGUUGGCACGCCCCGCAUUCACCGAAGGACGUAGUUAGCUCAUUAAUUACUCGACCUGCGCGCCACGUAGGCUUUGUAGUUUUUAGGGUCAAUAUUUUGGCACGCCCAGUGGGACCCAGUGCUAAACUACGAAGUUCAUGCCAAUUGAAACAUGAUCGGUAAAAAAGAAAACAACUAUGGGAAAGUCGACAGCCGAUUUGCCGAAUCAAAGCCUGGGACAAAGUGUGCUGCAGGCGCAGAAUCCCCUUAGCGCUGUGACACCUGAGUCCAUGAGCGCGACUCGCCGAGAGAGAGAAGUUAAUCUCGGCAGUCAACUACGCGGUCUAGAAAUCCCUAACAGGAACACUUGCGUUCUCACUGAAGGGAUAGUAGAGGAGUGCGACGAGGAUGGUGGUGAAGGAUCUGAUCCACCAACAAGGUCGUUUCUUCGAAAACGACUAGACGAGCAGUCUCGGUCAGUCGAGCAGACGUUUAGUCGAGGCAUUGACAAGCUGCAUGAGGUGAUACUCAGUUCCAAUGAGCGACAAACCAGGCUGCUCGAGAUGUUGGUUAGUAAAGUCAGUGGCAGCAAGCCUUUUGACCUUCUUCAGCAUUCCACCAGGGAACAAUCCGAUACCAAUUGUACCGACCGAGCCUAUUCCUGCUCAGCUCAAACCAAUUGACUUGGAAAAAGAAGGAGGGUCGAAUAGUAGGUCAGACGGAACCGACCAGAGGGUCGAAGCAACACCUGUUGAUAUGACCGAAGUUCAGCGGAUGAUCGACUCGGCCAUGAAGAAAGGGCCGAAGUUUCCUAAGUUUAUUCAUCCGUACUCGGCUUACAUGGAAACGUUUGGAUACCCGAAAGGUUUCAAGAUCCCAGAUUUUAGUCUUUUUGCCGGUGAGUCGUCCCUGUCUUCGUUGGAACACGUGGCUCGUUUCACCGCGCAAUGCGGAGACGUUAAUAGUGAUUUCCAUAAAUUACGGUUGUUCAACUUUUCAUUGACCGGCUCAGCGUUUGCCUGGUAUAUCAAUCUCCCUCCUAAUUCCGUCCAAAACUGGGAGGAGUUGGUAGAGAAAUUCCACGAGCAGUUUUAUCGGCCAGGGAUGGAGAUGUCAGUUUCUUCGCUAGCACGGAUGGCUCAGGCAUCUGAUGAGUCACCAAUGGAUUAUCUUACCAGGUUUAAAUCGGCCAGGAAUUGGUGCCGGGUGUGAUAGGAGCAUUUUUAUGCAACUUAAUUGGCUUGUUCUCAUGCAUUUAUGUUGUUUUUCCUUAGUUAGUUUAGUGUUUAAAGUCAUUUCGUGCAAUUUCAGGUUUUAUUGUCAAAGUAUGCAAAAAUGAGCAUUUUGGAGCUUUUAGGAGCAAAAUUGGGCUUGGAAUGAAGUGCAUAUGCAUGGAGCAAGGAGUUUGGACGAAUUUGAAGUCAAAACAUCAAAUAAACAUGCUAAAAAUCUGGUGAAACAAAUACAAGUUGCAAGAAGGGAUAGGUUUCUAGAAGGAUUGACCAAAAUUCCACUCAAAACCAUGUUCACACCCCAGAAAUUCAUCUUUGCCGUGCAUCCUUGACUCACUUCCACCAGAUUUUUGAGUGGAUGAUUCAACACCUACUCUUUAUUGCUUUUACUUUGCCAUAUUUGCCAUGUUUGCUAGUUGUGUUAUUUGCUUGUUUUUAUGUGAGUCUAUGUUUGAAACAUUGAGGACAAUGUUUGGUUUAAGUGUGGGGGGGUGAACAAAGUGUUUUUGUUGCAAAAUUCGUGGGAUUUUACCACCUAACAUUUCAAAGGUUGUUUUUCAUUGUUUUUUUUAGUGUUUUUAGAAUGUUUUGAUGUGUUUUUAUGUGGCUUUACCAGAAAAUACGAAAAUUCAAGAAAAAAUUAGAAAAAUUUUGAAAAAACCCAAAAAGAGUUGUUUUUGUGUGUUUGUUUGUGUCUUAGGGUACCUUCCAACACAAUGAUGAGGAUUUGGUUUUUAAUUGCAUGACUGUUAAAGAGAGUUAUAAGCAUGGAUGAAAGUUUGAUUUACUCUUGGUUUAUGCUUGGUUGUGGUUAUAACUUAUGAAUUCACAUGCAAUCUUAAAGGAAAAAUCAGUUUUUGUUUGUAACAUGCUUGAAGGAAGCAACUCAAAUUAACACUACAACCUUGUGAGACUUGAGCCUAAACGUUUAUUUGGAGAGUUAUUAAUCUGUGCAUUCUUGUUUUCUAAAGUCGUUGCAUGAUCUCAUUAUUCUUUGCUUGGUUGCUACUUAGAAUGCGUUUCAUCACUUUAGUUCCAAAUGCUAGAACUCAUGCCAAUUUCAUUCAAAACAUGUUAUUGAAUUGCAUAACACAUAACAAGAUGAAGUUGUUUAGUAGUUACCACCAUAGCCAAAAAGCCUUCAUUCCAUACAUUUGUUUUUGUAGGUUUAACCCCGUUGAGCCUUAUUUAGCCUAUAUUGUUUGUUAACCCACGUUAUCCUUACCUAGCCUAGAUUAGGAUCAUCCAUACCCUUGUUCUUAAAGCAUAGUAAGCAUGACGUAAAAUGAAUUCCUUUUGAUUGAGGGUGUGCAGAAAACAAGUGUGGGGGAAGUGUUUUUCAUGAAGAAUUGUGUGCCAUAGGCACGGGUAGAAAGAAAGAAAGAAGAAAAGAAAAAUGUUGUGAAAAGUGAGAAAAAGAGUUGAAAGAGCAUGAAAAUGAGUUCUAAGGUGUGGAUUGUUGAAGAAGGGGUCCAAAACAUUGAAUUUGACCCUAAGUGUUGCAUGAAUUUCCCCUUUGAGUUUAAAAGUUGAUUCUUGCACCCAAAAGUGAAUUCUAAGUGUCAAUUUCAAUGCUUUGCUUACUAUUGUUUUAAGAACGUUUGUUUAUCCUUCACCUUUCUUAGCCAAUAUCCCAAGCCCCGUUACAACCCUCAACUUCUAUCUUGAGUGUUGUGUAUUUCAAUUUGUGGAGUUUGGGAUUGGUAUGAGCAUAUGGUGUCACUGGUUCUCGCGUCUAAGUAGUAGCAUUCUUUUCAUGUGAUCAUAUACAUUCUUAUCAAAUUCAGAAAAAACUUUCCUUGUUAUAACAUAUGUGAGCAUUCGUUUUCAUAUCUACAUCAAUCCUCUCACAUAUAACUAGCAUAGGGUGUGUAGUCAGAAAAUCUGUGCGAAAAUUGAGUGCAUAUCUAGUAAGGAAUUGAGCAAAUUCUCUAAGGCAUGUUGCUACAUUCAAAAUCAUGUUUUAAUUGGUUAGAUGCGAACGAGUACGUAGUGACUAUAAUUAAGUAUGUGCUUAAGUGUAAAGAUGGCUAAAAUCUGUGGGAAUGAUGAUCUUUAACAUGUUAUGUGCAUUGGAAAUCCCUAAGGCAAACGUUGGAAGGUUUAGGUUGUUUUUGUUUGUUUGGUUUCGUUUUGUUUUUCUUUUGUUUCUUUGUUUUGCUCGAGGACUAGCAAAAGCUAAGUGUGGGGGAAUUUGAUAGGAGCAUUUUUAUGCGACUUAAUUGGCUUGUUCUCAUGCAUUUAUGUUGUUUUUCCUUAGUUAGUUUAGUGUUUAAAGUCAUUUUCGUGCAAUUUCAGGUUUUAUUAUCAAAGUAUGCAAAAGGAGCAUUUUGGAGCUUUUAGGAGCAAAAUUGGGCUUGGAAUGAAGUGCAUAUGCAUGGAGCAAGGAGUUUGGACGAAUUUGAAGUCAAAACAUCAAAUAAACAUGCUAAAAAUCUGGUGAAACAAAUACAAGUUGCAAGAAAGGAUAGGUUUCUAGAAGGAUUGACCAAAAUUCCACUCAAAACCAUGUUCACACCCCAGAAAUUCAUCUUUGCCGUGCAUCCUUGACUCACUUCCACCAGAUUUUUGAGUGGAUGAUUCAACACCUAACAUCCACUUCUUGCUGUGCAUUCUUGAUUGUUUUCCCACCAGAAAAUUGAAUUAAACAAGUCCAUCCUCUCCCUAUAAAUACCCAUGGCAGCAACCUUAUUGAGGACAUCCAGAAAUUAACCAUUCUCCAAGCCUUGCCUUGCCUCUCCCUACAUAUCCAAACUCCUUCCCAUCCAUUCCUCCACCACAGCCGUGCCUUCCCACCACCAUCACCACCUUAUGCAGCCACCAUUGGAGGAGAAAGAAGUAGUGCCAUGCAGUCCAAAGGAGGAAGACACCUUGCACAUGCAAUCUGCCAUUAGUGGAGUGUUUGGAGUUCUUUCUUUUCUUGUUUCUGUUUUCAUGUUUAAUUUAACUUGCUUUCCAAUUAUGUUAAACAUGUGGAACUAAUUUCUUUUUAGUUAGAGGUGAAUUUGAAGCCAUGGACAUAUGUUGGUUAUGAUUUGAUUUACUCCAGUUAUGAAUUCAUGAACUUUAAAUGUGGUUUACUUUUCUGUUUUGAUUAAGAACUUGUUUAUGUAUGUAGGUUGAGGGUCGACACUUAAUUUGCAUGCCUAAACUUGAUACUAGGAUAUAAGGGAAUUUCACCUAAUCGUUAUGAACUUAUAUUCAUAAGUAGUAAAGAUCGCUAGUCACGAUUGUGUUAAGUAAACCCUAGGUUGGAUUAACAUGCGUAUUCCAUAGUUAUGAAUGCCUAGUCGAUGUUUAUGAUUUCCGUUGAACUUAAUGAUCUUUGUUGAAUGUCUCUAUCAUGCGUAUUCCAUAGUUAGGGAUUUUGAUGAGGAAUAAUUUGGUUGCGAUGCGUAUUCCAUUCAAUCCAAUGAAUCUAGGGAAAUCGGAAAGUUAAUUUAAGCGGACCUAAUUAACUUGGAGCAUUGUCAUUCAUCGUUUGUUGAAGUCAUAACUGGGAGUCAAAUUGUAUGCAUAUGUUCAUGUGUGGAUAAGGAACCCUCUAACUAGCUUCUCACCAUUCUAUUUAAUCAAAAUCUGUUUUAGUUUGCUUUGAUUUGCAAUUUGUUUAGUUUUAAUUCAAUUUCGUCAAAAAUCAAUCCCCCAUUUAUUUUAAAGUAUUAAAUUAGUUAGAAAUCAAUUUAGUGUUAGGUACUCAAAACUGCCCAGAAAGUGCUUUGAGUCAAGUUAUAGUCCAAAUUCGUCCAAAUUAGUGUUAGGUACUCAAAACUGCCCAGAAAGUGGUUUUAAGGCAGUUUUGAGCCUUUUAGUUGCUGUUUUGAGUUUUUAGUUUGUUUAGGUGUUUUAAACUCUAGUUUUACAUUAAUUAAGUCUAGUUUAGUGUUCUACAUUAUAUUUUUUAUGUUCUUGAGUCAGUUUUACAUUGAUUAGCAUCCCUAGUUAAUCCCCGGUCUAGAACGAUCCCUAUUUGCUCAUAUACUACAAUUGUCAUCCAUAGGGUUUAAUUUGUGUGUCAAGUUAAUUUUCACAUCAGGGUGCCUUUACCCGAAGUCGAAUUUGUCAGGCUUGCUUUGAACAGCCUCAACGUCGAAUACAAAAAGAAAUUCUUGGGGGCGAACUUUCGGGAUAUGUACGAAUUAGCCCAACAUGUCGAACAUUAUGAUUAUUUGCUCCGCGAGGAAAAGACUUCGAAAGCUCCAACUCGGGGGACGAUUUACAAGAAUCCUACUGUCAAUUAUGCAUCAGCCGAGGAUGAAUGUGUUAGUGUGGAUGCAGCUGAGAUAGUGAUCGAUAAGCCAUACGUUUGCAAGGCAUUGACUCAGGUUGAUUCUAGAAAAGCCAAAAGUCCCUCGGCCACUGAAGGAACAUCAAAAUCGUUAAAGGUUUACACUUUUGAUAUUACCAAGGCGGACGCAAUUUUUGACCAACUGUUAUCAGCAAGAAUCAUCAAGCUUCGGCCUGGUCACGACAUUUCUAAGGCCGAAGAACUUAAAGGAAAGGUAUAUUGCAAAUACCACAAUUCGAGCAAACAUACGACAAACAAUUGCGUCGUAUUUCGCGACAACGUCCAAAGCUGGAUUGAUAAUGGCAAACUGAAGUUUCCCGAGAAGAAGAUGAGUGUUGAAACUGAUUCGUUCCCCACGGCAACAGUAAAUAUGGUCGAUGCGUACCUACCCAAGGACAAAGGGAAAGGCAAGGCCGAAGUGGUUGAACGCCUGCGGAAUCAGAAUUCUCGGCCACGGUUCAUGGCCGAUUUUCGUUCAAACAAACCACCCACGGCUUUAACGGGGCCCGCUAUUGUCAAACCUAUGAUGGAUUAUAGCACCGAUGAAGACAGUGGAACGGUGGUUUUGUGCAGGAAAUGUAGAGAAAAGGUCGACAGUGAACCAGAGGAGAAGCCCUCUUCGCAACCUGUGGCCGCAACCCGGCAAAAGGUAGCCAAUAAAGGCCAACAUCAUGGGGUCUUUGAGAGGCUCGGUCCUAAAGUACAGAUGGAAGAGACACCCCCAGUCAGACGGCGCCUCGAUUUUGAUGCUUCAUUCUAUGACGAUGAUUACUAUAAGCGUAAUUCUAGCAGUUCAGAAUCAUUGCGGAGCAAAAAGACCUUCAAGCCUCCCGAGCCUAGAGAUCAACGUUGGUAUACAUAUCAUUCUUCGAGGGGGGUCUACAUCGCGUUGUCCAAAUCUCAGAAACACCGGCAUCAAAGGAUAGAUUGCAUGGCCCGUCGACGAGCAGCCCAAGAAACUUUGGCCCCGAAGUGGCGGUCGAAGAACAUAGUUGCCACUGAUGAUGAGCGACCACCUCCAGCAAUUAUGACAGAGUUGGCUCAAGGGAAACGGCUGGUCGACCAAGAUGUCGAGACCACGUUUGAAGAGGCUGAUAAAUGGAUCAAACUUCUUCUUCGACCAGGGGAGAUGAAGGCACGCCUCGAGCAUUUCAAGCAAGAGGCCGAAAGAAAAUUUCCUCCGCCAGCUAUACAAGAACCUUUGAUCAGAAUUCGACGGAAUUUGCAUCCACCAUUUCUUGGGGAGGCUUUAGAAUAUAUGCGAGAAUUUCAUAAGAAACAUUCGGCCAACGAUCUGUAUGGUUUGCCGAAGGCAUGCCAGGACACCAUUGAUCUAGUCCUGACUUGUCCGGAUGCCGAGCGAAUCAUUCAGAAGACCUCAGAUCCAGGAUUGAAAGUAAGGUUCUAGCAUAUACGAAAAGCUCGUGUCCUUGGAUUUGAAGUUGACCCGUACACCGAUAUCGAUGCAGCCGACCUUCCUUUCUCAACGGAUGACCUUCAGUAUUUACGAUAUCACUUCGAAGUAUUUUCAGCUGUUUCUCUCUUCGGCCUUACGGCCGAUGAAAUCGCACGUGUUGCACGUUUCGACGCUUAUCUCAACACCAGGGAUGCCCGAUUACAAUACCAAGAGCAGGUUCAGGUUCUGAUCCCAAGUGCACCGUCAAUCUCAACCUUACCUGAGGCGGUCACGCAGGACCAACAAAUCGUCGAUGCAGCACCGCCGAAUGAAGCCAUCAAAGAAGGAACAGAAGCGUCUCGUUGUCCGACUCUGACGGCAACGGAGUCCGUAAUCGCUGACCAACCGAGCGAGGAGGGUAUUGACCCAAUGGGCCCGUCAGUCCUGGAUAAUAUGGAAAUCAGUAUGGUCCAUGUGUUACCUGCCAAUUUUCAAUCAAGCACGGCUCAACCAAAUUUCCUCGACGAAGAUGUGGUGGCCGAAGAGGCCGGCCAUGUUGAUUUUGUAUUUGUUGCUGAAGUUGAGUUAGCAACAAAAGCUGACAAUCUAAAGGCGGCUUUGGCUGAAUUGUUUCCUCGUUCAUCAUCGGCCAAACUUCGCCAUUUAAAGCCUUUGUAUGUGACGGCCCAUAUCGAGGGGUAUCCAGUUUCUAAAGUUUUCGUCGACUGUGGAGCUACCGUCAAUAUCAUGCCUCUGAACAUCAUGAAGGCCUUACGUCGCUCGACUGACGAGCUUAUUCCUUCAGGGAUCACAAUGAGUAGUUUUGUCGGCGACAAAUCCCAAACCAAAGGUGUGCUUCCGUUAACUGUAAACAUUGCCGGUCGCACCGCCUUUUUCGUGGUUGAUUCCAGAACCGAGUAUAAUGCACUGCUCGGUCGAGACUGGAUUCAUCAAACCAACUGUAUUCCUUCAUCAUUGUAUCAAGUGCUUGUCUUUUGGGACGGUAACUCGGUCACUGUUCACCCGGCCGAUAGCCAGCCUUUCGAAGCUAACAUGAUCCAAGCACGGUAUUAUAAUGACCAUGUCGGCUACAUUACAUUGCAAGGCUUCAAUGAAGAAGGACGACCGACUCGGAUUUCGGUUCAUAAAGCUAUCGAGGUUGGCGCCGAAACUGUCCAGCAGGAUUCGGCGAGACUCGGAUUAGCCAAUUUCCUCCCCGAAGCUGAUGUUUGACACCGAUCGGGAAACACGUAGGGCCGCGGUUUCAUCUACUAUGGAACGACUGCUGGCCCAUUGGUAUACUAUAUCCAAACAACCAAAUUCGGGCGUUAACCUCGUCGAGUUCCUUGCCGAAGAAGAUAAUGGUCCUGUUUUGUCUCUUGAUAAAAUUCAAGCCGCCCCGGCCGAACUCGAAGAUCAUCGGCCCCAAGUUAAGGACCCCUUGGAAGAGAUUAAUGUUGGGACGGCCGAUGAUCCACGACCUUUGUUUGUUAGUGCGUUACUUCCCCAACAAAUGAAUGACGAGUUUCGUGCCUUGCUUACGGAGUUCAAAGAUUGUUUUGCUUGGAGCUAUCAUGAAAUGCCCGGCUUAGAGCGCACUCUGGUCGAGCAUGAAUUACAUAUUAAGCCCGGAUGCAAACCUUUCCGUCAGCCACCUCGUCGAUUCUCGACCGAAGUGCAACUCGGCAUCAAGGACGAAUUGGUUCGGCUUUUGAAAGCCGGGUUCAUUCGGACAGCUCGAUAUGUUGAAUGGUUGGCAAAUAUCGUGCCUGUUUUAAAGAAAAAUGGUGCCCUACACAUCUGUAUCGAUUUCAGAAAUCUGAAUCUGGCAACUCCCAAAGAUGAGUAUCCAAUGCCGAUCUCAGACCUCUUGAUCGAUGCUGCGGUGAGUCAUGCAAUCUUAUCCUUUAUGGAUGGACACGCCGGAUACAACCAAAUAUUCAUUGCCGAAGCCGAUGUGCACAAAACUGCUUUCCGUUGCCCGGGGGCACUCGGGACUUACGAAUGGGUUGUUAUGCCGUUCGGCCUCAAGAAUAACGCCGCCACAUACCAACGGGCGAUGAAUACCAUCUUCCAUGAUUUAAUUGGAACCAUCGUCGAAGUUUAAAUCGACGAUGUUGUCAUCAAAUCUAAACGCCGACAGACACAUCUGGACGAUCUCCGACAGGCUUUCUUCCGCAUGCGUUGGCACAACCUCAAGAUGAAUCCCGCCAAGUGUGCUUUCGACGUAUCGGCCGGAAAUUUUCUUGGCUUCCUCGUGCAUCACCGUGGGAUUGAAGUCGAUGAGAAUAAGGCCCGCGCAAUCAUCAAUGCCCCACCCCCAACAACGAAGAAACAACUCCAGUCCUUACUCGGCCAGAUCAAUUUCCUCCGCCAAUUUAUUGCCAACUCUGCAGGUAAAAUGAAAGCGUUCUCCACGCUUUUGAAACUCAAGGACUCCGAUAAAUUUGUGUGGAACGAUGAGCAUCAGGCGGCGUUUAUGCAAAUCAAAGUCUCCCUCAUGAACCCACAUGUCCUGGUUCCUCCUCGGCGCGGUAAGCCUCUUAAGCUCUACAUCUCGGCGGUCGAAGAGUCCAUCGGCUGCCUCUUUGCACAAGACAGCGACGCCGGCCGAGAACAGGCUAUUUUUUAUCUCAACCGCAAUCUCAGUCAACCGGAGAUCAAUUAUCCAGCCGUCGAGAAGCUGUGUCUGGCCGUGUUUUUCGCCGCUUCCAAGCUUCGGCAUUAUAUGCUCCCAUCGGUCACCCAAGUUAUUGCUCAGACCGACGUCAUCCGCUACAUGCUCACCCGACCAAUCGUAAAAGGCCGCAUUGGGAAAUGGACCAUGGCACUAUCCGAAUUUAGCUUGCAGUAUGUAGCCCAGAAAACUGUCAAGGGCCAGGCACUGGCUGAUUUCCUUGCUCAACAUCCUUCCCCAUACGGGUGUGGGGGCAACGACGUUGAAAUCGGCAUGGUUCAGACGCGCAACAACCACUGGACGAUGUACUUUGACGGCUCCAGUACGUCAUCUUCGGCGGGUGUGGGAAUUGUCAUUCAAUCCCCGAACCACGAUCGCUGGUUAUUUUCGCUUAAGUUGGAUUUCGAAUGCACCAACAAUCAGGCCGAAUACGAAGCCCUAAUUGUCGGCCUUGGAAUCCUUCAUGACCUGCGGGCGACCCGCGCCCUCGUCCUCGGCAACUCCGAACUUGUGAUUAACCAACUCAAUGGUUCUUUUCGUUGCAUGAGUUGUACCCUGGCGCCUUACCACACGAUCGCCAGCUAUUUGGCCAAGUCCUUCGACGGUAUUACAUUUAAACAUAUUUCCCGGAGUCAUAAUACCGACGCAGACGAAUUGGCUCAAAUUGCCUUCGGCGCACAUCUCUUGGGGGGCAAGCUAGGCCGAGAAAUACCCAUGUUGUGACAGCUAUACCCAGCCUUGGUUAACCAACAAGUCCUCCAGCGCGACAACGUGAUACGUACAAGAGUCAUGUCCUUACCUUCGUUGUUAGAUCGAGACGACCCUGUGGAGAUUUGCACGACCGAGGCAAUACCAGAUGAUUGGAGAAAGCCCAUUAUGCAGUACCUCGACAAUCCCAAUGGUAAAUAUGAUCGCAAGACAAGAGUUCACACCACGAACUAUGUCAUGUAUCAGAACGAGUUAUACCGAAAAGGCGAAGAUGAUUUAUUAUUACUAUGCCUCGGCCCCCAAGAGAGUGCUCAGGCGAUUACAAAAGUCCAUGAAGGGAUAUGCGGAGCUCAUCAAUCUGGACGGAAAAUGCGAUGGCUACUUCGACGGCACGACUAUUUUUGGCCAAGGAUACUAAAGGAUUGUAUCGAGUUUGCACAAGGAUGUGUACAAUGCCAAAUCCACGGGCCUAUACAAAGGGUCCCGGCCGAAUCUUUGCAUUCGGUCAUAAAGCCAUGGCCAUUUAAAGGAUGGGCCAUGGACGUAAUCGGCAAAAUCACGCCGUCUUCUGGAGCUGCUAAGCACGCAUGGGUAAUAGUCGCAACCGAUUACUUUACUAAGUGGGUCGAAGCGAAAUCAUAUGUCGAACUAACAUCUAAAGAAGUUUGAGAUUUCGUGGAGGAACACAUCGUGACCAGAUUUGGUGUACCAGAAAUGAUCAUAACUGACAAUGGAACAAUCUUCACAGCCGAGAGGUUUAAAGAGUAUACGGCAAAUUUAAAAAUUCAGCUUGAACAGUCUACACCGUAUUAUCCACAGGCGAAUGGGCAGGCCGAGGCAAGUAAUAAAGUGUUGAUCGGCAUCCUUGAAAAAAUGAUAAAAGAAAGGCCUGGCAUGUGGCAUUUGAAGUUGAACGAGGCAUUAUGGGCAUACCGAACGACGCCCCGGUCGGCGACCACGACAACCCCAUACGCAUUAACCUACAGACACGAUGCAAUGUUACCAGUCGAGUUAAGCAUAAAUUCGUUGCGAUUAAUUGAACAAAGUAGUUUGUUUAGCGCCGAAUACAAUCAGUCCAUGAGACAAGAAUUAGAAGAUUUGGAAGAAGUGCGACUUGACGCUUAUAACUUACUGGUGGCACAGAAACGGAUUGCCGAACGAGCAUACAAUCAAAAGGUGCGACGGAAAACAUUCGGUGAAGGCGAAUUGGUUUGGCAAACGGUGUUACCCGUAGGACUAAAAGACCCUAGGUUCGGCAAGUGGUCGCCAAAUUGGGAAGGACCGUUCGUUGUACAUAAGGUAUACGAAAAAGGGGCGUAUCAUCUUCAAGACCGGACCGGUUCAGUUCACAAAUUACCAAUCAACGGGAAGUUUUUUAAAAAGUACUACCCGGUAACGUGGGAAAUGUGAGAAUAAACAAAACCAUCUCAUUAAGAUUGAUGAGCAUGUACAAGCUAAGUAAGUCAUUCAGGUUAAAACUAAGUACAUUCAAGGGGAAGAAGGUAAGAGGGUGCCGAGAAGGGCCUUCAAUUCCAACCACCGCACCUCGGCCAUGAUAACUUCAGCUUGCCGAUUCUUCUUGUCCAGCUUCAACCGCUCGACCCGCUUUGUUGUCGCUGCGUACUCAGUUAGGCGAUCCUUUCCACCCGACUCGAAGUCUCUAGCAAGCUCGGACGCGAUGGCCGAUCGACGUUUUGCUAGUUCAGCCAUCUGACGGUCGAGCUCGGCUAAUACUUCUCCUUUUGCCCUUAGAGCGUCGAUUUUCGGACGGAGAGUGUCUUGAACGGCCGUGGCAGCUUGCAGGUCCUGUUUGGCCUUUAGAGCGGUCUGGAAGACACUAAAUGUCUCCUGAACCCGCUCCAAAGCAGACGAUGCCCAAACGAUGGCAUUUCCGCUCAGGCGACCGUCGGCCCCAAGAUCGUUCAGACACACGCCAAGCAGAUCAAGACCGUUGCGCUCGAGUACUUGCGGUGCUGAAAGCGACAGAACUUCUCGCAACUGGGUUAGAGCGGUUGGAUCGGCAGCCUCAAUCGGAGCAGCCGAAGGCCCGGACUCGGCAGUUGUGCUGGAGAUGAGGGCUUUGAAUUCGACCUCCCACGAAGCAUGGACAUAUAAAUCAGUUUAGGCUUAAAGGAAGGCAGUGCAAGAAUAGCAAGAAGGUUUCAUUUUUUAACCUGCCGAGAGGAGACCUCGGCCAUGUCCCCAAGAUCGUUGCUCGAACCUAAAGAACUCAACGGCCGAGCCCAGUGUCUCAGAUUGCUUCUCAGUUCACGCGGUCGAUGGAGGUUAUCUACGUUUGAUGGCCACUGAGGCGGCCAAGAAAUAUAGAUAACGCCCUUCGGCGCGUAGAAUUGUCGGUGAAAAGAAUGUACAGGCACCUGACAUUUAGUAUUUUCCUCGUUUAGAAUUCUAAAGCGGAAAAGCAAUCAAGGAAAGACGGUGGAAGAUACUUACGAAGGCCGAAGUAGCCUCCUGCGGAGGAAUGUGGAAGCCCUGGUCUUGAGGAUGAACGAGCGAUUCCGCCGUUGCCUCGGGUUCCUCGACUGGUCGUUUGCCACGGUCGGCUGUGGAGGGGCCGACCGGGACAGCUGCUUCUGAGGAAGGAACACCCUGGUCCUAAGAAGGAGCAAGGGGUUCGGACACCGCCGUUGGUUCCUCGACCGGACGCUUGUCACGAUCGACCGUGGAGGGGCCGGCUUGAACUGCCAUCUCGGACACUGGAGGAGGUUGUCGGCGAGUAUGAGGACGAUGUGCCAGCGGGACCUCGUCGCUCCCCUCACUCUCUUUCAGAACGAAGACCGAGGGCUUUGGAUUUUUGGGAGAGGUGCCCUCGGUCGCAGAAACCGCCUUCUGUGGGACAGGUGCCUCCUCGACGGAGGGAGGCAUGACUGGUGUGCCGGCCCCAGAGACAGGCUGCGCUUGAACUAUCUCUGCGACCGAAGCUGGCGGUUUCUCGACCAAGGAAUGGCCGACGGCGGGAGAAGGGGAAGCACUGGGAGUCGUCAUCCCCGUAGUAUGACUGGAGAUGACGUGGAUGUCUCGUGCACCUUUCUUCGCCAGUGUUUUUACCCGCUUGCAGGCGGGGGAGACUCGACAGCCGGCUCGACCUCUGGGCAAGGCCGUUUGAUCAGCACGGCCCGACCAGCAGUUUUGUUCUUCUUGGCCACGACCGAUUUUUUCUCGGCCGUAGCAGCGGCAACUGCAUCCGUUUUUCUUGAAGGCCGACUACCUGAGAAGAUAAAAGCAAUUCAGCAAGGCAAAUCAGUAUGCAGAGUUGAAAGAAAAGAGGAGAAAUGAACAAUUACCUUGAGAUUGGGGGGCCGAGGCCUUCUUCGGUCGGUCACCGAAGAGUUUGUUCAGCACCUCUUCGACCGGAGCACCAAAGAACUCUUGGGUCUAAUUUUCCCACCAUUCACCGAAGGUGUCGGUGCAAAGGGUUUCUGGGGUGGCCGGUCGAAGGCGGAAUUUUUUGCAGUACUCUUGGAACUCCCUCGCGACAGUUUUACAUUCCUUCUCCGAGGAACGAGGUUCACGUCCACGGCUUAGGACUGUUCGGGAGGAGAGAAGGGGAACAGGGCAGCCCUGAAGAUAGCCGAGCUGUCGGGCAAGGAAGUUCGGAUGGUACACUUCCCAACCCGACCAUUUCCCAUCGCAGCCAAGAGGGAGGUCGCGAGCGAGCACAAACGACCCCCAAGUCUGACGAAGCUCGGCAUCCUCCUCCGCGCCCCACACAGAGGUAGGUAGUCUGAUGGAGGAAGGAUAGUCCCGAUGACGACAUAUCAAGAAUUCAUCGUUGGAGAGAUCAUCAAGAGCGAAGAGGUACCGAAAUACCUCUUCGGCUUGGUGAGGAGGUGUCGGUCGGGAGGCCAGCUGAGGUCCAAGAGCCUCCGUUGGCGAGAAGUCAGCUAUGGCCGGCCGAAGGGAGGCGAAGUACACUUGUAACCAGAGCUGGAAGACCCAGAGGGGACCAUUCUGGUGUGGGUCGACCUUGUGGAGGGUCGUCUCGGCCAGGCAACGGAAGAGAUGGGCGAGAAUGUUGGAACUCAGUGCCAGGACGUGACCACUAGCCAGGGCUUCGGCUACCAGCAUGUUCUCGACCAAACACUUGUUCGACUUGGUACAACAAAUGUAUUUGUUGUACCAAUAGAAGAGGAAGGCUUCAUGCUCUUCCUCUCGCAGGUCCUCUUCUCAUCGGCCGGCGAAAUGAAGAUAGAGGGUGUUGUAAUUAAAGAAGUUCUUGUGGAGCUUCUGAAUGUCUUCCUUCGACGGGAUUUGACCGUCACGGUUCAAGGUCUCGAAGGCUCGUCGAUCGAAAAGCGUCUUCAGAUCAAUAUUCGAUGGGUGCCCAGAGAGGGCCGCGUCGAUAGGGAUCCCGGUUGCCGAAGUCCCCAGAAUGGCGGUGACAUCAAGGAUGGUAGGACCGAGGGGACCAAGAGGAAGAACCAGGGUGUUGGUGGCCGAGCACCAGAAGCACAAGGCGGCUAGGAGAAGCUCCUUGUCGAGAAUGACAUCCAUUGACGAGAGAAUGAUGGCGUCGUAAAUGCCGAGGGCUCUCCAUUGCUCGCCGAAGAACCAUUCCAGGCUGCCCAGGUUGUGGUCGUCGAGGGCCAGGAGCCUUGGGGUUUCGCCGCAUCCCAUCUUGACCAUUCAAACCCUUGGAACAAGGGUGUUAGGCAGUGCUCCUGGAGAAGGCCAGUAAUGGUCGACGGUAUUGCAGCCUUGAAGAGAGGACCCAAGAUUUGGUGGACAGUGCUCAUGUCACUUUCAAACCGUAUGGUUUUGAUCGAGCUCCGAUCAAGGAUUUUCUGGUGCUGUUCACAUUCCCUGGAAAGCUUGGAGAUGAAAGACGCCAUUAUAGGAAGGAAGCACGGCGUAAAAGGUUUUCUGGGUUGGGGGAUUUGAAGAUGAAGACCUGGAACAAGAAAUGUGCUGGAGAAGAAGGGCAAGAGAUUUCAGAAAAUUUUGAGAGCAUAAAGUGCAAAUGAGAGAAUUCGGUAUUUAUAGAGUUGUGGAGGGAAGAGCAAUCGUUCGAAAUUCAAAACAAAGGGCAAAAUCAACCGAAGGAAUCGUUGAUCAUGAUGAACAUUUGGGAAAUGCAGUUGAGAAGACCGAAGGUUUCAGGUUUUGGGGGCGCACGAUCGCGUGUGAUGGCGAAAUUAAUGGCAGAAGACAUUUCGACGCUUGCACGAUGACAGGUGGACUCACGGAUUGAGAAAGCGGCUCGUGAAUUGAGGUAAUGGUUAAGUUGACGGUUCAGGUAGCCGCACGCCUUAGACGUCAUCAUUGGGGUUGGCCGUGUUGGAGAACGCCACGUGGCGAGUUUGGUUAGCAGGAUCAAGAUCGUGCAAUCAUGUUCAAUAAAUGCGCCUUGGAACUUGGGCAUUAGGGUUCUGAGUGGUAGAUUCGCUUCUUCAAGGCCGAAACUCGGCCAAAGAAUUCAGGCCGAGGACCUCAGAAGCGAGGGGGCAAUGUUUGGGCCCAAAAUAAUAGUUUGGGCCGAGGGUAGGAUCACUCUCGGCUCAAGAGGCCGUGCGGCGAAAGGGCCAUGGAUCGUUCAGCUCAUGGGCUUCCAAGCCUAGGUUGGUUAAAUCAGAACGCAAGCCGAGUCCUAGUACAAUAGGGACUCUCGACAGGAUCAGUAAUCCAGAAAGAGAAUCCAGCUCAGUUAAGGACUAGAUUCGUAGUCCUAGUGGAGAUAGGAUUGGUCGAGGUGAUGUUGAUCUAGGGAGGGAAACCUAGUCCGAAUAGGAUUGUAACUCGGGCUCGAGGACCAGCGCUAUAAAUAGGGGAAGUUGUGCAUUAACGAAGGACCCCUGCAAAUCAAUACAAAAUUGCCCUUCGCAAAUUCUCACAACUUGUGAUUUUUCUUUUUCCUUUUUCGCUGACACAUCUUCCGUUGGCAUCAACAGCACUGUGGAAGCAACCGGUGAUAUCUUAAGUCGGCAUAGAUAGCUCUGUCACCGUAGAAUCAAUCGGUCUCGCAGUAUCUUCCGUUGGCAUCAACAGCACUGCGGUGAGAACGGUUGAUUACCUAUCCAAGUCUCGGUCGAGAAGGGUUUCUGAACCCUUAUUGGUCAAGGUUAUCUCAUCAGCCUUCUCGGCGAAGUGAGGUGUUACACGUUAUUACGUUCGGCAUAUUGAAAGCCGAAUUUGAUAUUGAACUUCGUAAGAAUAGUAACCUUGUCUUCAGGUUCAAGAGCCCAAGAGGCCGAGACGUGUUCCUUUCUCGACCGCAAUCGCAAGACGCAGAAGUCAGCCGCGCACCCAACGCAACAUCAACAAAUUUACUCCUCGGUCGAGCUCGGCCGACGAGUUGGCAAGCCCCGCAUUCACCGAAUGACGUAGUUAGCUCAUUAAUUACUCGGCCUGCGUGCCACAUAGGCUUUGUAGUUUUUAGGGUCAACAGUAUCAGAAUUAACAAUACCGCGAAAUAUUCCAGUAAACUAGCUUCAUUUGGAGGUUGAAAUAACUUGUCUUCCUGCCCUAGUAACAUAGGGUUCUUCUUGCCUAUCUGCGUUAGCUAAGCUUUCCCAUAACUGUAGGAUUACAUCAAGGCUCAUCCUUAAGUCCUUACCUUUUUGCGUUGGUAAUGGAUGACUUAACAGGACAUAUUCAAGAUGAUAUUCCUUGGUGUAUGUUUCGCAAACGAUAUAGUGUUGAUAGAUGAAACUCAGGAAGGGGUAAAUGCAAAGCUUAACCUUUGGAGAGAAGUGUUGGAAUCUAAAGGUCUUCGCCAAAGCCGAUCAAAGACAGAAUAUAUGGAGUGCAAGUUCAGUGCAAAUGGAGGCCAAAACGAAUUAGGGGUGAGGAUCGGAGAUCAAGAAAUACCAAAGAGCGACCGUUUUCGUUACCUAGGAUCUAUCUUGCAAAAGAACGGAGAAUUAGAUGGAGAUCUCAACCAUAGAAUACAAGCUGGAUGGAUGAAGUGGAAGAGUGCAUCCGGCGUGUUGUGUGACCGCCGUAUGCCACUGAAGCUCAAGGGAAAAUUUUAUAGGACGGCAAUAAGGUCGGCGAUGCUGUAUGGCACAGAAUGUUGGGCAGUGAAGCAUCAACACGUACACAAAAUGGGUGUAGUGGAGAUGGGGAUGCUUCGUUGGAUGUGUGGGCACACGAGAAAGGAUAAGAUUAGGAAUGAGGAUAUCCGGGGUAAAGUAGGAGUAGCUGAAAUUGAAGGAAAGAUGAGAGAAAAUCGGUUACGAUGGUUUGGACAUGUGCAAAGAAGGCCUACUGACGCUCCGAUUAGAAGAUACGACUAUGGGACAAAGGUUCAGGGCCGAAGGGGUAGAGGAAGACCUAGGAAAACUUUGGAAGAGACCCUAAGAAAAGACUUAGAGUACUUGGAUCUAACGGAGGACAUGACAAAUGACAGAACAUAAUGGCGUUCUAAGAUUCAUAUAGCCGAUCCCACUCAAUGACUUGGAUUUUCCAAGUCUCCAACCGAGAAGUUUUCCUCACUCGGGAAAUUAAGGGAACACUACCUCAACCUACAUGCUCCACUCACAAAGCUUCAACAUGCAAGUUUUAACAAAAGAAAAUUCAAAGAACUUAGCGAAGAAAGCUUUGGUGUAUUUAACACAAUACGUUGAAAUGAAGGAAAACUUAUUUAUUGAUAUCCCCGAUAAGUUACAAAUAUGUACAUAUACAUGAGUCAAAAUAAACAAACAAGAGGGAGCCUUCACAAAGGUUGUUUAGGAGAAGUCUCAGCAGUCGGUAGAGCCCCAGAAAGAGAAGGCACCGGAGGGGGAUCAUUCGGAGCCUCAGUACUGGACAGAACCCUAGAAGGAUGAGGCAUCAGAGGUUGAUCAUUUGGAGCUUCAUUACGCGGUACAACCCUAGAAGACGAAGGCAAUAAAUGCCUUUGGAACAAACCCACAAAUCUCUGAUGAUCAAGUAAAACCUGACCAUCAGAUUCCUUCAUUACGCGCCAUAUGUUGUCUGGAGAAGGCGGGGCUGCCUCUUCAACAAGGUUCAAGUCAAAACGACAGUCGGAGGGGCCAGACAUUUUCAAAGGUGUUGAAGAGAGAAGAGGUCGGACAAAGCAAGAUCUUAGAAGUGCAAGAAUGGAACUUCUACUGGUGGAGAUUCAAGUGUGUUUUGGAACUUAAUGCCAGCCCUAUAAAAAUCUGCACUCGACGAAGCUUCAAAAAUCGAAGAGGCGUCUGCUCAGAAAUCGAAGAGGCGUUUGCUUUCUCAAAAGAUGGGCUGCUCAAAGACCACGAAGGCCGAUCUCAGAAAUCGAAGAGGCUUGCUUUCUCAAAAGCUGGGCUGCUCAGAGACCACGAGGGCCGAUCUCAGAAAUCGAAGAGGCACAUACUUUUCCAGCCUUGUCAGCACUUGUCACACGCACACUCAGCUUUGCGGAAAUUAUGAGCAUUCUGUCGAAGAUUUCUGGUGAAGUAGAAAUCACAUGAAUCGUACUGUUUAAUCACCCACUUCCCACACGCAACAGUAGCUCAUGGGUACCACAGAUAACUUUGCCAAAGUUCUCUGACAAAGUUGAGACACGUGAAGCUUGCAGCUCCCACUACCUUGCUCUGACCAAGAAGGGUAAAAGAAUAGCAAAGAAACAACACUAACAAAGUUUAGACACGUAAAUUUUCAAGGUCUAGCUACCAUAUUAUUACCCACAAGGGUAAAGGAACAGUACCACUGUUGGAUAAUUGGAAGGUCCCGGUGUGUCAACCUCUGUACUUCGUGGCAAGGUAGACUAGCAAACAUGCCCAACCUUUACUCACAUUCGAGAAAAUACUCCCAACAAGAUUGCUUGCUCCAAAAUUGAAGAGGCACCGUCUUCCAAAUCUCGAGAGCCAGACUCCCAACAUGAUUACUUUCUCAAAAUCGAAGAGAGGGUAAAGGAACAGUACCACUGCUGGAUAAUUGGAAAGUCCCUGUGUGUCAACCUCUGUGCUUCGUGGCAAGGUAGACUAGCAAACAUGCCCAACCUUUACUCACAUUCGAGAAAACACUCCCAACAAGAUUGCUUGCUCCAAAAUCGAAGAGGCACCGCCCUCCGAAUCUCGAGAGCCAGACUCCCAACAUGAUUACUUUCUCAAAAUCGAAGAGAGGGUAAAGGAUCAGUACCACUGCUGGAUAAUUGGAAAGUCCCUGUGUGUCAACCUCUGUGCUUCGUGGCAAUGUAGACUAGCAAACUUGCCCAACCUUUACUCACAUUCAAGAAAACACUCCCAACAAGAUUGCUUGCUCCAAAAUCGAAGAGGCACCGCCCUCCAAAUCUCGAGAGCCAGACUCCCAACAUGAUUACUUUCUGAAAAAUCGAAGAGACGCCGCUCUCCGAAUCUCGAGAGCCAGACCCCCAGCAGGAUUGCUUUCUCAAAAAAAUCGAAGAGGCAUCGUUCUCCGAAUCUCGAGAGCCAGAUCCCCGACAGGAUUGCUUGUUCGAAAACCGAAGAGGCACCACUUUCCCAACUUCAAGAGCUGAAUCUCCUUGGAUAAAGCUUGUCUGUAAUCUUCACAUGCAACAUCAGCUUUCCAGAUACCACAUACCACUUUUUCAAAGUGCUCUGACAGAGUUAAAACAUGUGAAGCUGGCAGCUCCCACUACCGUGCUAUGACCAAGCAGGGUAAAGGAAUAGCAUUAUUACUUGAUGUUAGGGAAACUUCUAUAUAUGUCGACCUUCAUCCCCAACGGACAGGCAGACCUGUAAAAAUGCUCAACCCUUCCUCUUAUCUGAAAGGGACGAAGCCUUUCGAAAUAUUCAGCUUUCUUUCCCCCCGAUAAUACCUCUGCAAACAAGCUAUACUAGAGCAAGAAUAUCUCAUAUCAUCAGGGUUAAAAGCAAGAGUAUCCCAUAUCAUGCUUUUUCCCUGUCUUUUCCUUUGGCCUUGUUCUUACCUGCAAGACAAUGAGAAAGAGAGCAAUCAGUCAGCACUUGGAAUCAAGCUUCCAGCCAGGAACUGACUGCCUGGAACCCCUUACCUGAGUACUUACCUGGCAUUGCUCUCGAGUACUCAUCUUCAACAUCUUAUGCUUCCAGGGAAGAUACCGCAUCUGCCUGAGGAACAGAUAGGGCAAGUGAGAAGGAUACAAAGAAGCAUGUGGAGACAAGCGUAACAGCACACGUGCCGAUACAUCCACUACUCUGUCAAAAGCAAAAGUAUCCCAUAUCAGCAGGGUCGAACGUACUCUAGAUUUGAUGGACUUGUUUUUACCCUCAAAUUCUUCAGUCGGCCUUAUACUCUGGAGGAAACCAGAAAACCCUCCAGCCCAGUUCAAGAAUAAGCAUGUGGAAAGUUAUUUAUUCAAAAGCAAAAGUAUCCCAUAUCAUCUCUUCUCAUUUUUCUUCUCUUUAUCCUUCAUGCUGCCUGCAAGAUAGGGAGAAUGUGAACAAUCAGCCAGAGCUCUGGUUGCUUACCUUGUCUGUCACCUCUUUCAACAGAUCCCCUAGCUCGGCGACUUGGGGGACUCCUACUACAUGGUUUGUAUCGCGCUUGAUCAAGCCUGAAAUUGAUACAUUACCUUGUGCAUCUCCACCAGUUAAAGAUACCACCCCUGGAUGGAGGAAGAGUACUUCCAGAGAAGAUGCCACAUCUACCUAUGAGACAGAUAAGGCAAGUCAAGACGAUACCACACUCCGGUACUUAGAAGUUUCGUGAUUACGAGAUCAUUCUCCCAAAAUAUUUCCUAAUGUCAUUUGUACUAAAUCAUUCACUUGUACUCACUAAAGGAGAGCUUGAACCUAUGUACUUGUGUAAACCCUUCACAAUUAAUGAGAACUCCUCUAUUCCGUGGACGUAGCCAAUCUGGGUGAACCACGUACAUCUUGUGUUUGCUUCCCUAUCUCUAUCCAUUUAUAUACUUAUCCACACUAAUGACUGGAGCAAUCUAGCGAAGAUCACAAAAAGCGACCGUUUUCGCUACCUAGGAUCUAUCUUGCAAGAGAACGGAGAAUUAGAUGGAGAUCUCAACCAUAGAAUACAAGCUGGAUGGAUGAAGUGUAAAAGUGCAUCCGGCGUGUUGUGUGACCGUCGUAGGCCACUGAAGCUCAAGGGAAAAUUUUAUAGGACGGCAAUAAGGCCAGCGAUGUUGUAUGGCACAGAAUUGUUGGGGUGUGAAGCAUCAACACGUACACAAAAUGGGGUGUGGCGGAGAUGAGGAUGCUUCGUGGGAUGUGUGGGCACACGAGAAAGGAUAAGAUUGGGAAUGAGGAUAUCCGAGGUAAAGUAGGAGUAGUCGAAAUUGAAGGAAAUAUGAGAGAAAAUCAGUUCCGGUGGUUUGGACAUGUGGCAAAGAAGGCCUAAGACUCUGACGCCCGGUUCGAAAAUGUGACUAGGGGACAGAGGUUCAGGGCCGAAGGGGUAAAGGAAAAGACCUAGGAAAAAACUUUGGAAAGAGACCCUAAGAAAAGACUUGAGUACUUGGAUCUAACGGAGGACAUGACACAAAACCGAGCGCAAUGGCGUUCUAGGAUUCAUAUAGCCGACCCCACUUAGUGGGAAAAGGCUUUGUUGUUGUUUGUUUGUUUGUUGAGAUUUACUAAGAACGAGAGUAAAGUCAUUGGAUCCUACAUGCAUCCACAACAUUGACCUCUUUCGUCGUGCCAAAACUAGGUGGGACAUCCUCAUCAUCAUCAUAUUCAACAUACGUAUUACCUUUUCCGAUGUAGUUUUGAAGCCAAAACCGAAAUGAAACCAAACCAUUUGGUUUGGUUCGGUGCCGUUUCAAACGGUUUUGGUUCGGUUUUAGAAAAGAAAAAAAUUUACAAUUUAAAAUUUAUACCUAUAUACGCAUAACACGGUCUCAUUUUUCACACAAUAUAUUAAUUAAUCAACCCAUAUGAGAAUUCUUUUCUUUACUGCUCUCUCUAUUCUCUAAUGUACAUUUGAUCACAACAAGAAAAUGGUACGGGAGAAUGAUAUAUAAACAACUAGCUUAGCAUAGCUAGCUAAUUGCACGAAUGAUGGACUCUGUGACUGAGCAGGAAAAAGCACCCAAAUGGAGUGAUGUGGCUAGGGAUGGGCAAAAUACCAUGGAUUUGGGUAACCGCGGUUACCCAUCCAUUUAAAGUUCACGGUUACGGUUAUGGGUAACCGUUUAGACGAACAAACGGUUAUGGGUAUAAACGUUUAUCCAUGAAAUUUAAAUGGGCGGUUAUGGGUAUUAUCCAUGGUUAUAACGGGUAUCCAUCGAUUAUGGGUAUUACUAGCGGUUAUAACAGGUAUCCAUUUACCCAUUUAAUUUAAUAUAUGUAAAAUUUAAAAAAAAAAUUUAAAUCCUAAAUUUUCAAUCACUCCGCCAAACUCAGAGUCUUAAACGCCUUGUCCCCCGCUCAUCUCUCCCUCCUCACUGCCCUUUGUCUCAUCUUCGCCAUUGUGAGGCGAAAACAAUUCAAGUAAACAGUUAAGUGCUAAAUCACCUUGUCCAUGUAACGAUUGAUGAGAGCAGGGAUAUCCGAUUUAGGUUCGAGUCCUCCAAAUAAGGAUCCCAUGAGGGUUUUGCCGCUGUGAAGGAUAUCAUGAAAGGGAAGGCUCGCCUUUGAGGCUCUGACCCUGGCUUGUCGACACCUACCAUAACUGUCUCUCCCCAACCCUGAAGUUCAAAAGAACGAUAAUAUUUCAAUGCGUAGUGCAGACAAAUUAUAGUUGCCUAGGUUCAUCAUGAUGGUUGAUCAGUACGAUGCAGAGCAUAUUCUUGUUUUGUAAUUUUCAAGUUGUUAAAAAAAAACAUGUAGAUGGAUGAAAAAAAUGGGUAAAUAGGUAAAAAAAAGAUAAACAGAUUCAAAAACGGAUAAAUAGUUAUGGUUAAAUGGGUAAACGGUUAUGGUUAAAUGGGUACACAGUUAUGGGUAUGGUUAACCGUUUAUAAACGGUUAUGGGUAUGGGUAUAACCGUUUAUGCAAUUACCCAACGGGUAAACAGUUAUGCGAGUAUGAACAUAAACGGUUAUGGGUAAAUAACUGCAGUUACCCAUCCGCUAUAAUCGUUGCCCAUCCCUAGAUGUGGCUUAUUAUUUGAUCAGAGAUUGGUCUUUGUAUCUCUCAUUUUGUGACUAACUCUUACUUGAAAAUUAGGAUUCUGAGGUGCUUUUACUGGUAAUAAAAUGUUCAUCUUUUCCUGUAAAGAAACAGUGAAGAUGCCAAGCUUGAUAAGGGUUAUAACUUUGGGAAAAAUAAUCAUUAUUAUGAAAUGUAAACACUAGAUCUAUGGACUCUAACAAACCACCAAUUAAAACACGACAUCUAAUUUGAGGUGCGAUUUCGGUUUCGGUGCGAUUUUCAAAAGCCAAAACCGAAACCAAACCGUUUCAUACACUGCAGUUCGGUUUCAAAACCACAACCAUUUCAAAACCGCAAAACCAAACCAUUCAGUGCGGUUCAAUUUGGUUCAUGUUUGGGUUUCGGUUUUGGGUUUCAAGUGCCCACCCCUAGCACUAAGUGGCUUAUCACACAAGUUUUAUGUAAAGUGAUUAAACAACUUAGCAUGAGUCAAUUUACUAGAGAUUCUUGCGAAGGACAAUGAGAGAUACAACUCACCGUCUAGCAAGGAAGUCGAAUCUAAAAUAGUGAAGAGGAAUAUUACUGGACCAUAUUAAGUGGCAUCAUAUCUUCUGAAUCUUUUAAAAUCGCCUUGACUAGAAACAACAAACUCACUCAUAGUUUUAGCCUAUCAAUUACAUUCUUCAAUGUACAACCCCUCACUCCAACUUUCUCAGAAACCUGUUUGUAGCCUAACAUGGGUUCCUUCAGAAAAUCUGAAUUAAAAGGAAGGACAUUGCACCACUGCCCCGUCAAAGUUUUUGAUGAUUCAAAUACCCCUUAAAUUUUGGGGUCAAUAUUUUUUUAUGGUCAACGUUAGGCGUCCAGAUGAUGGGCAAUUUAUCAAUUUGGAUAUCAUUGAGGACUGAAUUCGGAUGCAUAAGGUCUAAGCAAGAAGUACAGACAGAUCAUUCCAAUGCAUUUUACACUCGUUAAUCAAAUACAGUUGAAUCUGAUUCUCACGGAUGCAUUGUUAAUUACCAUAACGCCUUUCAAGCAUUUCACUCAGAAAAAAGAAACUAUAAUAAAAUUGUGCAUGACGUCGAUCAAGAUAAUAUAAGGAUUCGACGUAAUCAUGGAGUGCCGGCUGUCGACUACCUGACGUCCUCCCCCUCCUCCUUUAUCCGGGCUUGGGACCGGCAAUGUAAGAUAAACUUACACGGCGGAGUUCAUUUACCAGGUAAAGAAAGUACCUCAUCUCAUAACCGGUUUCCAGCUUCCUUGAAUAAACAGAUGUUCUUUGAGACUGCAUCGUACUCACUGGAGUUGCUUGUUUUGCUUGUUUCCUCUAGAUGAAGGUUGCUUUAAUCCAACCAAAUCACUCUCGUAGAUGAGACGGACUCCGCACCUCUUCACCUCCAAACCAGAGCCUAAGGUUUAAAUGUAAACUCAAGGUGAUGACAACUGUCUUGCCAUGUUGUACCAAAGUAUUCACCAGAUACAAAGGAUAGCCAAAUGUGCUCUUUCUCAAUUUGCCCUAAUUCUUCGCUGCAGGCGAAGGAAGGACACCAGCCACCUACACCCAAAUUCCCAGGCUUAACUUCGCAACGAAGACCAUGUGCAGUGGUAUGGGUUCCGUAGUUCCAUUUACCAAGCAGAUUAGGUGGGAGUCGUCGACGGAGAGUGAAAACAGCACACAAUGCAUAUCCCAUCCACUCGUUCUUAUACCAGUGUUGAGGGAGCUCCACGCUUACCACAGGCCUCUCACUUCGAUAACCAAACCACUCAGAAAUUUCACUGCCAGGAUAUAUAGCUUCAAAAUUAUUCCCUACGUAAGGGAUUCCCUAUAUGAUACAAAAUUACAAAUAGUGAAGUUAAACAAUUGAUACGUCCGUCUUGUAAAUAAGUACAAAAUGCUUCUUUUUUUUUUCUUUUUUUUUUCUUUUUCUGUGUGUGUGUGUAAGAGAGAGAGAGAGAGAACCUCAAGGAAUCUCCUUAACGCUGCAAAUGCUACAUUGUUGCAGCCUUGGUCGUCAACCACUUCAAAGCAAUUAAUAAAACUGAAACAUGAUGACAGCCUUUCCCGUGAAAAACUGCCUUUUCCCUCAACACUCAAGUUCAAUUCUGCUGAAAGGUCCGGCAAUUUUUUAAGACACUUACAACCACCCAAAUUCAAAAUCUGAAGCUUAGACAGCUCUGUGAUGCUCUUGGGAAGACUAACAAAACUGUUUUUACUUAGAUUAAGCGAUACUAUUGAGGACAAGCAGCCAAGAUUUUCCAGGAUUGUUACCUCCUCAAGAUUACAGUCACUGAGAUUCAGCACUGUCAAAGAAAGCAAACCAGAAUCUGUGGUCGGCAACAGCAAACUCAGUAGACUUGUCUUCUUUCUUCGCAUCGAUUUGCAACCACAAAUGGAUAACAAUUCAAGAUUUUCCAGGCGGGAAAUGGAGGAUGGUAGAUCAUUAAUAGAGGUACCGCCCACAUCAAGCUCCUUCAAACAAACCAUAUUUCCCAAGUUUUUUGGCAGUUCUUCAAGCUUUGAGCAUCCACUGAGAUUGAGACUUUUGAGGGAACGCAACUGGCAAGUACUGCUUGCAAGGGAACUGAGAUUUCUGCAAUCUCUCAGGUUUAAUAAAGUAAGGCCAGUCAGACAUUCGAUCGAAGAAGGUAAUUCUUCUACAGCAGUCUUAUCUAAAUAAAGUUCCAACAAGUUUUCCAUAGGUCUCACAAAUUCUGGAACUUUAUUAAUUUUUGAACAACCAGAAAGAAUAAGAAUUUGAAGACUUUCCAUUUCAAAACAUUUGGGAAGGCGUUUAAGACUUCUGCAGUCCUUAAGAUUUAAGAAAAUAAGCCUUUUGAGCUCAGCAAUGGAUGGGUCGAUCAUCACCAAGUUUGUACAGCCUUCAAGAAUUAAUCUAUGAAGAUUUGGAGUAACAGUAAAGUCCGGGGUCCUGGUCAGGUUCUGGGAGUAGCUAACAUUAACGAAUUUCAGAUUGCCUAAGCACUGUUCAAAACAUUAAAGCACAAAAUUUAGUACUUUAUAUAAAAAAAAAAAAACCCAACUUUUUAUGUGCUACCCAUAAUCUGACCUUUGUUCUAUUCCAAAGUUGUCCAAUGCUGCUAUGGGACAAGUUAACUUCACAAAGUUGCUCAAGUUCAAAUUCUCGUGGGAGAAAUUUUGAAGGAUACCCACUCCAUUCAAGAAACUUUAAGGCAUUAGAAAGUUUUUUUGGGCCUUGGGUCAUUCGCAGAUUAUGAAUUUGGAGAAAUCUGAGAUUAUGCAUCGUCGAGAAGGCCUCCAAGUCCCAACAUGCCUCUUUCAAUUUAGGGAAGUCUAAGGCUAUACCUUCAACUGCAUUUGUACCCUGAUAACAGAGAAUUCAGAAUAAGUUCAUUAGACAGUAUAAUUAAGUUUAGAAGUACUUACUAAAUUAGUAUACUCCAUCUUCCUUCAAAACCACUUACCGUAUUAUUCCUCAAUACAUGAAUGACAUCAUCAUGAAGCCACAACCUGCUUUGCUCUCCAGGAUCCUCAACAGCAUCUCUGCGUACCAAUUGUCGUCCCAAUUCUUGUAUCAACCCAUGCAUCAACACUUUGUUAUUUGAAAUAGUUAUGAGAGAUUUCUCAAAGAGAGCUUCCAUCCCAUCCUUCGGAUUAAAUCCAAAACAAUCUAGUAUCUCUACCACUCGUUCCUUGUCCAUUCCUUGAAAGAAACAAGCAAUAUCUAGAAACAUUCUUUUCUCAUUGUCCGCCAGUCCAUGAUAACUUAUUUCAAGUGCUUGAGAAACAUUUUUAUCAGGAACAUGCUUCAGCUUUUCCAAUGCAUUACGCCACUCUCCCGGACUUCUGUGGAACAGAGAGGAUCCCAAAACCUUGAUUGCUAAAGGAACGCCUCCAGCAUAAUGAACCACCCGUUUAGACAGAUCCAAAUAAUAUUCUCGGGGUUCAUCACUUUUAAAGGCGUGAAUAUUGAAGAGCUGACGCGACUCACCCUCACUUAAUCCCUUAACUUCAAAUAUGCUUUCUACACCAUGCUCUCUUAGCAAAUUCUCAUUUCUAGUUGUAAUGAUGACUCUGCUCCCCAAACCAAACCAUUCUUUGUUUCCACCCAAUGAUUUCAGUUGGUCUAAGUCGAAAACAUCGUCUAAAAUGAGAAGAACCUUUCUCUUACAUAGAAUGUUCUUUAUCAUUAUGGCUCCCUCGUUAACAUUUGGAACAUCUAUGCCUUGCCCCAAAGCCUCAUAAAGAAGUUUCUUUUGCAAUUGCAGAUGACCCAGUGUUUCGCUUAGCCCACAAGUAAUCCAGGUGAAAAUUUCAAAUUCAUUGGAAAUGUUGUCAAAAACCACUCUGGCGAUAGUUGUCUUGCCCAUCCACCAAUUCCGCAUAUCCCUAUGAAGCGAACAUCAUUAGAUUUGAUGUCCAAAAGCCUAUUUAGUUCCUCUACUCUUGAGUCAAUUCCCACUAGGUCCUCAAGAUAAGAUGGCAGAGUUUGCAAUGUAUUCAAAACCCAUUGAACAAUUCGUUGGAUAAAUUGUGCCUCAUACCUAUGCAGAAGAAAAUAAAUGUCAAUCAUUCGGAAAUAUUUGAAAGAAUCCCGAUUGUAGUGUAAGCCUUUUGUUUAAGAACAAAAAUGUAUGACAAUAACCUAUCGUUCUCUCAUGAGAGAACUAAUAGAAAAGCUAGCAAGCAACGAAAAUUCAUCUCUUUGGACAGCUUAACAUAUGUUAUCAUAAAUUACAGCAGGAAAGAAUACAAGCAUACAUAUUACAUAGCAAAAACUGAAAUAAAAUAAAAUUUAUUUGCUACUGAAAGGAACUACCCACCCAUCCUCGUCCUUGUAUAGGUCAAAUCCAGACAGAUUGGCUAAUUGACGAAGAGCAUCCCUCCAGGCGCGCACUUUGUCGAUAUUGUCAUUGAAACGUCCUUCAUGCUCGGCAAAAAAGUCACCGAAAUCGCCUGUCUGUUUUCGUACCUCGGAUGGGCUCACAUCAUAGAAGACAGGCAAAACUAUCUGGCGAGCCACUUCCUUGCAUUCCAUAAUUUGCUGAAGCUCAUCCAAGCACCAUGUUGACCUGGCAUACUUUCUUGAAAGAAUGACAAUUGAAAUUUUUGAACUUUUAAUUCCCCGAUAAAGUUCAUCAUCUCCAAAUACGACGACUCCUCGGUUACUCAGAGCAGCACGUAGUUGGUCUGCGAAAUUCCUGCGAGUGUCUUCGCCACUGAAACUGAGGAAGACAUCGUAAUCAGUUGUUUGCGCAGUCGCCGUGGAUCCCAUCGGAAUACUCGGCUUUCUUCUUUUUCUUGAUUGCGUGGUGGCGAUGGAUCCCAACGGAAAUCUCUGCUCUCUUCUUCCUUAAUGGAACCCCAGACCGAUCAAAUCCAGAUCUCUCGGUCUUCUAGCAUAGGAAUGGAAUAUGAAAUGUCAACGGCCAAUUGCAACCGUCCGAUGCGGAGCAGCAAAUCUCACCCGUCUAAUAAGUUCCAGUCGCCAUCCACUGUUGCUCUAGUUUCUCUCGUUUUAUUUUUAUUUUAUUUGUGUGGGGUCCAUUAUUAUUAUUAUUAUUAUUAUUAUUAUUAUUUUAUAGGAAAAAUAAUGUAUUAAAUAGAACAACCCCUUACACAACCAGUGUCAUUACCGUCGAAAAGAAAAGCCAUAUUAGCUUCCAUUGGGAGAAAAACAUCCCAAAUGCAAAGCUCCUUUCUCUUCAGCCCAACAGACGCUAUGGCAUUUGUAACAAAAUUUGCUUUCUUAAAAAUAUACCUCCACUUGAUAUCAUGAAAAUUUGUUUGAAGCACACCACCUGGGAUCCAUUAUUUUGAAUUAAGCACUUUGUCAUAUUUACGAUACAGCGUUUUUCACGGACAAACUUACCAUCUAAUCUUAAUUUCAAGCACACCCAUCAGUGUCAUCACCAUUUUCCAUUCAGAGCGGAUUCAGGUAAAUCCAUCCAUCUAUCACGAAAGUGAGAAAUUCAUUCUCAGAGUGAAGUGAAUUGACUAUUGAAGUUCGUUUCUUCUUUUCUAUAUUUCCUUUUUUUUUUUAGGUCAAAGUUUUAUUUGAACUUGUGAAAUUGUGAUUAGAUGGUGGGUAGUGAAAUGAAAUUGUAAUUAGAUACAGUUUCUCUCUUAAUCGAAAUUGUGAAAUGAUGGAAUUAAACUCGGAAAAUUAAAGCCCACUUUUCAUGAAUUUUUCCGCGCGGCAAUUGUUGAUUUCUGCGCGUCAAGUAGCCAAGCACAUCAAAUCCAAUUCACAUCCCUCAAUUCCUGACUUGUUUUUUCCACACACAGACAUACUAUAAAAUCAGUUUCUAGUUAAAUACACUUUUCUUUUUCUUUUUUUAUAGAAAAUCUCGACGGUACGAAGAGAAUUUAUUGAUAUCGAAAGAAAAAAAAACACCUAAUUAGGGAGACAUAAACCUAACCUCUCAUAAUACAAGAAAAAAUGAUAAAAGAUACAUGAAAAAAGGAAGACAUAAACUUUACCCUUCUAGAAACAAAAACAACAAAGAUACAAGCAACAUCACAAGGUUAAGAAGAAAGAUAAGAAGGUGAGACAAACUUGUAUGCCUAGAUGCACAUUUAUUUGAGAAGCGGAAGUCAGGAAAGCCAACAUAGUCUGAAGAACCGUCAUAGGAUUUGAAUCAUGCCAUACCAAAGUUGGAGAAGACAAGACCAUGUUAGCAAAAGUGUCUGCAACCACAUUUCCUUCACGAUAUAUGUGAGAGGAUAGAAUGUCAUCUUUCGAAUGCAGUCCAAACAAAUAGACCAUUGCGUACGAAGAGGCUAAUGAGGAUCAAAAUUAGUCGAUUGGAGAGUAGAAACAACACUAGAAGAGUCAUUUUCCAGCCAAAGACAAUGUCGACCCCACUUAUAAGCAAACUCUACGCCAAUAAUAACUAUUGAUAGUUCUGCAAAAAAAAAAAGAGUUGCGAUGACAAUUCCUUGGCAGAAACCACCAUGAAACUGACCAUGCCAAUCUCGAAAGACUCAUUCACAAGCAAGAGCAAUGGAUCGAUACUAAGCAAUGGUAGCAGCCAUGGACGAAGGGAGGUAAGUCCUGGGGGGGUUUUAAACACCCCUUCUCCCUUUUUUUUCCCUCACGUACUAAUGUUUAAACCUUGCUGAGUUACAUGUAUUUGAUUAAUUAGUACGAAUGAGCAUUAGAUUUCCAAUACAACAAUUAAAAACAAAAUUAGACAAUAGGGUAAUAAAAUUAGUCAUUUGUAAAAAAAAAAAAAAAAAAAAAAAAAAAAAAAAAAAAAAAAAAAAAAAAAACUAGCUUUAUUUGUCCAAAAAAUGAGCUGAAAUUUUUAAGGUGCCCCCUCUUAGUUAAAUUUAUGGCUUCGUCCCUGGUAGCAACCCUUUCUACUUUAGGGGAUAAGGACCACAAAGUUGCAAUUAAUAUUUAGAUAAAGUCAGCCCCGCUUAAAAAAAUCUUGUACAAAUGCAAUAACAUCUAAAUCAACAAAUCCAAGCAUGAUUGAUAGAAAGAAGCAGGAAAAGAAUCACAUCCCGGAGCACUUGAGGGAUCCAUAGAAAAAAAAUGGCUUUUUUGAGUUCAUUAGCACAAGGUAAACAAGAAAGAGCAAGAUUUUCCUCUUCUUUAACCAUAGGUGGAAUUACACCACAAACAUCCUCAAUUCCAUUUGAAGUGAACAAAGAGUUAUAUAAAGAUUGAUAAAAGUUUACCACAUGACUAGCAAUAUCAACAAGGGAAGAUGGCACAUUAUCACCAUCCAAUAGAGUAACAAUCCUGAAAGAAGAAAGCCUACCUCGAGCAUAAGUAUGGAAAAAAACAAUAUUACGAUCACCUUUAGUAAGCCAAAAAGUUUCUCACAUAUGAAGAGCAUCUAGGACAGUUGUCUUAGCCACAGCUUCCUCAUUAAACCUCUCUUGAAAAUUCCCAUUAGAAAAACAGUAUUUUGGAUAUUAUGAAGUUUGUCCUUAGCAAUAGUGAUAUUUCUAUGGACAUUAGCAAAAACAUAACAAACAUGGGACACCCGUAUGCAAUAGUUGACUGCCAGCACUUAGCAACCAAAUUAGAAAAGCUUGAAUGUAAAGUCCACAUGGAUUGAAAUCGAAAAGGUCGGGGAUCCUCCAAGAAGAGUAGCAAAAGCUGAGAAAACAAGACAAUUAUGACCAGAAACUACCCUUGGCAAAGUUGAACAAUUUGUAUGAGGUCAAGACUGUAACUAGCGUGUGUUACAAAGAGAGCGGUCAAGAAGCCUCUCCAUGUAACCACAGACACUCCAACCAUUAGUCCAAGUAUAAAAAGCACAAGUAGUAUCCAUAUGAGUAAAUUCACAAAGCUCAAUAGCAGUACGAAAGUCCUCACACGAAAUUCGAGCAAGCGACUCCUCAUUUGUUCAUGAGCUCCAACAAUAGCAUUAAAGUCACCAAUUGCCAUCCAAGGUAUUGUAGUAUUAGAAUGAAUACUUAAAAGAUCACAUCAUAAAGCACGACGAAGACUCGAUGUAGUAGCCGCAUAAAAAAAAAAAAAGUAAACCGAGAAAGAACACCAUCAAAAGAAGCCUGAAAAGUAAUUUGUUGUCCUGAAGAAGAAAUCACAAUAGGAGAACAAUAACUCGUAGAAUACAAAACCCAAUUAUUAGGUAGUAAAUCACCCCUGUUAGUAGCAGUAAGCAAAGAAAGACCUAAUGAAUUCCAAUGACUAGAGGGAAUAGAAUUAAAAGUAACCAUAGGUUCAUAAAUGCAAACCAAUCCGAAUGAUGGGAAUGACAAACAUUGGAAAGCUCCGUAUGCUUAUCAGAAUUAACAAUACUACGAAAUAUUCCAGUAAACUAGCUUCAUUUGGAGGUUGAAAUAACUUGUCUUCUUGCCCUAGUAACAUAGGGUUCUUCUUGCCUAGCUGCAUUAGCUUUUUAUUUUUUUUAUUUUAUUUCUUUGCUGAGAUUUACUAAGAACGAGAGUAAAGUCAUUGGAUCCUACAUGCAUCCACAACAUUGACCUCUUUCGUCGUGCCAAAACCAGGUGGGACAUCCUCAUCAUCAUCAUAUUCAACAUGGGUAUUACCUUGGUUGGUUGUAACUCAAGAAGCAAUCCGUCUGCAUUUGUCUCUAACUGUCCAUGAUGCACUGCAAACGAAUCAAUUACCCUAUCAGUCAACAUACUUAACUCAUUAUUCACAACACUCAUUAGUAUUUGAUUUGCAAAACCGUUAACUUGGUCAGCAUGACGUUGCUCAAGAGAGCUACACAAUGGAAUCUCCAUGCCAUUAUGAAGUUCAAAAGUAUGUUCUUUGUGAAUAAUUUCAACUGAAGGAGAACGUCCCUUGUGAAUAGUAUCAACUGAAGGAGAAACAGUCUUAGUAGACGGUUUUGAACGAUAAACCUGAUGAGUUUUUGAUCAUCUGCGAUGAUGAAUCUCAACAUUUGGUUGCAUCCCAUCUUAGUGAUUACAAGCAUUUAACUGUCGAAUUUUACUCGUGUUAUGGCCAAUUACACCACAAGUUGGAGGCAAAUUCUCAUAAAUAAUAUCAGCAUAGAAACCAUGUUGUUCCCGCUCAACCGUAAUAGAUGAAGGCAAAUCAGCAGAGAGAUCCACAUCCACCAGAACUUUAGCAUAGUAGGCAUAUAAAUUUCACGUGUAGCAUGAUCCAACUGAAGUGGAAUACCCACACCAUGAGAAAUUUCCAUAAGAAUGCAAGGGUUCAAUAUUCUUGACUUGACCCAUAUAUUUUGAUCAAGACAUGUGCAUGAGUUUGGGGAAGCAUGUCACCAGGCUUGAAAUCCGGUUGCUAUUGAGACAACCUAAAAAUACCGAAUUGAAGUGUACAUGUUCCACCAACCCACACUUUUCUAAUGUCUUCUUCGGUGGAAAAGUGAAGAUCAAAAUAUCCCUUACCUAAUGAUACCAGUAGCCAAGGAUUGUGAAUCUUUCAUGGGUGCUUUUUUUUAAGCACCUCACUCCCAAACCACCCCUCAGUCUUCAUUGGCAUGGUACUUUUCUUUAACAAAAGUUUACCAAUGAGGUUUGUCCAGAAUGAGCACAGUUGUCUUGAUAAAGGCCCACUAAUUUGACAUCAGUCGCAUCUCUCUGAAUUAGGAGCAGGAAGUUGACUUAAAUUAACUGAACUUUCCUUACUAUUUGAGACAAUGGCAGCAAAGGUCCGUGCUUUCCAUACUAGUUGAGGAAGCCCCGGGCAUGAAGCACUUAGGUGACUUGUUCAUGAAAACCUCAACCUAGUCUACCUAGAACAAAAUUCAUUCCAAAAUAAUGUACAAAAAAAUAAGAAUAUAAAAUAGAAAAUUAUAACCUGAUCAAAGUGCAGCAGUUUUGAGAAAAGUGUUAAAAGUGUUCCAAAUCGUAGGACUCAAUGGAACUUAAUGCAGAAAGACCAAAUGCCUCCAAAAGCUGCAGCAAGUUUGAGUACAAAUCGCAGAACGAGCAAAUUGUAGAAAAUCACAAACCGCCCUAAGUUGCGAAUGAAACGACCGACGCAUCGCGUUCCUUUCUCCAAAAAACACAUAAACCACCCUCUAAAGACGCAAGACGAGAAGAGGGCAAUAAGCAGAUCAACCUGUUCAGAACAGUAAAGGACGAAGCGAUGUGGACAGAUGCGGGGAACGAUAAGCGGCUUCCCUUUUUUUGUCUUCUAGUUGAUAUCUUACAGCCAUUUCUUAAAUCAGUGUUAACGAAAAAGGUUUGGGCUAACUUUUAUUUAAUGAAAAACUACCUUAAACUAUUAUUUAAUAAAAAUGACUUAAGAUUUAAUCAUAAGGACACAAACUUAUAUCUCAAGUCCUACAAAAACUAAAACACACAGGUUCAACAAAAAGCCCAAACCAGAUAACAAUUAAUAUUCCAAAAUUACCCCUAACGGAACCUAACCCAACUUGUUGAGCCAAAAAUAAUCACAAAGCGACCCGAGGAUUUUUGGAAAAAAUAUGACAAAAAUACCCUUGAGGCAUACCAGGAUUCCUACGCGCGAACAGCAGGCAAUCAUCGCUCAAUCAAGUGAAAAGUGUCCAAAAUAAGUAACAAUUCAAAGCCUAUUGUAUCCAUCCUCAUCAAAUCCUAUUUCACCCAUAUGGGUUUGCUCUCGAGUGCGAGUGCGAGAGGAUAAACUAAUUAUUCUCUAGUGCAAGAGGUAAACCAAUUCCUAGACACCCAUAUGGGUUUGCUCUCGAGUACGAGAGAAUAAACUAAUUGCUCUCCAGUGCCAGAGGGUAAACUAAUUCCCCGACACCCAUCUGUGUAAGCUCUCCAGCGCAAGAAUGCUACAUAGCUCAAAAUAUCAAAUGCUUGAAUAUCAGCUAGGCAGCAAAUGGUCAGGGGGCAGCAGCCACUUUUGCACUUAACACACUACAAAAAAAUGAGCACUGUGCACAAUAAAUUAUCUAUGCCCUUUGAGGCCAAAAAGCACCAACAAGUGUGCUCAUAGACCAAUAGCAACAGUGUAGCUACUAUCUUUGUGUUUGUGCCCUCUAUGGGCGUCACCAUUGGGCACAAUACUGAGUUCUGUGCUCAUGAUGUCAGCACAAAUAAAGGGUGUUUUGUGCCUAACAAAGUUGUCAGACUACCAUUUCCAGCCAUGUUGGCACUUAAAAUGUAAUUGUGCCUGCAUGAAUUAAAUAUUAAAAAAAUUCAUAAUUUGAAAAAUUGAAACUGAAAUUGAGGUUUUUUUUUUUCAUAAAAUGUAGAAAGCCUACAAUACAUUCUCAAUCUCACAAACAUAUAUUGUAAUGUUACAUAUUUCAUCUCUGUUUGUACCAUACUUGACCAAUCCCGAAACUACCGAGCACCGGCCAACGCUAUACUGUCAAGGACCCAGAAGAGUUCCCCUCCGACCAGGAGGCUAAUCACUACUCGACACGUGUCAAGAUUAGAAGCCAAUCAGAGCGCAGCACGUGUCAACAUCAAGAACCAAUCAUAACAUGACACAUGUCAAUGUGACAAAGCUACAAGUUUUUCUAUAAAUAGGGGUCAUUCCCCCACAAUAUUGCCGAAUGCCAUUUGUGUUAAAUCAUUCACAAGAACUCACUAAAUUGAGAACUUGAUCCUUUGUACUUGUGUAAGCCCUUCACUACUAAUAAGAACUCCUCUACUCCGUGGACGUAGCCAAUCUGGGUGAACCACGUACAUCCUGUGUUUGCUUCUCUGUCUCUAUUCAUUUACGUACUUAUCCUCACUAGUGACCGAAGCAACCAAGCGAAGGUCAUAAAACCUGACACUUUCUGUUGUACCAAAGUCUUCGCUGAUUUUGUGCAUCAACAUUUGGCGCCGUCUGUGGGAAACGACACUUAUUCCUACUCUCUUCAGCUGUGUCAAGCUGGUUUCUAUCAUUCGUACACUUUCUUUUGAUCAGGCAUCCUUCUCCAGCAUAGGAAGCGAAGGAAGCCACAGCACACAGAAUGACACCCCCCUUGCACAUAGUGCGAAACAACGAAAGAAGGAAGGAAAACGAGUUCUUCUUCAAGCUAAAGUCGAUGAGUUGGAAGCUCAGAACAACAAGAUAGCAAUGAGGAAUGAGGUCCUCCAGGAGCAAUAUGAGAAGCUCUUCGAGACACUUCACGAAGCUAGGCAAGCUCAGACACGCGAGCUUGUUGCCCCCGUGGAAGUCAACCAUCAACUGGGUGCCCUCCAACAUGGAGGGUCACAUGCAUUCGACAUAGAUAUCCCUGAUAGGGAACAAAUUACCCCUCGAUUUGAUAAUCAACAUGAGGCUUCUCUUAACCCAGUUGCUUCGACCCGAACCAUGAGAAGCGGAGGGAGACACCUCUUUGCUGAAGGGGCAGAAGGAUCGAAAGCCGUCUUUCGCGAUUGUCGGGAUUUCCUGAAGCAACGUCGAGAGAAUUCCAUCCAUAUAAGCUCAAAGAUCAAUGACCCAAGGAUUUCUGAGAGACUCGGUCCCCUGCCACGGCCCGAGCCGGCCACCAACUUUGGGGAAGGGGCAACAAGUCCUAGAGAGACAUGAGGGUACAGGGGACUCAGAGGUGUUCCGACAGACAUACCCUGGAAGCCAGUACAGCGAGUCCAGGGAAAAAUCACAUGCCCUUGAUCAAACCUUCCUAAUUCCAAGAGGAGAUGGAGAUUUACGAAAGAAAGCUCCAGUGGCACAUAACUCCGCUCAGGACCCCCUUGUCCUACAACUUCUUGAGGAAGUAAACAAGUUGAAGGCUGAACGUCAGGCUGAAAUACCUGACUGGAACCAACCCAGGCCUGGCCCUCUUACAAGGAGGAUCCUCAACACCCCCUUCAAGCAAAGACAAAGCAGAAGCUUGGCUUGCAACUUUAUACUGGGAAAGAGGACCCGAUUGAGCACCUUAACCUCUUUGAGUCCACCAUGGCAUACCGGAUGCACACCGACGAAGAGUGAUGUCUUCUCUUCCCCUCCACCCUCUCUGGCGGAGCUCUAAAUUGGUAUUGUCGUCUUACACCUGAGACGGUAGACUCAUUUGAGGAAUUGAGGAAACUAUUUGUUUCCCAACACAUUUUCCAAACCGAUCGCUUGCAAUCUGCAGAUGACCUGUACACUAUCCACCAGAAGCCAGACGAGUCAUUACGUAUGUAUGCUGGCCGCUUCAGCCAUGAAUACUCCCGGUGUGCCGAGGCAGACGACAAGACUGCCCUCAAAGCCUUCACGGCAGGCCUACGUGAUUGUUUCUUUAAAUACAUGAUCAAUGCCAAUACUUGGAAGACUUACUCUGAGGUGAUGGCGCAGGCUUAUAACCAUGCCUCCGCCGAGGCAAAGACAUAUCAGGAGAAACCCCCUACAACCAUCCUUUAUCAACAAGUGGGAGGUGGAAGCCAGACUCACCUAAAUGAGAAGACCUCGACUUUCCAAACAGCAGUGGCACCUCCCCAUGCCUUGCAUAAUGCUUCACCGAAUCAACAGACAUAUCAAUUUCAAGGCAAGAGGAAGGAUUUCCAUCCUCACCACUCUCCUUUCAGUAAAAAGAGUAAGGGACACUAUCCCGAUAACCAAGGGUAUCGCCACAAUAACGCUCGCCCCCAGGCAGUCAAUGCAGUGGGUCAAACCCGCGUCAAGAUACCCCCUACCCCAAGGUAUGAGACAUACACGCCCUUGAAUGCCACAUGCGCGGCCAUUUACCCCAGCAUAGCUCACCUGAUACCAAAGCCAAAGCCGAGGCACCCAGAUUACACGCCCCCGAAUAACGCGGGCAUGUUUUGUUGCUACCAUGAGCAUAACGGCCAUGAUAGCGAGAAAUGUAUCAUCCUCCGUGAUCGUAUUGAAGCUUUGGCACGAGAAGGAAAAUUUGAUCAAUUCCUUCUUCACCCUCAAAGGGAUAACCGUAACCAACGCCAGGUGAAUGUCAUAUAUUCCAUAAGCGGCGGCACACCCAUAUCUGAAUCUUCCAAUAGGGCCAUGAAAAACAGUGAACGAAGUCUGAGGCCUGGUCACCAAGUGUUUCACGUGGAAGACAUCAGGGGAGGGAAGUAUCAAAAACCUAACUGGGAUCCGAUAUGUUUCUACCCUGAGGAAGAAAGAGGCAUCAUCUACCCUCAUAACGACCCAUUGAUCGUGGAGGCUCACAUAGCCAACUUUGAUGUUCGACGAAUCCUCGUAGACACAGGGGCUUCGGUCAAUAUCAUGUUUGCCGAAGCUUUCAAGGGCACUCAGUGUAGCUGAACACUUGCUCGAUCGCUCGAUUUCUCCUCUGAUAAGCUUCUCCGGUGAUAUCGUGCAACCCUUAGGGAGCAUACAUUUACCCUUUACUAUUGGUACAGGCCCUUACACGGCUACCAUUACCACUAACUUCCUAGUGGUUGACUGCCCAACGGCAUACAAUGUCAUCUUUGGGCGCACAGGCAUCAAUGAUCUCAAGGCUAUGGUAUCCACGCAUAUGCUGUUGAUGAAAUUUCCAACCCCCCAUGGCAACGGCUACAUCAGAGGAGAUCAGCUUAGUGCACGAUCAUGUUACAACACUUCAGUUAAGCAACAACACUUGCCCGGACCCAAGGAAACCCUGUCUGUACAUGACCAAGUCACAAAGACCAGCCUAGAUGAAGCGAACUUGGAUCUUCCUGAUAGCAACAAUCAACCCGAUGAUGAUCCUCGAGAUGACUCUUUCACCCAGCAAGCCCAACCUGCUGAAGAGUUGGAGAAGGUACCUAUCUCAAGAGAUUAUCCAGAUCGCAUGGUGAAGAUUGGCACCACAUUGUCACCACCCCUUCGGUUAGCAUUGAUAUCUUUUUUGAAAGAGAACACUGAAGUCUUCGCCUGGUCAUACGAGGACAUGCCAGGCAUCUCUCCCGAUGUCAUCUGUCAUCGUUUGAGUAUUGACCCCAAGAUCAAGCCGGUGAGACAGAAGCGAAGAUCUUUAUGACGCUGAACGAUACGAGGCAAUGAAAGCAGAAGUUGAAAAACUCAAAGGCAUAGGCUUUGUCCGCGAAGUCAAUUACCCGACAUGGGUAGCAAAUGUGGUCCUUGUUAGGAAAAAUCCGACCAAAGAAAGUCUUUCGCUUCAAAAGGUCUUGUGGAGGAUGUGUGUUGACUACACCGACCUAAACAAAGGGUGUCCGAAAGAUAGUUUCCCUCUUCCUCUUAUUGACAGGCUUAUAGACUCUACGGCAGGGUGUGAGCUCUUGAGCUUUAUGGACGCUUAUUCAGGAUACAACCAAAUCCUCAUGAACCCCUCAGACCAAGAACACACGGCCUUCACUACUGACAGGGGACUAUAUUGCUAUAAAGUCAUGCCUUUCGGCCUAAAGAAUGCAGGAGCAACUUAUCAGAGACUGGUCAAUUCAAUGUUCGCCGAACAAAUUGGGAAGAACAUGGAAGUUUACGUUGAUGAUAUGCUAGUCAAAAGCAAACAUGCUGACCAACACAUCACCAACCUAUCUGAAACUUUCACCAUUCUAAAGAGGUAUCGAAUGAGGUUGAACCCCAACAAAUGUGCCUUCGGCGUGGGCUCUGGCAAAUUCUUAGGCUUCAUGAUUAGCCAACGAGGCAUUGAAGCUAACCCUGAAAAGAUCAAAGCAAUCCUCGACAUGAAAGAGCCAAUAACUUCAAAAGACAUCCAAAGCCUUACUGGCAAGGUGGCAGCCUUAACCAGAUUCAUCUCUAAGGCCACAGACAGAUGUGCUCCUUUCUUCAAAGCACUCAAGGGAAAUAAGAAGUACAUUACAUGGACGGAGGAAUGUGCCAAGGCAUUCAGGAACCUCAAAGAGUACAUGAGUAAAGCCCCUCUGCUCUCCAAACCAGAAGUUGGUGACACUCUCAUCAUCUAUCUAUAUCGGUUUCGGCUUCAGCAGUCAGUUCUGUUCUUAUUCGAAUGGACAGUGGUGUCGAACGGCCCGUCUACUACGCUAGCAAGGCCCUACAAGAUGCGGAGACACGAUACUCCAACAUUGAGAAAUUAGCUCUAGCAUUGGUCAUGUCUGCUCGGAAACUUCGCCCUUAUUUCCAAGCACACGCCAUCAUCGUGCUUACCAAUCACCCUCUUCGACAGAUACUCCAGAGUCCUGACACGUCUGGACGAAUGAUCAAAUGGGCGAUAGCAUUGGUUGAGUUUGACAUCUCCUACCAACCAAAACCAGCCGAAAAAGGUCAAGCAGUAGCAGAUUUCAUCGCCGACUUCACAUAUCCUGUUGACAUUGCUUCUACACCUGAAGCAGUAGCUUCAUUACCAUCGGAAGCUCAGAAAGUAGAAUCAACGACCUCAGCAUGGAGUCUGUAUGUUGAUGGCUCAUCCAACCAACAGGGCUGUGGAGCAGGACUAGUCUUGACUACGCCCGACAAAGUAGCAAUGGAGUAUGCUCUUCGUUUCAAAUUCAAGGCAUCAAACAAUGAGGCCGAGUAUGAAGCCCUUCUAGCAGGAUUACGUUUGGCCAAACACAUCGGGGUUAAACAAAUUGAUAUUUUCAGUGACUCCCAAUUAGUGGUCAACCAGGUUACCAACAACUUUGAUGCUAGGGACAGCUCCAUGGCAGCAUAUCUUGCGCAAACACAACUUUUGCUCAAGCACUUCCACUACCAGAUCACCCAAGUUCCUCGAGCGGCAAACAGUCAUGCAGACGCCCUGGCUCGCCUCGCCUCAGCUGUGGAAGACAAGAUUGGAAGAAAAAUUCAUGUCGAACUGUUGGCCAAGCACCAUGGUCGCAGAAGUAUGCAACUUACAACAGGGGGAUAGUUGGAUCACCCCGAUCUAUACUUUCCUUGCUCAUGGCACCCUCCCAAAUGAUAAAGUCCAGGCUAAGCAAAUUCGAUACAAGUCUACCCGCUACCUAAUCAUCAAUGAUCAACUCUAUAAGCGAGGUUUUAGCCUGCCAUACUUAAGGUGUCUUACGCCUGCCGAGGCGGAAAUCGUCUUUCGGGAAAUACAUGAGGGAGUCUGUGGAGAUCAUGCUGGAUCUCGGUCCCUAGCACACAAGACUUUUCGCCAAGGAUAUUACUGGCCAACACUCCACCAGGAUGCCAUCAAAGUAUCCCGCUCAUGUGACAAAUGUCAACGAUAUGCAACUAUUCCUCAUUCCCCUCCAGAGCCUCUUACUCCUAUGAUCAGCCCUUGGCCCUUCGCCCAGUGGGGACUUGAUUUGAUCGGCCCAAUGCCGGCAGGGAAGGGCAAAGUCUGUUACGCAGUCGUUGCAGUGGACUACUUCACAAAGUGGGCCGAAGUAGAACCCUUGGCAACCAUUACUGAGGCAAAGAUAGAAGACUUCGUGUGGAAGAACAUCCUUUGUAGAUUCGGCAUUCCCAAUGCGAUAGUCACUGACAAUGGGCGACAGUUUGACAACAAGAAGUUUAGGUUGUUCUGCUCUAAGUUCAACAUCAACUUAUGCUUUGCCUCUCCAGCUCAUCCCCAGUCUAAUGGACAAGUUGAGGCCAUCAACAAAAUAAUCAAGCGCACUUUGAAAACCAGCUUGGACAAAGCUAAAGGCUGUUGGCCAGAAUUUGUACCCCAAGUUCUUUGGUCAUAUCGCACUUCAUAUCGGACUUCAACAGGAGAAACUCCAUUCUCACUUGCCUUUGGCACAGAGGCGGUUGUCCCUGUUGAGCUCGAGCAAGCAACAUUCCGAGUCCAGAACUACAUUCAAAGUGAAAAUGACAAACAACUCACCCUCAACUUGGAUUUAGUCGAGGAACACAGAAACCAAGCUCACUUGAGGAAUGUCGCCUACAAGCAGCGCAUCUCGAACUAUUAUGACUCUAGGGUCAAGCCUCGUUCUUUCAAAAUAGGAGACUGGGUCUUAAAAAAAAGAUUACUCUGCGACAGAGUCCCGAGUGAAGGCACACUUAGUCCAAACUGGGAUGGACCGUAUGAAGUCAUUGGCAUCAGUCGCCCUGGCUCUUACACACUUAGAAGCUCCGAUGGCAAGACCCUUGGCCAUCCAUGGAACGCUGAUCACUUGAAGUACUACUACAAAUAGACUCACGAUGUACAAAUGUUGAGCUAUAGCCGUUCGGCAUCCUAUGUAAUGAAGGCCAUUUGGCAAUGAAUUCAAUAAAGAGGUAAUUUAGCCAACUCAGCCCUCACUCUUUUACAUUCAUAGCAAGCGAUGCCGGAACCCUUCUCAAUCAGAAAGCAAUCCGUCUUCCACAGUCACUACAAAACAAGCAAAUGAAGACCGUGUCAAGCGCAAAAAAAAAAAAAAAAAAAAAAAAAAAAAAAAAACAGCUUCAUCCAAAAAGCUUCACCCGAAAAGCUUCACCUCCAAAGCUUCACCCACAAAGCUUCACCUAAAAAGCUUCACCCAAAAAGCUUCACCCGAAAAGCUUCACCUAAAAAGCUUCACCCAACAAGCUUCACCCGAAAAGCUUCACCUCCAAAGCUUCACCCACAAAGCUUCACCUAAAAAGCUUCACCCACAAAGCUUCACCAAAAAAAAAACUUCACCCGAAAAGCUUCACUUAAAAAAGCUUCACCUACAAAGCUUCACCUAAAAAAUCUUCACCUAGAAAGCUCCCUCUACAUACUUUCACCAUCAAAGCUUCACCAUCAAAGCUUCACCUAGAAAGCUUCAACACCAAAGCUUCACCUACAAAGCUUCAACACAAAACCUUGCUCCAAAUAAACAAAUUUUGUUCACAAAACCCAAGAUGCCCUUGAACUUGUACAAAAACAUUUGGGUAAACAUAAACAUUUUUUGUUUUACACCCACAAGGGCCCAAAAUUUUCCUUCUUAUUUAUUCACUUAUAUAUGUUCCCAAACAUAUUAUAAUAGAUCCAACAACAAGCCAAAGUCCCAAGUUUCAUAAUGGACAAAAGUACAAGCAAUUCAUCAAUAAUGAAGGUGCUACAAAAAUUGGAAUCUGCCCCAAAAUAGAAAUCCAACCCAAGAGACUUUUUCUCUCUCUCCCUCUUCCGCCUCCUUUCAUCUAUCAAAUUUCUGCAACCUCUGCUCUUCUCCAAUGGAGCUGAAUUUUGGACACCCUAUAGUUCUUGAGCAUAUGAACAACUUUCAAGAAGGAACCAUUUCUGUUUGAGCGACGGAAAUUAAAGUGUUGAAGCUCCAAACAUGAUAGUCGGCUUCUUGCAGAUUUCGAAGCUGUUGUGAUGUUUCGAAGAUCUGGAAAUAUUUAACCGUUAUUUCAUCCUGAAUUUUUGAUAUGUUAUGAAAGAGUCGAUGAGGAACAACUUCAAUGAAGAAAGCAUACCGAUCUGAACAAGAGAAAAUGGAGUUUCGAAGCUCACAACAAAUCUGACGGGUUGACAGAAAAAUAAUAACCCGUCAUUCAUCAUACCUGGAUUUCUGGAGUUAUACUGCUCCGAGGGAUCUCAAAUUUGGAUAUGUUGUAGUUCACAAGCUGAGGAACAACUUCAAUGAAGAAAGCAUGCUGAUCGGAGCAAGAGAAAAUAGAGUUUCAAAGCUCACAACAAAUCUGACGGGUUGACAGACAAAUGAUAAACAGUCACUCAUCAUACCUGGAUUUCUGGAGUUAUACUGCUCCGAGGGACCUCAAAUUUGGAUAUGUUGUAGUUCACAAGUUAAGGAACAACUUCGAUGAAGAAAGUAUGUUGAUCUGAACAAGAGAAAAUGGAGUUUCGAAGCUCACAACAAGUCUGACGGAUUAACAGAACAUUGAUGAACAGUUACUCAUCAUACUUGAAUUUCUGAAGUUGUACUACUCCGAUGGAUCUCAAAUUUGGAUAUGUUGUAGUUCACAAGAUAAGGAAAAACUUUCAUGAAGACGACUUUGCAAUCUGAGCUAUAGAGAAAGGUGUUAUCUUGCAUCCACUCAGGCUGAUUAGUGGAAACGAAAAGCAAUUCCACCAAAGAAAAGAUGAAAAAGAGAGAAAAGCCACUAAUUGCACUUGAUCUUGUCUAGUCAAUAGCAUGCAACAUCAAACACACAAAAGUUGGAAAUAUUUUUAGAUAAAGCAUAUACGAAUGUGUGACAUCGAAACAAGAAUUCGUUACUUUGACAAAUUAGUAACACGCGAGACACCUCAUUCGGCAACUCUCUUCGCCUGAAGACUUGGGGGACUCCCACCAUAUGCUACUGCACCUUGAUACUCGGCAGUCUCACAACCACUCAGUGACUUGGAUUUUUCAAGUCUCCAACCGAGAAGUUUUCCUCACUCGGGAAAUUAAGGGAACACUACCUCAAACUACAUGCUUCACUCACAAAGCUUCAACAAUACAGGUUUCAACAAAAGCAAAAAUUCAAAGAACUUUAUGAAGAAGGCUUUGGUGUAUUUAACACAAUAUGUUGAAAUGAAGCAAAGCUUAUUUAUUAAUAUUUUCGAUAAGCCACAAAUAUGUACAUAUACAUGAGUCAAAAUAAACAAACAAAAGGGAGCCUUCACAAAGGUUGCUUAGGGGAAGUCUCAGCAGUCGGUAGAGCCCCAGAAAGAGAAAGCACCAGAGGGUGGUUAUCCGGAGCCUCAGUACUUGACAAAACCCCAAAAGGAGGAGGCAUUGGAGGUUCAUCAUUUGAAGCUUCAUUACCAGGUACAGCCCCAGAGGACGAAGGCAAUAAAUGCCUUUGGAACAAACCCACAAACCGCUGAUGAUCAAGUAAAACCUUACCAUCAGAUUCCUUCAUCUGGUCAAGCUUCCUCUUCAUGUUUGUAGCAUAGUCAUGGGCGAGCCGGUGCAACUGCUUAUUCUCAUGCUUGAGCCCUCUAAUCUCCUGUUUGAGACUCAUCACUUCAGCAGCCAAUGAUUCAACUUGGCGGGUUCUAGCAAAUAGGCGUUGGGCCAUAUUAGACACAGAAUCUGCACACUGAACACUAAGAGCCAAAGAGUCCUUAACAGCCAACUCAUCAGACCGUUUGGAAAGUAGUCUGUUAUCUUUGGGAGUGAGAAGGUUCCUGGCCACCACUGCAGCGGUCAUAUCAUUCUUCAUCACAGAAUCCCCAACGGUAAGAGGACCAGUAGGGGAUAUGAAGGAUGGGCGCCAUAUGUUGUCUGGAGAAGGCGUGGCUGUCUCUUCUCCAAGGUUCAAGUCAAAACGACUGUCGGAGGGUCCAGACAUUUUCAAAUGUGUUGAAGAGGGAAGAGGUCAGACAAAUCAAGAUCUUAGAAGUGCAAGAAAUGAGCUUCUACUGGUAGAGAUUCAAGUGUGCUGUGGAACUUAAUGCCAGCCUCUAUAAAAAUCUGCACUCGACGGAGCUUCAGAAAUCGAAGAGGCGUUUGCUUUCUCAAAAGCUGGACUGCUCAGAGACCACGAGGGCCGAUCUCAGAAAUCGAAGAGGCGUUUGCUUUCUCAAAAGCUGGGCUGCUCAGAGACCACGAGGGCCGAUCUCAGAAAUCGAAGAAGCACCUGCUUUUUCAGCCUCGUCAGCACCUGUCACAUGCACAAUCAGCUUUGCGGAAAUUACGGGCACUCUGUUGAAGAUUUCUGGUGAAGUAGAAAGCACGUGAAUCUUACUGAUCAAUCAUCGCUCUCCAUAUGCACCAUCAACUCCUCGGGUACCACAUAUAACUUUGUCAAAGAUCUCUGACAAAGUUUAGGCACGAGAAUUUCGAAGUUCCAGCUACCCUACUAUUACCCAUAAGGGUAAAGGAACAGCACCACUGCUUGACAACUGGAAAGUCCCUAUGUGUGUCGACCUCCGUGUUUUGCGGCAGGACAGGUUGGCAAGAACGUCCAACCUUUACUCACAUUCGAGAAAAGACUCCCAACAUAAUUACUUUCUCAAAAACCGGAGUAGCACCGCUUUCCGAAUCUCGAGAGUCAGAUCCUCGACGGGAUUGCUUGUUCGAAAACCGAAGAGGCACAACUCUCAGAACUUCGAGAGCCAGAUUUCCUUAGAUAAAGCUUGUCUGUAAUCUCCACACGUAAUAUAUCAGCUUUCCAGAUACCACAUACCACUUUUUCAAAGUGCUCUGACAAAAUUAAAACACGUGAAGCUGGCAGCUCCCACUACAUUGCUGUGACCAAGAAGGGUAAAGGAAUAGCAUUACUACUUGUUAUUGGGAAAUCCCUAUAUACAUUGACCUCCCUCCUCAACGGACAGGCAAACCUGCAAAAAUGCUCAACCCUUUCUCGCAUUCGAAAAGGCACCCUCAACAUAACCUCUCGAAAUACUCAGCUUUAUUUCCCCCCGAUAAUACCUCAGCAAAUAAGCCACACCAAGAACAAGAGUAUCUCAUAUCAUCAGGGUCGAAAGCAAGAGUAUCCCAUAUCAUGCUUUCUCCCUGUCUUUGUCUUUGUCCUUGUCCACACCUGCAGGACAAGGAGAAAGAGAGCAGUCAGUCGGAACCUGAAAUCAAACCUCCAAUUUGGAACUGACUGCCUGGAGCCUUUGCCUGGUUGCUUACUUAGCAUUGCUCUCGAGUACUCAUCCUCAACUGCUGUCAAGGUCACGAAUUCCACCGGCAAAUACCUCAUGACAGUUGAUCAGAUAUUGGCUCUUUACACUGAAGCUGCCAAGCGUGGAUGAGUCACUAUGAAGGAAUGUUCUGAAGGACCAUUUAAAUGCAAAGGUUGCACACCACUUCUGCCAUGCAAAAGAUUGAAGCAGAAGGUUCAACGGUGAGCUGAAACAGAUCACUACAGCACGACACAUUUCCAUACCACAUUCAUUAUUCCGUCAACAGCAAAAGUAUCCCAUAUCAUCAAGGUCGAACGUACUCUAGAUUUGAUGGACUUGUUUUGACCCUCAAAUUUUUGAGUCGGCCUUAUACUCUGAAGGGCACCAGAAAACCCUCCAGCACAGUUCAAGAAUAAGCCUGUGGAAAGUUACUUCUUCAAAAGCAAAAGUAUCUCAUAUCAUCUCUUAUCCAUUUGCUUCUCCUUAUCCUGGCAGUUGAAUGAGAGACAAGGAGAAUGAGAACAAUCAACCGGAAGCCGAAGUCAAACCUCUGAUCCUGGGUUGCUUACUUGGAAGUUUGACUGCUUACCUUGUCUGUCACCUCUUUCGGCAGAUCUCCUAGCUCGGCGACUUGGGGGACUCCUACUAUAGGGUUUGUAUCACACUUGACUAAGCCCGAAACUACAACUAAGCUUCAAGUGAAAUUGAUACAUUACCUUGUGCGUCAACAUCAGCUAAAUACACCAUUCCCGGAUGAAGGAAAGGUACUUCCAGAGAAGGGCAGAUGAAGAUCAGACCACACUUCGGUACUUAGAAGUUUCGUGAUUACUCAAGGGAUUGGAUCUUGCAAGUCCCCAACCGAGGAGUUUCCCUCACUCGGGAACUUAGGGGAGCACUGUUUGUACCAUACUUGACCAAUCCCGAAACUACCGAGCACCGGCCAACGCUAUACUGUCAAGGACCCAGAAGAGUUCCCCUCCGACCAGGAGGCCAAUCACUACUGACACGUGUUAAGAUUAGAAGCCAAUCAGAGUGCAGCACGUGUCAACAUCAAGAACCAAUCAUAACAUGACACAUGUCAAUGUGACAAAGCUACAAGUUUUUCUAUAAAUAGGGGUCAUUCCCCCACAAUAUUGUCGAAUGCCAUUUGUGUUAAAUCAUUCACAAGAACUCACUAAAUUGAGAGCUUGAUCCUUUGUACUUGUGUAAGCCCUUCACUACUAAUAAGAACUCCUCUACUCCGUGGACGUAGCCAAUCUGGGUGAACCACGUACAUCCUGUGUUUGCUUCUCUGUCUCUAUUCAUUUACGUACUUAUCCUCACUAGUGACCGAAGCAACCAAGCGAAGGUCAUAAAACCUGACACUUUCUGUUGUACCAAAGUCUUCGCUGAUUUUGUGCAUCAACAAUCUCUAAUGCAAAAAGAACUUGAAAGCAGACAUUUUUGGACAGAUGCAUCUUCCCCAGCAAGCCUUGCACCUCAUCAAAUCUCUGCUGCUCCAUAAAUGAAUUAAUGAAGAUGAUCAUCAAGAGAAGAUCUUCCAUUUCUGUUUAAGUAUUCCUUCAAAUAGUUUUUCCCUAUCCUCCUACACAACAACAUUAGUAAACUCAAUAAUUUAAUGAUUAUAGUAAUGUAAAACAAGAUAAUUUUAAUACAUAAGAAUAGAACCUCCAACAAUAUGCAAUUGAAAUAUAAGUUUUUCCACUAUAAGAACAUCACCGUACCUUGAAAUUCUGGACAUCAGUAAGUGGAUAAGCAAGACAAAAGUUGGUACUUACAACAACAAAAGUUGAUAAUUAUCCUAAAUAAUGUCAUUUUGGCCUACAAGAGAUCGCAAACCAAGUCACAUUUUCACCAAGGAUGGGAAGUUCAUGAGUUGGAGGGCAAACAUAUUUCAUAGUGGUCAGAGAAAGUAAACUUCAGAAAGAAAAAGAAAUGUGCAAGGUUUUGAGAGGAUAGAUGUACACAUGUCUCACCUGGCUUGCAACAAGGAGAACUGCAUUGGCAUUUUCUUUCUUGUAAUUUAUCUAAAUGUGUUUUUGUCACCAUUGCAACCCGAUCAAUGUAUGGCUCGGUAUAUUUCUUAGCUUCCUGCAAUAACACAGAAAUGCCAUAAGAAAGAAUUCCAUCCACCAAAUCCAUAUAUUUAAAAAGUUCGCUUGAGGGGCUCACCUGAAUGUAAGGAUCUGCCAUAUUUUGUGCCUUGAAAACAAGUGGUCAUAUAGAACUCUUUGAUGAACGAUAUACAUCAACAGUUUUUGUAGUGACUAAUCAAAUGUUUGGUUCAAGAUAGGCUUUGAAUUCCAAAGACUGUUUCUUCAACCUUGGGAUCCAGUUCUUCAAAUUAAAAGAGGAAGAAUUAGAAAGGUUGCCAACUUGGUUCAAUAUCUCAAAUAGAAAAGUUGAAUGUACACUAAUUGUUCAGAAAAGAGGAAGAUGUCAAACACCAAAGCUGAGUCUAAUGACUUCAGAAUUUAUUAGUAAGAUAGGCUCUUGCUGCUUUAUGUUCCUCUUCAGAACUCGAGUUUUGAAACUCAAAUUUUGCCACUUAAUCCCAUAAAACGCAACUUGUGUCUCACUUUGUAUUUUGUAUUAUAUGAAGAAGAGUUGGGGAUAACAUAUUGUUCUGAUUCUUUCAACGAUGAUCCCAGCCCAACCCUUACCAUGAGCUUUCAUUUUUAAGGCCUGAGGACAAACAAAUAAAUGAAUACUUGGCUAUUCCAGUUUAUUCACCUGGCAAGUGAACAUCUUUAUUGGAGAAGUUUAACGAAUAAAGUUUGGAAUAUCAGACACACCUUUUCAAUUCCCAGAUUGAAGGCUGGUCUUCCAAGCUCAUUCCAGUAAGUCACAAUGUACGUCUGCACAUAAAUAUUGUGUCAUGAAAUUAGACUGACAUUGUUAUCCAACUAAUCUGCGUGGAUUUACCUGAAAAUAAUCUACAUGAACUCCAAAUGUAUGUGGAAGCCAUCCUCCAUGGACCUGAUCAUGGGUCAUAGCAGGAUUUAACUAUUGGCAGUAUGGUGAACUUAAUUUUAAAGUACUUGUAAAUGGUAACAAGAACAUGAUACGCUUCACUGUUAUUCAAGCUUAAAAGUUUGCAUAUGAUUAAUAAGAGAUGGGGCCAUAACAGAAUCCACCUUUAGGCAAUUGAUAAAUUUACUAAUUGACUAGUCUCACUAAACGAGGUAAAGACACAAGAAUUAAACCUAAAGUGAUAACAACAACGUUACCAACAACAGCAGGCAUUAGAAAAUUAUAGCAUUACCAUUUCCUUACCUUAGUCAAAUCUUCAAAUAUCGAAGAAAUCCCAAACUUCUCCUUCACCAUUUCUUUCUGAGAUAUCAAAAAAAUUAAUACCAUAUAGCAAUUGAUAGUUUCAGGUAGCAAAUAAACGGACAACAAACCUCUGCAACUUGAAGAUCAUGUUCAGUUUUCCGAAUUCCAGUCUUUUGUUCAUCAUUUACUUUUCAAAGCUGAAAAAGAAUAGAAAGAGAGAUUAAAUUGGCCAAUUAAAUUACACUAAAGUCUGCUUUUACAAAGAAAUUUUGCACCCAUGGAAAAUUAAACUUGAUUACAGAUUGUCUAGUUGUAUACACCAUGUAGGACCUUGACCGCAGAACUCCACAAUGAAGGGAUAUCUGAUCUACAACUCCAUAGAUAUUUAAAAGCUUUCAGAACUAAUCAAAACAAUUCAAAAUAACAUCAAAUCCUACGAGAAAACAGCUUCUCUUAAAAACACGCGAUUACUAAAAGAAAUAAUAUUGUAUAUCCAUGGCACCUGAACAACCAACACAUGUUUACAAGUAUACAAUUGUACUUUAAAAAUGAAAGGAGAUAAAGAUGAAAGCACUAAUCAUCCUCUUCCUCUUCUCUUACCUCUCAUUCUCUCCCUCCUCAUUCCAAGUCGCCGACUCCCAAUUCGAAGGCUACGGGACGAAAUAAAUGAGGACAACGACGACUACUCCUCACUCCCUCUUUCAACUCGCACCCGCCUUUUCCUCACCACCGCCUCCCAACCCGACUCACCUUCUGAUCUCUCCCUACCAGACCCGAUUCCCAACCUGAUUCCCGAUUCCCGAUUCGGACUCACCAUGUAUCCAUCUUCCCAAACCUUCCUUCACCAGCUUCGUGUAUUGGGAUGAAGAUGAGUUCGAAUGCCUCCCACUCCAACCCUAGAAAAUGCCCCUCAAUGACCCUGCAGUUACCAAAACUGCGAUUACCUCCUCCGAUUCCGAUUAUGAUUCCAAACUCUCCACCGAUCCCAACACCCCGCCGCUCCGAGAUCCUUUCUUGUGGAGAUCGUGUGCGGAGGGUUCCUACCAAGGUUUUCUGGCAACGAUGGAACUCAAGAGCCUCCACGAUUUGAUCUGGGGAAGGUAGUGAGAGAAAGGAGGUUGGAGAGAGAGAGAGAGUCUAAGGGAGGCAGAGAGAGAGAUGAGAGAACGGGAAGGAAGGGGUGCGGUGUGGGUGGGUUUAGGGGAGAGAGAGAAAAUGGGGUCUGGGGCCACAAGUAUAUGACAAAUAAUAAAAAACAAAUAAUUGUGCCUAGACCUGGCAGUUUUUGACACGACACAGUGACACGAUACGAAAAUAACAUGAAAAUAACGGGUUUCGGGUCAACACGAUAACUUAUUAGGUCAUUAUCGGGUGACCCGUUAAGAACCCAUUAAUAACGGGUUCUUAACAGGUAUACAUGCGAGUAACACGUGGGUAACCAGUUUCGACCCGUUAAGAAAAAAAUUAUUUUAAUAAUUUUAAAGUUUAAUUACUAAAAGAUUUAUUAUAAAAUACAAUAGUCAUAUUAAUAUAUACAAUAUAUUCUAUAUUAAAUAUAUAGUUUUGUAUUAUUGUUCUAUAUAAAUUAUAAAAAAAUUUAAAAAAAAGUUUUAGUCAUUAUUUAUUUUUAUUAUGAGAGUUCCUUAUUAUCAUUACUAAGAUAAAUUUUACAUACCAUAUUCUUGUCCAAAAUUAAAAUAUACUAGUAUAGUAUUUGUAUAUGCAAGAACUAAGAAGACAUACAUACAAGUAUGAAAAAUGUGAAAGAAUAUAUAAACACUCGUGAUUUAUCAUCAUUCCUCCACGAAUAGAUCAUUGUUACACUUAUAUUAUCGUUUAGAUUUUUAAAAUCCUUCAAACCCUCAUGAAUAAUGUUUUUUAUUUGAGGGAAAAAUUAAUAAAAUUAAUAAUAAUUAUUGUAGAAGUGUAAAAAAUGUAAAAAUAUAUAUAUACAAUCACUCAUAUAUAAAAAAAAUGUAAAUGCUUUAAAUUAAAGAUCAAAUUUAUUCAUUACAUUCUUAUAAGGUCGAGGAGUGUAUAUGUACAAAAUCAUCAAAAUCGAAGCUAAAAUAACCGUUAAAUUGUGAUUUUUCGUUUAUAACCGUCAACAACUUUUGUUCCGUUACGUAAUCUCUGAAUGUUUGUUUUUUACAAUUUUUUACGUUUGCAAUCUCGGAAUGUGUACAAAUAAGUUUGACGGUUUGAUCGUUGAAAAAAGUUUCGUAGAAUGCAUAUUGCAUCAAAACGGUAUAUUAAACAAACACUUAGGGUUAAUAUUAUACUUCUAUUAAGUAUAAAAUAAGUUUUUGUGGUAUCCACUAGUGUAAAUACUUUAAAUUAAAGAUCAAUUUAUUCAUUACAUUCUUAUAGGGUCGAGGAGUGUAUUUGUAAAAAAUCAUCAAAAUCGGAGCUUAAAUAACCGUUAAAUUGUGAUUUUUCGUUUAUAACCGUCAAAAUCUUUUGUUCCGUUACGUAAUCUCUGAAUGUUUGUUUUUUAUGAUUUUUUACGUAUGCGAUCUCGGAAUGUCUACAAAUAAGUUUGACGGUUGGAUCGUUGAAAAAAGUUUUGUAGAAUGCAUAUUGCGUCAAAACAGUAGAUUAAACAAACACUUAGAGUUAAUUUUAUACUUCUAUUAAGUAUAAAAUAAGUUUUUGUGGUAUCCACUAGUGUAAAUACUUUAAAUUAAAGAUCAAAUGUAUUCAUUACAUUCUUAUAUGGUCGAGGAGUGUAUCUGUAAAAAAAUCAUCAAAAUCGGAGUUAAAAUAACCGUUAAAUUGUGAUUUUUCGUUUAUAACCGUCGAAAACUUUUGUUCCGUUACAUAAUCUCUGAAUGUUUGUUUUUUACGAUUUUUUACGUGUGCAAUCUCGAAAUGUGUACAAAUAAGUUUGAGAGUUGGAUCGUUGAAAAAAGUUUCGUAGAAUGCAUAUUGAGUCAAAAUAGUAGAUUAAACAAACACUUAAAGUUAAUAUUAUACUUCAAUUAAGUAUAAAAAAACACUAGUGUAAAUACUUUAAAUUAAAGAUCAAAUUUAUUCAUUACAUUCUUAUAGGGUCAAGGAGUGUAUCUGUAAAAAAAUCAUCAAAAUCGGAGCUCAAAUAAUCGUUAAAUUUUGAUUUUUCGUUUAUAAUCGUCGAAAACUUUUGUUCCGUUACGUAAUCUCUGAAUGUUUGUUUUUUAUGAUUUUUUACGUAUGCGAUCUCAGAAUGUGUAAAAAUAAGUUUGACGGUUGGAUCGUUGAAAAAAGUUUUGUAGAAUGCAUAUUGCGUCAAAACAGUAGAUUAAACAAACACUUAAGAGUUAAUUAAUCUAUUAAGUAUAAAAUAAGUUUUUGUGGUAUCCACUAGUGUAAAUACUUUAAAUUAAAGAUCAAAUUUAUUCAUUACAUUCUUAUAGGUCGAGGAGUCUAUCUGUAAAAAAUCAUCAAAAUCGGAGAUAAAAUAACCGUUAAAUUGUGAUUUUUCGUUUAUAACCGUCAAAAACUUUUGUGCCAUUACGUAAUCUCUGAAUGUUUGUUUUUUACGAUUUUUUACGUAUGUGAUCUCGAAAUGUGUACAAAAAGUUUGACGGUUGGAUCAUUAAAAAAAGUUUCGUAGAAUCCAUAUUGCAUCAAAACGGUAGAUUAAACAAACACUUAGAGUUAAUAUUAUACUUCUAUUAAGUAUAAAAUAAGUUUUGUGGUAUCCAUAGUGUAAAUACUUUAAAUUAAAGAUCAAAUUUAUUCAUUACAUUCUUAUAGGGUCGAGGAGUGUAUAUGUAAAAAAUCAUCAAAAUUGGAGCUCAAAUAACCGUUAAAUUAUGAUUUUUCGUUUAUAACCGUCAACAACUUUUGUUACGUUACGUAAUCUCUGAAUGUUUGUUUUUUAUGAUUUUUUACGUAUGCGAUCUCGGAAUGUGUACAAAUAAGUUUGACGGUUGGAUCAUUGAAAAAAGUUUUGUAGAAUGCAUAUUGCGUCAAAACAGUAGAUUAAACAAACACUUAGAGUUAAUAUUAUAUUUCUAUUAAGUAUAAAAUAAGUUUUUGUGGUAUCCACUAGUGUAAAUACUUUAAAUUAAAUAUCAAAUUUAUUCAUUACAUUCUUAUAGGUCGAGGAGUCUAUCUGUAAAAAAUCAUCAAAAUCGGAGAUAAAAUAACCGUUAAAUUAUGAUUUUUCGUUUACAACCGUCGAAAACUUUUGUUCCGUUACGUAAUCUCUGAAUGUUUGUUUUUUACGGUAUUUUACGUAUGCGAUCUCGGAAUGUGUACAAAUAAGUUUGACAGUUGGAUCGUUGAAAAAAGUUUCGUAGAAUGCAUAUUGCGUCAAAACGGUAGAUUAAACAAACACUUAGAGUUAAUAUUAUACUUCUAUUAAGUAUAAAAUAAGUUUUUGUGGUAUCCACUAGUGUAAAUACUUUAAAUUAAAGAUCAAAUUUAUUCAUUACAUUCUUAUAGGGUCGAGGAGUGUAUCUGUAAAAAAUCAUCAAAAUCGAAGCUAAAAUAACCGUUAAAUUGUGAUUUUUCGUUUAUAACCGUCGAUAACUUUUGUUCCGUUACGUAAUCUCUGAAUGUUUUUUUUUUACAAUUUUUUACGUAUGCAAUCUUGGAAUGUGUACAAAUACGUUUGACGGUUGGAUCGUUGAAAGAAGUUUUUGGACAGCCAGCAAUAGAUAAUUUUGUAGUAGUGAAACCUUAAAUUUAGUUAACCGUCGAUUGUCAUUUACGCUUUAUUCUUAUUACUGAAUUUCAUUUUUAAAAUUUUAUUUUUAGAAAACAUGAUCAUCUGCGCGGAUGUAAGAAGAUGAUAUCACGUUUCGAUAUUUACGGUUAACUGAAAUAUGAGUCAAUGUCAUAUAAUUUGUAGAAACUUUAUAAACAUCAAGCAAUAUUUUCACUAACCAUAAAACCCUAAAUAUAAUAUCAAUGAUCCAAACCAUUCAUCUACCUGCACCCUCUAAUAGAUCAUGUUUUCAAAAAAGAAAAUCUAAAAAAACGAAAUUUGAUGAGAACAAUGAAGCAUAAAUGUAAACAACAAUCAACGGUUAAAUUUUGAUCUAUGAUUUAUAUGAUUAUAGUGGCGAAUUUCGAAGUUAAGCUCUUCAUGAAAGUUAUAAAACUUGUCAUUACGAGUGUUUAUAUAUUUUUUUCUAUAUUUUUUUACACUUCUACAUUAAUUAAAAAACUAUUAAAGACUUUAGGUAAACGAAAAUAUACUUAAAACAAAAUUGCGUUUUUAUGUUUUUGAUGUGAUAAUAUGGAAUGUAUAUACUUAUUUAGUAUUAUGUUUUCAUUUGAUUAUUUAUUGGUUUAAAAUAUAUUUUCCUUAACGGGUAACGGGUCGGGUCAUAUUACCUGUUAAUAUUAUCGGGUCGAUUUCGGGUCGGGUCAUUUUACCCGUUUAUUUUAACAGGUGUUAUGAUGAGUAGAUUUUAUAUUAUAUAUUUUACCCUAAUCUUUGUAUAUUUUGGUUAAUAUUUUGGAAGAAUUUUGAUACUUUGAAUUGUAUUUUCAAUAUAGGACUUUGGAUUUCCUCUGGAGAAAAACAGGACCAAAUGGACGAAUUUUGGAGUAAUUCUAGUUGGAGAACGUUCAUGAGUCACUUAGCUUAAUCGUAUCAAAAUUUUGGAUUUUUCCACCAAGCGGUUAUUUUCUGGCGAUAAAAUAAAGAAGCAGUGCGCAGUGCUGGAAAAUGGCGUUUUUGGGCUUAAAUUGCAUUUUUGGAGCCCAAGAUGACCUCGAAUGGGUUCGUGGCCUUCUGGAGAAGUGUUCAGAAUAUUCCAAACAUUAAAUCCAGCUAUAUUGGGCCAUUUUUGGAGCAGCUUAUGGGCCAAAACGUGGCUGUUCAGAUUUUAGACGAAUUUUAUCAUUUAAUUUAGGGUUAUGUUUCCUAGGGUUUGUGUGGAGGCUUAGCAGAUAUAUUGCUUGGCCGUCUACAGUUUUUGGGGACAAUAUUUUUUUUAUGCAAUUUUGGAGACAGAGAGAAGUGCUAGGGUUUUGGAGAUUUUCUACUUGAAGGUGUUUUCAAUCCUUUUCUUAAGAAUAUUUUCUAUGAUUUCAAUUAUGAGUAUGCGUAACUAAUUCCUUUUGCUAGGGCGAAGCCUUGAGCCUUAGCAUGAAUAUGUGAUUUUUAUUUAAUUGCUUAUGAUUGAUUGCAUGCAUACUUUGAAUUGUUAAUCACCGGGAUAAAAAGUAUCUAAUUGCUUUAAUGGCUGAUCACCAUUAGGAUCUUUAGAAAAGUAAUUUGAUGCAAUUUUGGUCAGAAGGUUCCCUGAAAUUGACGCUGGCUUCUUGUGAUUAAUAAUUGUAAUUUCGCUUAGGAUGAAUAUCACGUCUUAAGGAUUGCAUGGUUUUUCAAAGGAUUUUCAUAAAGCGUAAUGAGUCUUUCAUGUUCAGAUUUGAUCCGAACGUCCGGACGGGUUGCAUGUUAGAUAUACGUUAUAUGUUGGAGGUUCCAAGUAGAAUAUGAAUUAGGAAAAUCUAACCUUCAAAGUGGCAUGUGUAGAUUAUAAGUAAUUGGUAAAAAUUCAUAGGAUUGCUAGGUGAUGGUGGAACCCUAGUGUUUUCUUAAUUUGAUUCUCCCAAAACUGUUUUCUUCUCUCUAGCUCUAAUAUUGCAGAUUGUUUAUUUUAAUUCAUUAAUUUCGUUUUUAUUUUAAUUAGGUUAUAAAAUCAAUCACCUAAACUUCUACUUUACAAUAAUUAAAUGGAAUCUGAUUAGUUUUGAAUUAUUUAAUAAUCCAUGUGGAGACGACCUUGCGAGAUCCGUUUAUACUACAAUAACUUCGUGAUUCUUGCAAGUAAAAUAGGAGAAUUAAGCCCGUUCACAUGAGUAGUAAAAAUCCUAUCAAGAAAAUGGCGCCGUUGCCGGGGAUCGAACCCGGGUCACCCAAGACAACUAGCUAAAACUCAACCAUGACAAAACUUCCACCUUCAAGUUGGCAAUCCAUAGCAAAUUUAAAAAACUAGAACAUUUUCAAAAGUUCCAACCAAUCCCACCACAGAGUCUAAACCAUUUAGAAUCAAUUAGAAAGGAAUUCACAAACUUCAUUUGGUGUAAAGUGAACCACAUAGUUAAAGGGACUCGACUAAAACCCUUACCUCUAGUCUUUCUUUAUUUCACACAUACUAACUUUAAAUAUAACUCUCUUUCUUUUUUUUCUUUUUCAAUUAUUUUUUCUCUUUUUUUUUCAUAUAUAACAUUUUUUUUUCAAUAACAGUAGUGGUCGUGCAAUGUUGGUUCACUUAAGCUUUCGAUCCAACCCAUGUAGCGAGCUUUAGGUCAAUGACACCCAAACCACUAGGGCUUUAGGGCACUAGGUGUAGAACACCCCUAAGGACUUAUUAACUCGAACUGAAAAGGCUACGAAACCAACUAACCAUCCUGCCCCAUGCCAAAACUCUACCGUUUGACGCGAGAAUCACUGCUGAUUAGGCAGGACUGGCCCGGUUACUAGGCAAAACCUCGGGUGAGACAAUUAUUACUUUAUUCACAAUAAUAACUGACUUUACUUAAAACAAAAAUUAAAAAUAAACUUAGACUAAAAGCAAGUGUUUCAAUCUCACUCCCCACAAACCAUGUUGGUGUGAUGUGCAAAGUUCAAAGUAUAAUUCAUGAAUUAGUGUCUAAGCAACGAUAAAUAGAAAAGACUCUACUGUGGGAUUAAUCUUCACCAUGUCCAUUUGUUCCAACAUUUAAAAUAAUCUAUGGAUAUUAACUUAAGAAGAAUGAAAAUUUUAUCCUGACACAAAAAUUAAAAAAAACUAAAAUUUACUUUCCCACCCCCAAACUUAUUUCACACGUUGUCCUCAAGGGUGUGGAAACAAAAAGAAAACUAAAAAAACAAAAGAAUAAAACACAAAAACUCUAGUGGACACUUUAAAAAAAACGACAACACUAUAAGAAGAAAUAAAAAAAUAACAAAUAAAAUAACAAAUAAAAUAAAAAUCAAAGAAAGAAAAACACCUGGCAAGUAUGUCAGCCCACUCGCAAAGGAACAUUGGAUUCCUUUCUUUGAAAGGCAUGCAAUUGGCAUGCCAUGUGAAAAGUGGCGUGCAGCUGGCAUCAGUCUACUGUCUCUGUCAGUCAUCAAACAUAGAGCCCAAACGGCUCUCUCCCCUCUCUUCAAACCCUGUCCUAGGGAAAGAAAAGGUCCAUAGGAUGCGCCCACUUGUCAUGCAUCAGAAAGAGAAGGUCCAUAGGAUUCUAAAUCAAGGGUUAAGAUCAACCCCAUAUGCCCAUCUAACUCUCUCUAGAAAGUCUAAAAAUGCUUUUACUCUCUCCAUUUCAAAGCAAGUCCUUCUGCCUCCAAUUUAUUUUUUUCGCAUUUCUCUCGGAUCCCAUGUCUCUGCUCUCUCUCCUUCAUGGCUUCUCAGACCCCAUUUCUCUAUAAAAUAAAUAAUACCUUUUCCCCCCACAUUUUUCCCUCAUUUCCACAGUUGCUUCUUCAUAUUCGCUAAACGUGGCAUCCGUGCUGCAACCAACAGCCCAGCUAUCUACACACCUCCGUGUUUCUCGAACACAACCAUGGUGACAGGAGUGGAAAAACUGAUAGGCAGGAAGGUAAAUCCCUGCUCAAAUCUUGUGGAUUUCCUGUUCAGAUUUAUGUGUUUUAGAGAACUGGAACAAAAACUAACACAUGCAUGUGGUUUUAUCAGUGUGACGACCCCUAAUGGUUUCAAAUCCAAGACAACAACACAAGAACACACCCUGAGUCGCCAGCUCUGCUCAACCAAGGAUCUGCAAAUGUUGAGGUAAAACCCGUAACCCUUUCGAUGGAUUGACGCUUAUCUGAUAUUUGAAUAAUAUAACCACUGAUGGGACUGAAAAAUGACACUUAAAUCCAGCGUAUAACCGAGAGAAAACAAGCUUAAGUUGCCGGUCUAAUGGUCCCAGAACGCAAACUAAACGGCAAAUGUCUCGACCGCUGCAAAUCAUGAAGGUAAAGAUCUCGUUCUUUUGCAGUUGCUAAACUCAACAUUUACAUGUUCAACGACAGUUCAUUAUAAUGCCAUAUUUAACCUGUGUGUACUCAUAUUUUCGCUCUUUAUGAAGGGGUAUACGAAUCCAUGAUAGAGCCAAAGAAACAGAAGUAAACACACAAGUUCAAUGGAUGAAAACAGCACAGGCCGCAUGACCCAGAUCGGUGCAUCUGGGAGGUAAAAUUCGAAUCCCUGCAAGUGUAGUUGUUGUAGAUAUGGUAAUAAUAAUAGUUGUACUCAGUUCUGUGGUGUACGGAUCUGUGAUUUAAUUGUGCUUCCUCCAUGCAUCGCAAAACUGAGCUGCAGAAAAUUAACUGCUCUAAAUUAUGUUUCUGUGCUGGAUCUGCAACAAUCUCCCCCAAACUUGCAUCUGUGAAUGUCUUGUUAUGUUGACUGCUUUAAAUUUCCAGCAUAGUGUAGAUGUGGUUGAUGUGAACGUUAGACUUGCUGCUGGGUGCAAGAUUCCAGCAUAGGACGCGCUUUAUUUUCCACGUUCGCAACCUGCAAUUAACCAAUAUGCGUAUAUUAAAAAAGGAGCUAAAAUCAACAUGCGUAAAUGAAGAAAGCGACAUAUUUUUGAAUUUUUCAUGGUCUUUUUAUUUUUUUUGUUUUUGUUUUUGUUUUUGUUUUUUUAGUUUUUUGUUUUUUGAAAACUUAGGUCUAUAUAUAUGCAUCUAGAAUUUAAACUUAUAAUAAAAAAAAUCAAACAAAAAAAAAAAAAUAAGGAAAGAGUUUAGAAAAAUUGGGUUGCCUCCCAACAAGCGCUUUAUUUUAAGUCUGUAACUAGACGUUGCAGAACUCCGGUGGCUAGAUCACUGGUGCCUUCAGAGUCAAAGACUCGCUUUCACCAAAUUUCCCUAUGCAUGGUUUUAGUUGAUAUUUCUUGACCUUGAGCAAACAACCCCUGCCCAAAAUGAUGGGUGUUGUCAAAUCCUCAUCCAUGUCCAACACCAUAAAAUCAGCUGGUAAAUAUAAGUUGUCAACCUUCACAAUAACAUCUUCAAUGACUCCUCUAGGAUAGGUAAUUGAACGGUCAGCCAAUUGAAUAAUACUGGAGGUUGGCUUCAGCUCUCCUUCACCUAAACGUUUAAAAACAGAAUAAGGCAUUAAGUUUACACUUGCACCUAAAUCAGUUAAAGCACUUUUAAAAUCAGAAUUGCCAAUAGUACAAGAGAUAGUAAAACUCCCUGGAUCUUUUUUCUUUGGAGGCAAUUUAUGCAAUAAGACCGCACUGCAUUGUUCUGUUAAAAUUACUUUUUCGGAAUCCACAAGCUUCUUUUUCUUUGUACAAACGUGCUUCAAAAACUUGGCAUAAGAUGGAAUGUUCUUGAUUGCAUCAAUUAAUGGAAGAUUAAUUUGAACUUUAGCCAAAGUCUUCAAGAAAUCUGUCAACUGUUGAUCUUUAGCUUUAGGCUUCAACCUUUCGGGAUAAGGCAUAGGAGGCUCAUAACACGUUCUGCAGUUUUUGUGGUAGCUUAUGCAGUAUUUUCGGAUCUGUCUUGGGGCUGCCCAGAAUCUGCAGAAAUUGCAGAAUCUGCAAAAAUUUCAGAUUUAGUUUGGGGAUGUUCUGCUGCCCGCGAAUUUCCAGCGGAUUUUUCAUUUCUAUUGUAACUUUUGCCAGACCGUAAAGUUCGUAUAGCAUUGCAUUCUUCUCGUCCUCUUAGAUUAGGUACUGUUUGACUAGGAAAUGUACCCGGUGCUCUUUCUGAAACCUGCAAAGCAAUCUGUCCCAUUUGUUUUUCCAUGUUUUUCAUUGCUGCCUGUAUAUUUUGAAUUUCUUGAGUGGUAGUAUUUGCCAAUUUUUCAAUUGCAACCUCCCAAGCAACCUUAGGUGCAGCAGGUUGCUGUUCCUGCUGUUGAAAUUGAGGCCUAGAGUGCUGGUCUUUGUCCCACCUUAGAUUUGGCUAAUCUUUCAAACCUGGGUUGUAGAAAUUAGAAUACGGGUCAUAUCUAGGACGCUGGAAAUUGUUAAAUGAAUUAACCUGCUCCACUAUAAACUCCGGAUAAGCAUCUUUAUGUGGACAACUCAAAAAAUCAUGAUUUGUCAAGCUGCAAAUGCUGCAGGCAGCUUGUAAAGGCUGCUGUACAGCAACCUGUGAACCCGAAAUUCUUUGUAAUAACAUGUCAAAUUUUGCAUCAAAUCUUUCAAGCUUUUUCUCCAUUUUUUCAAUUUGUGCCGACACAUAUGGUGAACCAUUAGACAUCUCAAAAAAGGAUCUAGAUUGUGGCUGCUCAACUGCCCACUGCUGAGUAUCUGCUGCCAUUUUUUCAAAUAACAAAUAAGCCUCUUGUGCAUUUUUAUCUUUGUACGAACCUCUGCAUGAAGCGUUGACAAGAGUUUUUGUAGUCAUAUUCAACCCUCUGAAAAAUAUAUGCAUUUGAUCAGUAGUGUUAAUACCUGAGUGUGGACAUUUUCUAAUCAACUCUUUGAACCGCUCCCACGCAUCAUGAAACUCCUCAUUUGGCUUUUGGGCAAAAGAUAAAAUCUGAGUUCUCAUGUCAAGAGUCUUAGAAGCCGGAUAAUGCUUGUUUAAAAAUUUUUCACUAAGUUGGGCCCAAGUUGUAAUGCUUCCAAAUGGGAGUGUGAGGAGCCAUCUCCUUGCUUGAUCUUUUAGAGUAUAAGGAAAUAAGCGCAGCUUAAUAGAUUCGGCUGAAAAUCUCCUCACCAAAAUGUUUUUGCACCCAUUAAAAAUUCUGCAAUGUGCAUGUUAGGAUCAUCAGAUGAUAACCCAUGAAACGUAGGUAGAAUAUUCAACAUGUGCUGUUUUAUUUCAAAUGCAGUCCCUUCCUCCACUGCCGGAUAAGUAAUGCAACUUGGUAUAUUUGUGGUAUGGGCAAUCAGUGACUCACCCAGAGGCAGACCAGCCUCUGGAAUUACAAAUGCCAUUUUUUCUUUGCUGUGCAGGUCCCCAGAAAAGAAUGAUUGCAGAAAAGUCUCCUGCAGAGGACGAACCCUCUGCAAAGUUUGUGAAGGAUUUAUUUUGAAAAACAUGUUCAUUUGAAUAACAUCUAUAGCAUGCAAUUAACAAAUUAAAGGCGGAAUCAUGCUUGUAUGCAUUCAAAAACAAAACAUUACCCAUGAAAUUCAAAGCCUAGUAGAUUGGUGAACCAAUAAUCAACUCAAAACAAAGUGAGUUGAAAUUAAUACCUUUGUAGAUUCCUCUUUGCAUAAGCAAAGGCUAAUCACCCAAAGAGAUAGGGCCUUCAUUCCUUGCUUCUUAGAUCCAUGGAUUUGGAUGGAAGAAUAGGUUCUCCAAGUUCCCAAAAUUGAGAACCUCUAAGUCUCUUCACCAAGGUUUGAUUGUAGAAGAAAUGAGUGACCUUGGAGUAGUAGGAUUGCUAGAUGUACCCUCCAAGGUGUUGGCCUCUUUAGAGAGAAAAUGGAGAGACAAUUCUCACCCAUUUUCACCCAAAAUAAACCCUUAAUCACAUUAUGAAUAUUUGGCUAUAAAGUCCUUUAUAUAGUCCCUUCAAAUAAGUGACCUAAAGAACAAAAAACCCUAAUUCAUCUACAUGGCCGGCCUACUUUGGGAUUUUUGGGCUUUUGGGCCUUUGUGAAUCUUUAUUCAUUAAGUUGUCAUACAUCUUAAGUCAAUGGGCUUGACAUUCGAAGCCCAUUGGGCCUUAAGGUCCAAAAUUAUCCCGAGGUCUUUAACGAACUUAUUCGUUUGAUUAAUUAACAUAUUAAUUAAUCCUUGCCAUAAAUAAAUGAUUAAACCAUUUAAUCAUUCUUACUCAUUUCCGUUUAAUCUUCAAUCUCCACCUUUUAUGGUGUGCGAUCCAUUAGGUUCCUUUUAGCGAGGCAGUGGGGGGCGAUUAAAACCAUUUUACAUCGAUUGUGAAUUGAAACAAUUUUCAAUUCUCCCUUUAGUGGUUAUACACGUAUAGGGCUUCCACAAACCAUGGUUGACGCCUAGCAGCAUGUCAUGGUUACCCAAGCUAAUCAGAAGAGGUUAGAGAACCUAUUCAGUUCGGGAUUACAAGUGCAAUACGGUCCUUCUCUAAUCUAAUACUCUUGACCACAUUGUUUGGUAUGAUAGUUUAUUUACUCAUGUCUACUAUCCAAUGUGAAUCGUUUGCUUAUAUGAUUUCCUUGAAUGUGAUUUGGAACGCAUUCCCCAAUCUUAUUCAUACUCUGGCCAGAGAUUCCAAAUCAUAUCAUAGAGUAUUCUCCCUCAACUGUUUGAAGGUUAGAGAUCCCUUGUUGCGCAUUCACUUGUCUCCAUAGCUAAGUGGCUUAACCCCAACGAUGCCGUGACACCCCGAGGGGGUGAAUUAGACAUAAUCAAAGAUUAAGGACUUAACCACAAGACAACUGUGAUGCCUCAGGUCAAAGGACAACUUUGCAUUAUCCCAACCAUGAGUUCUCAUGUGACAUGGAAUAUAAGAACUCUUCGUUGAUCACGUUCAGUGAACUCAUUCUCUUAUUUGAGCACCUACGUACUUGUCUUGAUGUCACACACACCAAUGACUCGAGACUAGUCACUCUCCCUGAGAGAAGACACAGUACGUACUGAUCUUAACGGACUGUCAAUGCCCAAUUGGUAAUCCUAUGAUCAGGAACAUUUAGGAUGUGUCUACGAAAGAAUGGUCUCAUUAAUCUAACUUCAUUAGAUUGCAUUCUCCCAAUCACAUAUUCCUUGGACUUUAUCGUUUAAGCAUAUAACAUUUAUAUGAGACGGCUCAAACAAUAAUCUUUGCCCUUUAUAUGUUAAACUAGAUUAGUUUAACAUUUGAAAUGUCCGUAAAGUAUCAUCAUAUGAUUGGUUUUAGGGCACAUUUCCAACAAUCUCCCACUUGCACUAGAGCCAAUCAGCAUUGGUCAUCAGUGAUGAUACCUCUUCUGUAGUCAUUUCAUAAAUGGCUGAAAAGUAGGCCUAGACAAUGGAUAUCUAUAUGUUAUCCAUAGAAGCAACGUUGAGAAUAUCGACUUCACCAUUAUACAUGAUUCUCAAUCAUGAGGUUCAGUCUCUCAUUUGUGUUCGGAUCUUGAUGAGCCCUUGAUUCCCAGGCUUGAGCUAUCGCCCCAUUAGUGUCAUACACUUUCUGGUUGGAACCGUAUAGAGAGUUCAUAAAUGAACUUUCCCAUCCAAACAACAUUGUUGUAAACUUCUAUAUGGCAAUAUAUCUUGCAUUCAUAAUGGAACACACUAAAGUCAUUACUUUAAUGUUUCCAUCCAAAUAUCUCUUUAGUCAUAAUAAAGAGAUAUCUGUUUAUUUCUUCAUUCGUAAUGAAGAAACAUCCAAUGAUGGAUUAGAUUCAUAAUCUAAUACAUUUACGCUUCCAUUACGUUACUCUAAUUCUUCCUCGAUCUUUGAGGAAUUUAUCCUUUAGUAUUUCUUAAAUACUUAAGGACUCACUUGACAGUUGCCAUGGUUCUGAUCCUGGGCUUGUAUUGAUAUCGUCUUGUACCGUUCUCGGUACAACUCAUAUCAAUGUUUUUCAUACAAUAUGAAAUACAUAAAUCCCCUUUCUGUUUACGCAUAAAGGAUUCUAUUUACGCAUUAUUUCUUUGGGAGUCAACAACUUCUUAGUCUUACUAGAAUUGUCCAUUUGAUUGAAGUUUAUCAUCAUAUGAGAAACUUCCCAGCAUCUCUUGUCUAUUAUUGGGGAUUGAUACAAUCCAAUUAUAUCCUAAAAUCUAUCAAUAUAGAUUUCAUUCCCAUGUAUAUAGACUAUAUCUCCCAUAUACAUUCUAUCGUUUAUAGAAUGCUUAAAGUCAUAACUUUAACGAAGAAGAAUUCAUUUCAUUUCCAAAAUUAAUAUAUCAUAUAUAUUUUAAAUUUUAGGAACAUGAUUAACUCCCACUAAUCUUUUGUAAAACUCGUAAACAAAAGAUUCAUUUACAUCUUGAUGAGAAAUCAAACGAUUUGAUUCUUUUUCCUCAUAAAAUGCAAAUAGCUCCCACUAACUUGCUAAGAUCCAUGAUGGAUGGAUCUCUACAACUUACAUGUCUUGUGAUUUAUAGUUUUGGACAUAUAUUAUCAAGACUAUCUUAAUAAUGGUUUCGGAAACCCAUAUUAUGUCAAAACAUUGAAUCACCAUUUUAGUUGUAGCUAGCAAUCUUCGAAUUAAUUGAAACCAAGCCUACCUCAAAGAUGGUUUCUUCAAAGUCAACCAUUCUCUUUGAUUGUAGUUACCUUAAGCUACCAAUUAGCUAUGAAGGUUUUAUUAUUUCGAGUCAAAUGGUACUUUACCAUUUCCUUGAGCAUGUAUCAUAUAUACACUCAAUGUAGUCAUAAGGAUUUUCAUUCUUAUUUCUUUCGAAUUAAGAGGUGCAACUCUAUGACAUAGUCAUAAAGUUCAAACCAUUCAACUGAGACGGUUUAUAAAUCCUUCUUGACUACCUUGGAGCUUAAGGUAUAGGAACUAGGUUGUUAUAUUUGUUGAUUACUUUCUUGUCUCUCAAAGAACCCAUUCUUCGAGUUCUAUCUCUCGUUCAUUUGCUUUUAGGCAAAUCACAUUGUAGAAUUACAAUGAACUACCCAACAAAACAACAUUUGUUAGUUGGUUUAUAGAAGCGAUAUCCAAAAGUUAAUUUAAGGAUAUCCUACAAGAUUGUUAUCAAACAAAUAUUGCUUAUUAGCACACAACCUCAAAUCUUAACAUGCUUAAGAUUUGUCUUUCUUUCCAACUACAUCUUAUGGAGUUAUGAAAAUUUUGGAAGAUCUUCUAAUUGACAAUUAUAUUGUUUUUAGAAGUAUAUAUCCUAUAUAUGGGUAAUAGAUAACAUCUAACGAACUAAAUCUUAUUUGAGUUCGUUCUUCUCCUAAUGGAGAAAUACAUUAUCUUAUGAUGCUAUUUUCCUUGAUAUCUUUCAAGGAAACUCAUCUAAAGUGUUACCUUUCCUUGGAUCAAAUCUAAGGAGGUAAAUACUUUAGAUAUCUUACUCAUCUAUUUACAUUUCUUGAAUUCUUUGAAACCUUUUGCAAAGUAUUCGGACUUGUGUUUAUUCAAAAUAAACUAUAGUCCAACCGAGAGUGAUCUUCGGUGAAUGUCAUAUAACAUGAGUAGUAUUAUGUUGUGGACAAGUGCCACUAACAUCUAAGUGAAUUAACCUCAACAACUUUGUGAUUCUUUCUUCUUUUUCCAAAAGAAUAAAGAUUCGAACAUUUCGCCUCCAUACAAUUUUAACAAGAAGGUAUUGGAUCCGGAUCUAACGAUCCAAAGCGUCCAUCUAUGACCAACUCGUAAUUUAUGUUUUUAGAGGUAUCACAACUUUAGUUGGGAUUAGUCACUACCUUGCAACCUUUUGGGUUUUAAGCAUCAUUAUUUUCUAAACAGUUAACACUACCAUAUUAUCUCUACUAUAGAGACAAUCAAUUAGAUUACUAUAAAUCCAAUUUCUUUGGUAGUUCAUAUGAGGAAGUAAGUACUAUCUGCUUUCGCAGAGAUCUAUAUCUUAUUCACGUUCCGUAUGUGAAGCACCUUUUCUUCUCUCAUAUAUCUUCUACUUCUUAUUAGUCACACUUUUACAACGAUUUGUAAAACAUAGUUACUAAUACGGAAUCAUACAUUCAAGUAGAAGAACCAACUGUUUUGAACUAUUCAAGAACAAUUUACAACACCUUCGAAAGGUGUGUUCUUGACACUUGCAAGACAUUUCUUGCAAAUACCCCUUCCAAUUUCCAUCCUUUCAUAAAGAAAGUUUGUUCCCUUGGAGUUAUUUAUCUUCUUUAUUUGACUUUCACCUUUGACUACAUUAGUCAUGGUCCCUAAACUCCCACUAUCUCUCUUGAAACCCUUUUCAAUUGUGUUAUACACAUCAAACAAUUUGGAGAGUAUGUGGUUAUUGUUCACUACAUAGUUUACCAUAAACUUAGUGAACCAUUAGGAUAGGGAAACAAAGGUAAAGUCCUUGCCUAGUUUCCGUCUCGUUAAGUGGUUUAACACUUCAACACUCAAUGAUUCAAAAUCAUCAUAAGUCCAUGUUAAUGGACUAUUUUUGUCAACCAACCAUUAUGUUCUAAACAUAAUUACAAACUUUCAAGAGUUGUACAAGGCAACUCUCAUUUCUUCAUACAACAUUUGGAAGUGAAGAAUCAUGGCACAUUAAGUGUCCAAGCCUUUGUGCUUUCUUCUCAAGUUCCUUGUUCAUGUAACAAAGAAACAAGCACUAAGUGUUUGCAUUGAUUAAGGGUUGUUCAAAGCAACUCUUAUUUCUUCAUACAACAAUUUGUAAUUGAAGAAUUAUGACAUUAAAAGUGUUGUCCUCUUUAUGAUAGACCUAUUCUAACAUAUUCUUCUAAUGAUACAUUAUCAAUAGGAAGAUUGUGAGGAUGAGACUACUUAGGUACAUUUACAAGCCAUUAAAGACAAUCUAUGGUUUUGUAGUACCAAGUCCGUAAACUAAACGUUCGGCUUUUAUUUGUCAAGUGUUGGAUAACGUUUGCAAAUAUAUUGGUAAACAAAUACAUAACGAAUAUAAAUUGAUUGAUUUUAAGCCAUUUGAUUCGGGUCUUUAAAUCAAAUAGCAUCACCCACUAUUUUUGGCAAAUUCCAUAUCCCUCAUUGGAAUUCGAGAGUUUUGGAUGAAACUCUUAGUAGGUUAUGGGAGGCUCACUAUUACCAAGCCCACCUCAGAAUUAUAUCAUGUUGGCUAGCGUUAAUGAUAAUGAGAGAGUACGCUUACUCAUUUGCAACUAAUGCAAGUACCCAUCUUAUUUGGCCUCUAGAGAAUGAUUGCCUCAGAAUUAUAUCAUGUUGGCUCCAUUGCACUUAGUUAAGUCAUUUCCACCAUGCUUAGUUCAUGUAGGGGUUCAAGCAUAGCCUCAGAAUUAUAUCAUGUUGGCUAAACUCGUUGCCUACACUCACCUCAUCAUAUGCGUAUAGACUCUUCCUGAGUAUAAGCAUGCACUUUGUACUUCCCCAUUAUAGGGUGAAGGCGGUGUACAAGUCAUAAACGAUUGGAGCCUACCACGGUGGAAGGCCACGAAAGAGUGUUCAAAGCACUCUCACGCUUUCAACUUAAUAUUGGGUUGGUUGAGGGUUUUAGGUCUCAUCAUAUAUCAAUAUACAUUUUAAUCUCUAUUAAAACAAUUUUGGUCCUAUUACAACUAUUGGUCCAUAUGAUUGUUUUAGUUGUACAUAAUACUCCCACUAUGCUUUUAAAACGGUUUUUAAAGCAAGAGUAUAUGUUACUACUAACAUAAGGUUUGCAUUCAUUUAAUGGACUAUAUAGUUGCCUUAGGGCCUUAGGAUGACUAUGAACCUUUGUUUAGAUUCAACACGAGCCUUGUGUUGAAUCUCGGUCUAGGGAUGGAGAUUGAUUUUAGUUACGCGUUUAAUCACAUUAAGGCGUGUUGUCUUAGGGGCGUUGGACCCAAUUACUUCAUUUUCAUGCAUAUCAUAUAAAGCAAGAAAGAAAUACUUCAAAGUAAAGGAUGAGCUUAUGCUCAUUACAACAUUUGCAUAAAACAAAUUACCUUAAAGUAAAGAAGGACUUAUGCCCUUUUACAACAUUUGAUUAAAUCAAAUUACAACCAAAAUCUAAUCUACACAUUCCCAUGGUUCAAACAAAUUUGAAACGCCUUUCACAUAGCUCAAUUAUAUUAGGCUUAGGUUCAUAAUCAUCCUUUAAUUAAUUAACGCUUUAACUAAUUAAUUGAAUGCAACAUUUUCAUUUGGUUUUUGUAUCCAUAAAAUUGAUUUAAGUGGAGCUAAACAAAAUGAAAAUCCAAUUCUCAUUUAAAGAGACAAAACAAUUUUGUUCUCAUCCUAUUUGGGCCAUCAUGCAAUAACCACAACUUUUUGGGCCAUAUUGCGAAAACAUAAACUUUUGGGGUCACUUUGUAAAAACACAAAAGUCACUACUUUCAUGUAAAUACAACUAGAACCCAAAAUUUAAAUAAAUUCAAAAACUUCAUUAAAGGAGCAAAACAAUUUGUCCUUUAGCGUUUUUAGGCCUUAACGUCAAAACGUAAACUUUCGGGUCAAAGUACAAAUACACAAAAGUAUCAAAACUUUAUGUAAUUGCAUAAAAGCCCCAAAAAUACCCUAUUUUAUUAGGGUGGCCGGUUUUUAGGGAUAAAAAUGAGUGAUGGGUGUUUUGAUUUAUUAGUUUUGUCAAAAACAAUCAAGUAGUGCUUUCACCUUUCAUAAAAAUAAUAUAUGUUUUGAUGAUUGAUGUUUCCAUCAUCAUUUAUUCAAAUAUUUAACACUUUAAAUACUUUCAUAAAAUUAAUAUAUGUUUUUGAUGAUUGAUGUUUCCAUCAUCAUUUAUUCAAAUAUUUAACACUUUAAAUACAUGAUAAAUCAUUUGAAAAACAUAUAACAUAAACUUUAUGAAAUAUUCAAAACUUUGAAUCAAAACACAAAACCUUUUUGUUCUUGGCAAGAACAUCAAGAACAAUGAAGAACAUCCAUGAAAACCCAUAAGAGCUCCAUGAAUGUUUUCAAGCCAUAAAACUCAAAUUUUCACCAUUCAAAAUGGUGUUAACAUCCUAGGGUACUUAGGGGUUCCAAAAGUCACCUUAAAACAUUUUUAACAAGACAAACAUGAACCCAAAAAAUCACCCUUUGGAUUUGGCCGAAAAUCCCAAAAAUCAUGGCACCAAAUUUUAGCUCCAAUAUUCAUCCUCAUAUGAACUACAUCUACAACAUUUGAGAUGGCAAAUUUUCAAACAAAAUUUACAUUCAAAGAAGCAAGAAUAAAGCUUGUAACAAUUACAACUUUUAAAUCAUAAACUUAUGAACUACAAAACCCAAAAGGAUUCACCAACUACUAGACCUACUAGACCUAGGCUCUGAUACCACUUGAAGGAUUUAUUUUGAAAAACAUGUUCAUUUGAAUAACAUCUAUAGCAUGCAAUUAACAAAUUAAAGGCGGAAUCAUGCUUGUAUGCAUUCAAAAACAAAACAUUACCCAUGAAAUUCAAAGCCUAGUAGAUUGGUGAACCAAUAAUCAACUCAAAACAAAGUGAGUUGAAAUUAAUACCUUUGUAGAUUCCUCUUUGCAUAAGCAAAGGCUAAUCACCCAAAGAGAUAGGGCCUUCAUUCCUUGCUUCUUAGAUCCAUGGAUUUGGAUGGAAGAAUAGGUUCUCCAAGUUCCCAAAAUUGAGAACCUCUAAGUCUCUUCACCAAGGUUUGAUUGUAGAAGAAAUGAGUGACCUUGGAGUAGUAGGAUUGCUAGAUGUACCCUCCAAGGUGUUGGCCUCUUUAGAGAGAAAAAUGGAGAGACAAUUCUCACCCAUUUUCACCCAAAAUAAACCCUUAAUCACAUUAUGAAUAUUUGGCUAUAAAGUCCUUUAUAUAGUCCCUUCAAAUAAGUGACCUAAAGAACAAAAAAAAAACCCUAAUUCAUCUAUAUGGCCGGCCUACUUUGGGAUUUUUGGGCUUUUGGGCCUUUGUGAAUCUUUAUUCAUUAAGUUGUCAUACAUCUUAAGUCAAUGGGCUUGACAUUCGAAGCCCAUUGGGCCUUAAGGUCCAAAAUUAUCCCGAGGUCUUUAACGAACUUAUUCGUUUGAUUAAUUAACAUAUUAAUUAAUCCUUGCCAUAAAUAAAUGAUUAAACCAUUUAAUCAUUCUUACUCAUUUCCGUUUAAUCUUCAAUCUCCACCUUUUAUGGUGUGCGAUCCAUUAGGUUCCUUUUAGCGAGGCAGUGGGGCGAUUAAAACCAUUUUACAUCGAUUGUGAAUUGAAACAAUUUUCAAUUCUCCCUUUAGUGGUUAUACACGUAUAGGGCUUCCACAAACCAUGGUUGACGCCUAGCAGCAUGUCAUGGUUACCCAAGCUAAUCAGAAGAGGUUAGAGAACCUAUUCAGUUCGGGAUUACAAAUGCAAUACGGUCCUUCUCUAAUCUAAUACUCUUGACCACAUUGUUUGGUAUGAUAGUUUAUUUACUCAUGUCUACUAUCCAAUGUGAAUCGUUUGCUUUGCUUAUAUGAUUUCCUUGAAUGUGAUUUGGAACGCAUUCCCCAAUCUUAUUCAUACUCUGGCCAGAGAUUCCAAAUCAUAUCAUAGAGUAUUCUCCCUCAACUGUUUGAAGGUUAGAGAUCCCUUGUUGCGCAUUCACUUGUCUCCAUAGCUAAGUGGCUUAACCCCAACGAUGCCGUGACACCCCGAGGGGGUGAAUUAGACAUAAUCAAAGAUUAAGGACUUAACCACAAGACAACUGUGAUGCCUCAGGUCAAAGGACAACUUUGCAUUAUCCCAACCAUGAGUUCUCAUGUGACAUGGAAUAUAAGAACUCUUCGUUGAUCACGUUCAGUGAACUCAUUCUCUUAUUGAGCACCUACGUACUUGUCUUGAUGUCACACACACACCAAUGACUCGAGACUAGUCACUCUCCCUGAGAGAAGACACAGUACGUACUGAUCUUAACGGACUGUCAAUGCCCAAUUGGUAAUCCUAUGAUCAGGAACAUUUAUGAUGUGUCUACGAAAGAAUGGUCUCAUUAAUCUAACUUCAUUAGAUUGCAUUCUCCCAAUCACAUAUUCCUUGGACUUUAUCGUUUAAGCAUAUAACAUUUAUAUGAGACGGCUCAAACAAUAAUCUUUGCCCUUUAUAUGUUAAACUAGAUUAGUUUAACAUUUGAAAUGUCCGUAAAGUAUCAUCAUAUGAUUGGUUUUAGGGCACAUUUCCAACAGUUUGCUCCCUGCGAUUCCUCCGUAAAUUCUACUCAAGUUCUGGAUCAAGUGGAAUCAAUUUCUGCACUGUUGAACGGGUGCUGACCAUGCACAGAUUUCUGAGAUCUGCACUGCCGUACUGUUGUAAUCUGUAAAAAUAAAAUAAACGAAAAUUAAUUUUUUUUUAUAUGUAUGAACAGCAAUAACUAAUUGAAAAUCUGAUUAGUAUGGAUUAUUUUAAAUAAUCCCCGGCAACGGCGCCAUUUUUUCUGGAGAAGUGUUCAGAAUAUUCUAAACAUUAAAUCCAGCUAUAUUGGGCCAGUUUUGGAGCAGCUUAUGGGCCAAAACGUGGCUGUUCAGAUUUUAGACGAAUUUUAUCAUUUAAUUUAGGGUUAUGUUUCCUAGGGUUUGUGUGGAGGCUUAGCAGAUAUAUUGCUUGGCCGUCUACAGUUUUUGGGGACAACAUUUUUUUUAUGCAAUUUUGGAGACAGAGAGAAGUGCUAGGGUUUUGGAGAUUUUCUACUUGAAGGUGUUUUCAAUCAUUUUCUUAAGAAUAUUUUCUAUGAUUUCAAUUAUGAGUAUGCGUAACUAAUUCCUUUUGCUAGGGCGAAGCCUUGAGCCUUAGCAUGAAUAUGUGAUUUUUAUUUAAUUGUUUAUGAUUGAUUGCAUGCAUACUUUGAAUUGUUAAUCACCGGGAUAAAAAGUAUCUAAUGAUUUUAAUGCCUGAUCACCAUUAGGAUUUUUAGAAAAGUAAUUUGAUGCAAUUUUGGUCGGAAGGUUCCCUGAAAUUGACGCUGGCUUCUUGUGAUUAAUAAUUGUAAUUUCGCUUAGGAUGAAUAUCACGUCUUAAGGAUUGCAUGGUUUUUCAAAGGAUUUUCAUAAAGCGUAAUGAGUCUUUCAUGUUCAGAUUUGAUCCGAACGUCCGGACGGGUUGCAUGUUAGAUAUACGUUAUAUGUUGGAGGUUCCAAGUAGAAUAUGAAUUAGGAAAAUCUAACCUUCAAAGUGGCAUGUGUAGAUUAUAAGUAAUUGAUAAAAAUUCAUAGGAUUGCUAGGUGAUGGUGGAACCCUAGUGUUUUCUUAAUUUGAUUCUCCCAAAACUGUUUUCUUCUCUCUAGCUCUAAUAUUGCAGAUUGUUUAUUUUAAUUCAUUAAUUUCGUUUUUAUUUUAAUUAGGUUAUAAAAUCAAUCACCUAAACUUCUACUUUACAAUAAUUAAAUGGAAUCUGAUUAGUUUUGAAUUAUUUAAUAAUCCCUGUGGAGACGACCUUGCGAGAUCCGUUUAUACUACAAUAACCUUGUGAUUCUUGCAAGUAAAAUAGGAGAUUUAAGCUCGUUCACAUGAGUAGUAAAAAUCCUAUCAUGUUACACGACACGACCCGUUAAGAUAUCGGGUAUGACACAAAAACGACACGAACACGGAAAACACGACACGAAUGCCAGGUCUAUUGUGCCCUUAGAUGUAAAAUAUAGGCACAAUAAUAUAUUUGAGUUCAUCUUUUUAAACAAAGUGGUCAGAAAAUGUGUUUGUGUCCAUUUUUUUUUAUAUUGGGCAUAAUAUGUAGUGUCCUUUAUUGAAUGGGCACUGUUUUAAUCCUUUUGUGUUGAAAGACACACAAUUUUGUCCAUAAUUUUGUGCCCAAAGGCCAUUUUUGUUGUAGUGACAGUUAACUCAUCCGACACUUCAUCUUGAGCAGCUCCGAUCUUGGCAGCUCCAUCCUUGACUACUCCGUCUAUGGCAGCUAAGAAAUCAAACUUAAGCAGUUUCCUUAUUUUUGGCAAACAACCCAUACGUGGCAGCCCAAACCGUUGUCCAUGCCACGCCACUUCCUCGGCCCAUGCCGAGCCAAUCCUUGGCUUUAAUUAAGCCGAGCAGCACAAGUAAUGGCCCCUGCCACACCUCUUCCUUGGGCCAUGCUAAACCGACUCCUGGCCCCUGUCAGUCGAUGUACCGCACCACCCCGACGGCUGCCCCGUGGCAGCACCUCCCACGAAGAAGACAAAGAAAUCAAUGGAAGACGGUUCUUUGCACGGGCAAGCAAAGAAGAGUGCUAGGGGAGGGGGAACAAAUAUCCUCUAGCUUUCUCUCUUUCUUGUAAGGAUAAAUAAUUGCCCUUCAAAGUUGAUUUAAUCCCCUACUUAAGGUAGGAUUAAAUAGGCAUUGGAGGCGAUUUAUUUCCAUUUCCUAAAAGAAUAUAAUUCCAAGUCCUUGAGAAAAUCUACAUCAAAGUUGGAGAUCUCUACACCUGCUGCCCUUUCCUGUGAGCAGCCCAGCAAGUAUGGAGGCAUUUGUGGAGCCCAAAAUAAUCACAAGGCGACACAUGGAUUUUUGGGAAGAAGAAGACAAAAAUACUCUUGAGGCAUACUAGGAUUCUUACGGUCAAGCAGCAGACACUCAUCACUCAACCAAGUCAAAAUUGCCCAAAAUAGGUAACAAUUCAAAGCCUAUUUCAUCCAUCCUCAUCAAAUCAUUUCUACAAGAUAAUUCCCAAAACAUUCCUUUUAAAUUAUGUUAAUUGGCUAAUUAAUAGAUUUAUUACCUAAUUAAUCUAUUAAUAGCCAAUUAAACCACCAAUUACUCCCAAAAAACACACAUAAGGUCGGUCACCUUCUCUCCCAAGGGGGCCGGCCAUGCCUUAUAAUUUCUACCUCAUUUUCCCCUUUCAUUAGCUAAUCAAUUAGGCAAUUAUUCUAUUAAUUGACUAAUUAAUUAGUUAAUUAUUCCAUAACUCCCAAUUUAACACAAAUCAAGAACCUAGCCCACAAAGGGAGCUAGGUGGCCAGUCCUCUCUCAUCCAAGGAGGUCGGCCACUCUCCUAUUUAAACCACAUCAUCCUCCUCAAAGUCCACUUCCAACUCUCUUGUUAAAAUUCUCACACUUUCUCUCUAAAUUUUAACUUUAACAUCAAAGAUUCUCUAGCCAAAGCGCCCCCCCCCCCCGGCGCCAAUUCAUCAUGGGCGUAUGAGGCUCUUGGCCUUGACCAAAGGUGUUAAUUGUUUUGUAGGUGCAAUUUUGUCCAAGAUCAAGGAGGAGGAAAUUUGCAUCCACACAACCCCUUCAAACCGCACCAAAAAAUCAAAACAUCCAUUCGAAACCUCAAUUUUUGAAACCAAUUUCAAGUUCGAUUCAAGUUUUCAAACAAUAAUCAAUACAUCAAAUCCGGAAUUUCUCAACCCAAAAACUUCAUUUGAAGACGAAAAACUGAAAAAAUUCGAGAUAUAUAUUUGCAGAAUCCAAAUCAGAGAAACACAGGUAUGAACCUAGAAAUUCUUAUAUUCUUGAUGAUUUCUUACUUUGAUUUACUACAUAUGUAUAUUUGCAUGUUUGAGAUUCUAAAAAAUAAAUUAUGUUUCCAGUUCAGAGUAUUCUGAUUUGCAUCCAGACGAAAACGAACAAAAAAAAAAGGGGGAAAUAAAAGCAACAUAGAAGAAAUAGAGGUACAUACUACAAAAUUUAUAAUAUUCUCGAUGAUUUUACAGUAAUAUGUAAGUUUGCAUGAUUCGAAUUCAUUGAAUGGGCAAUGUUUCUGCAAAAUGGUAUUUUUUUACUUCACUUUGAUAACGCUUGUUUUCUUAUAACCUUUAAAUAGUCUUUUCUUGACCUCAUAUGUUGGUUACUUUGCUUAAAUAACUUAAAAAUAAUCAACAUUCUAUUACAAUGGUUCCAGAAACAGUAUAGUUUUUUUGUUUCUGUUUGAUUAACAGUAUGGAUCCAUAAUCAAUAUGGUGUUUUAGUUCAUUUUCUUAAAUAACAUGCCCUAGUAUGGAUCCAGAAUCAAUAUAGUGAAAAAGGACAUUUUUGAAGCGUACCAAAAAUACUCUAAGACGAAACUCUUGAAGGACGAAAGCUACUGCUUCAAUUAUAUGUGCGCAUCUCAUCCAAUCCCUCUUAUUUGCAACCUCCAGAACAUACAUCACAUGGAACUUUAUAACAAAUUGUGGGGCAUUUGACCAAAUCAGCAAAUAUAAUUGGGCAAAAGGAGUGAUAGACUACUUGUUCAAGAUGAUUGACAAAUCAAAGAAAAAGAAGAAAAAUGGAGGAUAAUUAGCAAUAACAAGCGGAUGCACUGCUAUUAUUUUGGUAAAAAAAUUAGAACUAUAGUUUUAAAAGCAUGAAUUCUAUCUUAUAAAUUUCACAAGAAACUAAUUCAAAGUUCUUAUUUCAUGCAGUAUUGGAUUUAUCUUCACACCAAUCUAGUGGAGACAAUAAGUUGACGAGAAAACAUGAUUCCUGCAAUUAGAAGAUGGACAUAACCAAGAUAUACAAAGCAAUUCUUGACCUUUCGAUUGCCUUGCGGAUUAGUGAGUUACUGGGUUCUGCCCCAUAACGUACAUCUUUGUGUCUACAUACGACGACUCCGUUUCUACUCAGAGCCGCAUAUAGAUGGCUCGCGAAACUCAUGCGGGUGUCUUGGCCACUGAAACUGAGGUAGACAUCGUACUCAUUUGUAUGCGUGGUGGCCAUGGAUCCCAACGGAAAUCUCUGCUCUCUUCUCUCUCUUCUUCUUAUGGAAACUCAGACCGAUCAAAUCCAGAUCUGAGAGUCUUCUAGCAUAGGAAUGGAUAAUGAAAUGUCAACGGCUAUACAAUCGUCCGAUGCGCAGCAGCAAAUCUCCAUUAGUUUGACUUGAACUACAUAUAAGUAUUGUUUUUUUUUUGUUAGAUACAUAUUAAUAUUGUUCAAAGCUACAUAUUAAUAAAAAAAAAUUGUUCAUUAAAAAUUAGUAAAAAGACUAUUUAGUUUUUUAUCUCAAUAAAAAAAUUAAAGACAGUAACGUAAUUUUACAAAAUAAAAUUUUACUUUUUUGUUUAAACAUCACUUACAAGUACUUUUAACAUUUUUAAUUUUUAAAAAUUGAAAGAAAAAAAAAAUUAAACUCUCCUCGCUCUCGUUCUCUGUCUCUCCUCCAAUUUUAAAAACAAAAAUAAAAACAUUUCACACACAUUUUAUGUAUUGGCAUACUAGUAUUUAUUUACAAUUCACGUUUUUCACAAACAAACUUACCACAUUGAUCUCACAAAAAUAAUUUGGACAGGAUUAUAUAAAAUCAUAAAAGCAAAUUUGUUGAAGAUCUACUUUUGGCGUUUUAAUUACACUUAGUUAAAACCGCAUGUUUAAACUAUUUUGCUAUAUACAACACUAAGGGGUUGUAUUCAAUAUGGAACGGUACCAUAUGUUAAUAUAUAAUUGGGUUUUUUUUUCCUUCGAAUUGUAUAAAAAUAUGUAUUGUACCGUUCCACGUUCCAAGCAAUUUCUCCAUAAUCAGGAUUUUGAGCAAUUUUAAUUCUUUUUACAAAUCCAAGGGAAUUUAAUUAAAAUUUAAGUGAUUUUCUAAAAAUAUAAGUGUAUUCAAUUAUGAUUUUAAAAGAGUUUAACACAUUUCAGCAUUUCAAUUAGAAAUUUAGUUUAAAAUUUGAGGAAUUCGAGUGAAUUUGAGAGGUUUUGUAAUGUAUUUUAAAUAUUCUCAAAUCUCACAUCUCUCCCUAAUUAUUUGUGAGAAUUCACUCAAAAGUUUCGUAAUGUAUUUUAAAUAUUCUCACGUCUCUCCCUAAUAAUUUGUGGAAAUUCAUUCAAAAGUUUACAUGUGAAUAUCUAGAAGUCAAAUAAACUCCAUCAAAAUCCAUCAAAAUCCAUUAAAAUCCCUCGAAAUCUUAAUCGUAAACAACCCAUGAAUAAGAGGAGGCUUGAGAGAGAUUUAUGCGACCAAACCAAUGCUGAAUGUCUACUUACUUGAUGCUGCGUGGUUAGGCUUAGUCGACCUCACUCCAUCUUCAUUGCUUUGCUACUUGAAAUGAGGGAUUCCAAACAUAUUGGCGAAGCCGGCCAAUGUACCCUUCAAUCUACCACUUCCACUAGGUCCUUCUCCGUCACCAUCGCUACUGGAUUGGGUCGCUAUUUCAUCCAACUCUUCCACAGCGCUCUCGUACACAACGUCCAACUCUUCCACAUCACUCUCGUACACCAAACGAGUGCCGCAACUCUUCACCAAGCAGGGGCCUGAGCUUUUGAAAUUAAAUUUUAACUGAUUGCAACUGUUUUGCCACUCUGUACCAAAGCUUAUACCACGAGACACAUAGAGUAGCCAGAUAUGAUCUGACACGGGCUGGACAUCCGAAGAUAGUAGAGGCGCAGGGUACUCUUCCUUUCCAUUGACUUCCAAAACACCAGAGAGCUCCCAUCCGCUCCCACAAACUUUAAAUACAGCGCACAGAGCAUAUCCCAUCCACUUGUUAUCACGCCAUUGCGGAGUUAGGUCGACGGUUACUUCUGGUCCCAUCCUUUGAUGAGUGAACCACCCAGGAAUUUCCUUUCCAGGCAUGACAAUUUCAUAUCUAUCUCCUGCAUAAGGGACUCCCUGUACAGGUGAAACAGUGAUGUCAAGCAUUGAGAGAGAGAGAGAGAGAGAGAGAGAGAGAGAGAGAGAGAGAGCACCUUAAGAUAUCUUUGGAGCAUUGUAAAUGUUAUAUGAUUGUAGCUUUCUUUCUCAAGCAUUCCAAAGCAAUUGAUGAAAUUGAAGCAUGAUGAAUUCAAUCUGUCCAAAUUUGAUGGACAUUCCAGCAUUUUCAGUUUAGUACAACCAUCUGCAGUUACUUGUAAAUCCACAUCUGACGAAAGAACUGGAAGGUGUUGAAGCCUCCAGCAACGACUCAAGUAUAAAUUCUCUAGCUUAGUGAGUUGGCUAAUGCUUGUAGGAAGAUUAACAAAAUCGUUUCCACUUAAGUUCAAUGAUACCAAAGACGAUAAGCAGCCAAUAUCACUGGGGAUGUCUCCUUUACCAAGACUGUGACCACUUAAGUCUAAUUCCAUUAAAGAACAAAGGCCUGAUAGAGGAGGCAAGAACAAACUGAUGGAAUGAUGAAGGCUCCCUGUUGGCAUUAAUCUAAAAGGGAGCAACAUAUGCCAUGGUUGUUGUGAUGGCCCUUCCAUUCCACGAAAAAUCAAUGCUUUAAGGUUUUUCAGAAGGGCAAUGGAAGAUGGGAAUUCUUUUAUAGCAGUUCCACUUAAAUUAAUCUUCUCCACAAACUCUAAUUUCCCGAGGGUUUCUGGCAAUUUGGCAAGAUUUGAGCAUCCAGAAACAUCAAGACUUUUAAUAGCCGUCAAAUUUCCAAUGGUACGAGGAAGACAUUUCAGAUUUUUGCAAUCUCUCAAGUCCAACAAAGAAAGGCUGGUUAGAUGUUCAAUUGAUGAAGGUAUACAUUCAAUACCGGUCCCAUCUAAAGAAAGCUUCCAUAAAUGCUCCAUAGGUUCCACAAAAUUCGGUAUCUUUUUAACGCUUGAGCAGCCAGAAAGAACUAGAACUUCAAGGUGCUCCAUUUCAAUCUCAUCCGGAAGAAGCUCGAGACUUUUGCAGUCUUUAAGAGUCAAGAAAGUGAGCUUUUUGAGAGUUCUUAUGGAAAAGUGAAUCUCAACUAGACUUUCGCAUCCUUCAAGAUCUAAUCUCUCAAGAUUCUGAAUCCCUUCAAAAUCAGGGGUUCCAGUCAAACUUUUGGAAUGACUAACUUUAAUGAUUUUCAACUUGUCAAAUUUCUGCAAUGUUUACAAGAAAUGAAGAAUAAUUAGAUCCAGAAAACUCAAAUCAGGUAAUGAAGUAUAUUCUACAUCAAGCAAGGUAAUAAUAUUAUAGAUGUAGCCAUAUACCUUUUCUCCAUUCCAGAGCUGUUUAAUUCUACUAUGACACAUAAUAAGUUCAACAAGCUCUGCCGGGUGGAAUCCUAAUGGGAGAUAUUGUAGAGGAUAACCUCUCCAUUCAAGAAAUCUCAAGGAAUUAGGGAGACGGUUUAGGCCUUCAGGAAGGCGCACGUUAUGGACUUUGAGCAAUCUAAGAUUAACCAUCUGAGAAAAAACUUCAGGAGGGCAUUCGACCUCUUCUGAGGUAAGCAAGUCUAGGACAAUACCUUCAACCGUCGAUGUCCCCUGAUAACCAAGAAUAAAUAAAAAAACAAGUGAAUUGCAGUAUAGUCUGCACAUUAUAAGUAAAGGAAGAUAAGUAAAACUAAUAGGUUUUUUUUUUUUGUGCUUUUAAUUGUUGGAUUAAUUUAUAUUUGAUGUAUUAGGUAAGCUCUUACCGUAUUUUCCUUCAAAACACGAAAGAUGUCCUUAGAAAGCCAUAAUCUGCUCCGUUCACCAGGUUCUUUAGAUUGUUGACCAACAAUUGCUUGACCCAUUUUUUGUAACAAAUCAUGCAUCAACACCAUGUUAUCUGAAAUUGUUAUCAGAGACUUCUUCACAAGGACAUCUAUGCCAAUACCUGGAUUAAAACCACAACCAUCUAGUAUUUCAACUACUCGAUCUUUGUACUCUCCUUUAAAGAAACAUGCGAUGUCAAGGAAAAUAUCUUUCUCUUGUGGAUCUAAACCCUCGUAACUUAUUAUAAGUGUCUUCAUAAUUUUUUCAUUAAAUAUUAAAUCAUCCCCUAGUUUACUUAAUUGACCUCUCCAUGCAUCUAGACCUCUUCCAUUCAAAAAUAACCCCAAGACUUCAAGAGCUAAUGGAAGGCCUUUGGCAUAACUCACAAAACUUAUAGACAGAUCCAUAUGACUUUUAGGCGGAUUGUCCCUUUUAAGGGCUCUCAAGCUAAACAGUUUAAGAGCGCCAACAUCACUCAACAACGGCACCUCAAAUCUUCUUUCUACACCAUGUGAAAUUAGAACCUGUUUAUCCUUAGUCGUAAUAAUGACUCUACUCCCUUGACCAAACCAAGCUGGGUUUCCACAUAGCUUUUCUAACUGAAUACUAUCGUCCACGUCAUCAAGAAUGAUGAGAACCUUUUUGUCACGUACGAAGUAUCUCAUUUUGGCGGCUUCACUGGGACUCCAGUCUUGUAUAUUUCUAUUCAUAAGGCUAUUGGAGAGCUUCCUCUGUAUACCGUCCAGACCGUGUGCCUUAAAAUCCUCGCUAACUCUGUCAUGAAAGCUUUUGACUUGAAAUUUAUGAAGAAUCCUCUGAUAAAAUGCUUUGGCAAUGGUUGUCUUACCUAUCCCACUCAUCCCCCAUAUUCCUAUAGAGAGAACAUCAUUUGACUCUUGUUCUAAAAGCACAUCAAGUUGCUCCAGUUUCGACUCCAUUUCAACCAGGUUUUCUGCAGGCUCCAAUGAUAUAGGACCUACUUCAGUUCGUACCUUUUCAACGAUUUCCUUGAUGAGCUCUGGUUCUUUCCUACAAGAAAAAUAUACAAUGUUCAAGAUAUGACCUAAUACACAUAGAAAUAAAAAAGUUAGAGACUAUUUUUGUUUUCGUCCACCUGAAGUCCUAGUAUCAAGUGGUCUCUGUGUCCAUUUAAUAAGAGGGUAGUUUGGUAUUGGACCAAAUUAGGGACGGUUUCGGAAUAGGGGAGGAUUAAAAAGCGCAGCAGUGUUGGAUUUAAAAGACAUGAAUUCUUAACCGGAGCAAUUUUUUCCCCUUAGAUUCUCAAAUGGACCAAAUAUAUGGUAAAAACAAAAGGUCCUCUAGGAUGGAACCGUAAGAAUAAAGUUAAACAAAGUCUACAAGGCCUAAAUGCUUCCUCAUUAAUUAGUUGUGCUGUCAUGGGAUUAAGUAGUUAUCAAGCACCUUCGUUACUGUCGUCGUACCCAGUGCACAAGGCUCCCGCUUUACGCAGGGUCUGGGAGAGGUGAAUGUCGGCUAGCCUUACCCCCAUUUAUGGAGAGGCUGCUCCCAAUGUGUGGGGGAUGCAACACGAGGACUUCCCAGGAGGUCACCCAUCCUAGUACUACUCUCGCCCAAACUCGCUUAACCUUCGUUACUGUGCAAAAAGUAAAUUAUAUGAAUUCUUCGAUUUUCCUAAAACUUAUCAGAUAUUCUUCAUGCAUCAGGAUUUGGCAGAAUUGUAUUGAACUCUAGCAAAACUCAACCGAAUUAUAGAAACAUUGCAAGAAUUGAGUGAAAAAAGAAGGAAUACUAACUUGUUAUUUGAAAUAGGCCCUUUGAUUUUUGCCACUAUUUUUAAGGCAGCUUUCCAUCCAUCCACCAUCUCUUUGUCAUCCUUAUACUCUUGUUCGAGUUUAGUGAAGCCAUUCCCAAAAAUCCCAGACCGAUCUCCAACAUCGGAGGGUUCCACUGAGUAGAAAACUGGUAUAGCUGCCCGUCUCUCUUCCAUGCAUUCAAGAAUCUUUACGAGUUCGUUCAGGCACCAUUUUGAAGAAGCGUAAUCUGGAGAGAUGACAACGAUGGCAAGCCUCGACCUUGCAAUUUCCGGGAAGAGAUCAGAAAUUGGGCUUCCUAUUUGAAGUUCGUCAUCAUCCAAGAAAGUUCUUGUAAUUCCUUGUUCUUUCAAUUUAUCAUGUAGAUGGGCGGUAAAACCUAAGCGCGUGUCUGCACCCCUAAAACUCAAAAAGACAUCAUAUUUCCAUUCAAGAGCUGAAGGAAGAGAUGAAGUGGCUCGUUGGGUGCUCGAUGCCAUUGAAACAAGCUAACUGGAUACGGUGGCAUAGCAGCAAUUAAUAUGGUAUUAGUUUUUCAAGCAAUCAUCAUAAAAUUAUUUGCAAAAACAUGAAUAUAUAAAUUGACUUGUGACCAGAAAAACAAUUCAGCAUUCAUAAAAUUAUAUUAGGCAAUAACAUGAAUCAGAAAGAUGAGCAAUAACCUGGGUGUAUGUAGAAAACGAAGUCACAGAUCAAGUCAGAGGGGUCAUGAGAGGAGCUGAAGAUCCGUCAGAAAAAAGGAAACACUGUCUCUGUGUACUUGCUACAAGUCUCUCUGUAUGUCGUCGUCAACGAAACUUCACCGCGUAAGCUUGAUGGACGUGAUUCAACUGCUUCUUCUAUCCGACGGUCAAACCGCGUAAGCUCUAUUUUCCCUCUUUUUUAUUUUUAUUUUUUAUUUUAUUCGUUUGGUGAACUGUAAGCUCCAUUAUUUUAUUUUUGCGUGGCUCCAUUAUUAUUUUUUGGCCAAAUUGGAUUGUUCAUCCCGUAGCCAUAAGACACUUGCAUGAUGACAUCCGUGGUGAAAAAAUUAGGAAUUAAACCUAUGUGGUCUAGAAUGUUAGCAAAUUUAGUCCAAAAGUAAGAUUUCUGUUAAAGGACUGUUAAAAGUUGGGGUAAAACUGUAUUUUCAGUUCCAAUUGACAUUUAAAAUAAAUAAUUUUUUUAUAACAAUUAACAAAAAAAAUAAUGCUUAAUUUUUUAAAUAAAAAAAAAUACAGUUUCUAAAACUGUAUUGGAACUGAAAAUACAGUUUUACCCAUACUUUUAACAGUCAUUUAACAGAAAUCUUACUUUUGGACUAAAUUUGCUAACAUUCUUAACCACAGGGGUUUAAUUCCUAGUUUUUUCACCACAGAGAUCAUCAUGCAAGUUUCCUAUGACCACAGGAAUGAACAAUCCAAUUUGGCCUUAUUUUUUAUACUAAUGCAGAGCACACCAUAGUUGAAUGUUUCUAACAAACACAAAAUUUAAUUGCAAGCACUUCUUUUUCUUCCAGAAACACAAAAUUUAAUUUUCUUUAAGUUGACCCAGUGCGUUCACUUAGACAACAGUGUUGUUUGAAUAAAAAUAACUCUUAACAAAAACUUUUUUAUGGCAAACCAGAAAUACACCUGAAGCUUCUUGAACUACAUUAUGUGGAAUCAACACACUUAAAUUUAUUUAGAGUGUUAUAAACUCCUUUAAAAUAUUGAUUGUUCAAACCGAUCAUUUUGAAGCGCUAACUUAUUAGUAAGCAAAUACGUUUCUAGCUACACGUUUGAGCACAUUUGCAAGAUUCAUGAUUAUCCAAACCGAUCAUUUUGAAGGCCACCAUUGAAUAAGGAUUAUUCGUGUAAAAUCUCACUCAAAUUGAGCAUUGCUUAGCUAUCUAGCUAAUGGCAACACUAUAAGCAAACGAACAUGGUAAAUAAUAAAGAAAAUCAAAGGGCUCAAUCAUUCCAAUUUAGGUAAUUUUUGCAAGAAUGAUUUUGUAUUGAUUUUUAUUUUUUUUCUUCAGAAAACUAUUAAUCAUCAAAGUCCCAAGGGAGGGCGAACAAGAAACCAAAUCAGCAGGCCAAACAAAGGACCGUGGGCACUGCCGUUACACACUUCUAACAGAACGCAAAGAACCUUCCGACGUAUGCCUCAGCCUUCACCCGGCAACGAUUUCUGGCGAGCAACCGGGCAAGAAGAGAGAUGCUACAUCUCCAGAGACAAUGCUACUUGUAAAGAGGAGAGGACUAACCCACAAGUUAUGACAAACCUACCAAUAUUAAAUUUCAACAUCUCGAGUCCAUGUGGUUGGUACGACAAUUUGAUCCAUACAUACAUACAUACAUACAUACAUACAACAAAGACACACAAGAAAGAAAAAUUUGGCCAACCGUUAAAAACAAACCGAGAUCAAAGAAAUCAAACAAUAAGGUACAUCAAUACAUUAAAUUAUAUGCAAUGCCUGCUGACAUCUCGGAAAUAUACCAACUAAACAGCAUAGACAAACCAAAACUGAAAAAGUUCCUACCAAUAUUUAUUUAGCAACAGGUAAUCUCAUGAUCUCAUGUGUAAGUGAGGAACAAGGUCCAGAGCCAGACUGACCGAUACGCUGAUGGGCACAACUCAAAAUGACCUAUUCGGGUUUGAAGAAGAUGACUUGGCUUUUGCAAAAUCAACUAGAUCCUUGAAAAGAGCAUCUUCCUGUUUUACUUGUUUUGUUGGGGUAGACGAAUUAAGGGAGAGAUUCUGAGUCUGUCCCACUAAGUUGUCAUAAGAUGAACCAGAUCCACUGCCUGGAACGCCUUGUUUCUCAAAAAACUGUUGUCUCUGGUUAUACCUGGAAGGCGGAGGUGGAAGGCUGACAGGAGAUUGACCAUUGCCAGGAGACUGAGGAUUCCCCAGAGACUGAGUAUCCCAAGGGGCAGGAGGGAGCCCAUCUAUAGAUUUGCUUCUAGGAGCCGGUUCAUCAUAUACAGGCUUUCCAGUGAAUAUAGGUGAUGGAGUUGUGUUUUGGGAAGAAGGGGGUGAGGGUGAUAGUGGAGUCAAUCGUGAGGUGGAGCUGGAAUGAACUGGAGCUGCAAAGGAUGUGGAUUCUGAUGUUGCAGAGGAUCCUUCAGAUUUGUAGGCUUCUCCACUGAGAUAAUCAAUCACACCAGGACCUAGAGUGAUUGGCCUUUGCGAAGACGGUGGAGGAGGAAGAAGUGGGCUGACUUGCACAGGUUCAGCCUUGGCAUUGGCUGAUCUCUGGCCCUGUCCUUGUGAAUUAUCUCUUGAUGACCUGCAAUGCAUCUUACCGAAUUUUACUAAGAGGAUAAGAAUAUUAAAAGUAAAAAACUAACAGAACUUGCAAUAUUCAUAUUCUGAAGCGCACACAUACAAGUAAAAUUGGUAGAAACAAAAACAAGUGAGAAUGAAAUGACAAUGCAAAAUAAAACUUAGAAGUGCUCCUCUAACAAUCACCUGUGCGCUAGUUGGGAAAAUUCAUCCUCAGACUCAUCAUCCUCAUGGUUCACAUUCACAAGUGGCACAACUGAAGAUUCUGCUCCUCUUACUACAGUUGUAGUUCCUUUCACAAUAUCGUCAUGCCGAGAAAUUACACACGCUGCAGAUCAUCGUUCAGUGCCA
Molecule: long non-coding RNA, 133985 nt
Filed under: Malus domestica (apple)
Lineage: Eukaryota; Viridiplantae; Streptophyta; Magnoliopsida; Rosales; Rosaceae
Description: long non-coding RNA (MDOM_LNC008864)
Rfam family: Plant small nucleolar RNA R71 (bases 110298-110402)
Source: RNAcentral